Molecule: long non-coding RNA, 119851 nt
Filed under: Citrus x clementina
Lineage: Eukaryota; Viridiplantae; Streptophyta; Magnoliopsida; Sapindales; Rutaceae
Description: Citrus clementina (C. clementina) long non-coding RNA (CCLE_LNC001363)
Source: RNAcentral
ACAAGGCCAAGAUAAAAAGGGAAAAAAAAUUAUCUUUAUUUAAAUAUCGUUGAAAUAAAAAUCUAACCGAGACUUGGACUUUUUCCCAAUUGAGAGCUUUGAGAAGGUGGCAUGGGUGUCCUCAAGAGGGCUGUAACUCGGGUCUAAAUCCGAAUCAUAGCCCAGGUCGGACCCUCCACUGUCGGUGCUGUAUUCAUCAUCUCCUUCUUCGAUGAAUAUUACUUGCUCAGACUCAGGAGCUGCCAUUGAUUCGCUACUCUUUUGCUUUCUUCUGGUUUUUAAGGUAACAACUUGCUUUCGCUUUUUGAAAUCGAAUUGCCGGAAUGAAAGGAAAUUUUCGACCAAAAACAGAAGUAAAUAUGGCCGUUGAGGAUUUGAAAAUUUGAAGUUUGUGCAGAAUGGAUCAAUUAUAUAAUUAAAUCGUUUCGGCGGAUUGUUUUGAUUGAUUAGAUUUUUUUAUUAUUAUCUAAUUAACAAUGCUGCUUCGAUUAAAAAAAAAAUUGCGUUACAAGGUUUUCACAAGAAAAUAGAAAUAUUAAAAUAUUAAAAUAUCCUUUAUUGUAUUGUAAGUUUCUCACAAUUACUUCGACAUUACUAACUUCACUCGGGCACAGUUCGAAUGAGUCUGAGUGCACCUGGUGCCUAUGUUCAGUGGAGAAAUCGUUAGAAAUUUGGAUCUAAUAUUGAUUUCUCCGUCUUUAUCUUCUAAUAAUUUUUUAUCACACUGUAUUUAUAAUUUGAGUGUCUAAAUUAUAUAAUUGUAUUAGAGUUAUUCUUUAGUGUAAACUUGCUUAUCAAAAUAUGAAUAUUAACGUCGGUGUUGUAAAAAGAUUUUAUAAUAUUAUAUUAUCAAAAUCUAUUACAAUAUUUUAAAGCAUUAAGUGUAGAAUAUGUGGAUGUUCGCACCUAAAAAUUAUUUAAUUAUAACAUGCGUAAAAUUCUAUAUGAGUAAUUUAGAAAUUAUUCCACAAAAGUUGGAAGUUCAAUUUUCAACAGGAAAUGACUAGUUGUCUACUCAAGCACCAGUAUUUCAACAACGUAAUUACUUCUAUAAUUAUGCAUGAGCCAUCUUAAUUUCUGCUAUAUCAAUAUAAGAAAAUUUGUUUACAGUAAUGUCAAUGGGGAUUGCUAAAAACGUGUCAUCAAGAAUAUGACUGAAGAUAAGCUCAAUUAAUUAAUAUACAGUCUGUGGCUCUCAAUAAUACAAUAAUGAACUUACUUCAGCUUUAAUGAUUAUUACCAUUAUCUAUGUGAGCUCUACUCUGAUCAUAUCAUUUCAUCUGGUGAUCAUUUGGAGGCACCUCUCUCUCUCUCUCUCUCCCCCCCCGACAUAUUUGCUUUUGUUUUGUUGUCGUUUUCUUAAAAUGGAAACUGCUUCUUUAGCAUCUCCUCUUUGUACAAACCCUGCAGCUAAUUAUCGAAAUGACCAUGCUUUAAAGUCCUCUGUUGAAAUCUCCGAAGAGACACAAGAAACUCACAUGAAGAUGCAACAUUGGGAGUACUUUCUGUAUUCGGAAUGGUUUUUCGAGUAAGGAAAUUUUAUCCCAUGCGGUCAUGUUAUUCUUCUCAUCAGCCCAAUUUCUUACUGGGAUUAUUUUGUUAUGCUUGUAGGAAAAACAAUGGCGGUGUCUGCUGCACAAUGUAAAAAGGAGCUCGUCAUAACAAAGAAAAAAGAAACUGGAGAAAGGAGAAUUGUUGUGACUGGGUUAGGUGCUGUAACACCACUUGGUGACGAUGCACAUUUGUUUCACACCAGCCUUCUUGAAGGGGUUACUGGGAUAAGUGAUAUACAGGGCUUUGAUUGUUCAGAAUUUCCCACUGUAUGUCUAAAUCUUGUGUAAAUUUCAUUAUCAUAACUGAGUUUGUGUACAAAGCUAUUGGAUGAUGCUAUUCUCAAAUCUUUAACAGAGAAUUGCUGCAGAAAUCAAAUCUCUCUCAAUAGAUGGCUGGAUCUCACCAAAAAUUGCGAAGAAAGCAGACAAAUACUUGAUUUAUGCUCUCGUCGCUGGCAAAAAAGCCUUGGUAGAUGCUGGAAUUACUGAACAAGUUAGCGGAGAGUUGGAUAAAAGUAGAUGUGGGGUUAUAAUUGGGUCUGCCAUGGGAGGCUUGCGUGUAAGUGAGCUUUGAGCUUUGAAAACAAAAGUUAGUUAGGAGUGGCAAGUAUUAUGGCUUGCUUAUAAACAAGAGCAUGUAGCCUUACUCGCAUGUUGUAAUGAUUUUCUGGCUUUUGAAUAGGUUCUUAAUGAUGGAUUUGAAGCAAUAAAAGUUUCGUAUAAGAAGAUGAGUCCCUUUUACAUACCUUAUUCAUUAACCAAUAUGGCUUCAGCUGUCUUAGCAAUGGAUUUGGUAAGCUCAUAAGAUAGCUUUGUGGCCUGUUGAAAAAAAAAAACAUUUAUGCAAUCUUAAACUGAUUUGAAAUUGACAUGCUUCCAAUUAUGUGCAGGGAUGGGCAGGUCCAAGUUAUUCAAUCAAUACAGCUUGUGCAUCGAGCAACUACAGCAUACUUAAUGCAGCUAGUCACAUAAUCAAAGGUGACACUGUAAGCAACUCGCCUUCAUCUCAAGCUGUCAUUACUUAAAGCUAAGAACAUCAAUUAGGAUGUUACAUUGGAGAAGUCUUAGUUAUAAGAUACAACAUGAUACAUAUUUGUUGCAAAAUAUGCAGGACAUUAUGCUCUAUGGUGGUUCAGAUGGGAUGAUUAUUCCAUCAGGUACAGUUAACAUAGCCAUUGCAUUUUGGAGUAGUUUUGUUUUACUGAUUAUUUAUUGGAAUCUCAGGCAUAGCCGGUCUUAUCGCAUGCAAUGCUCUUUCGCAAAGAAAUAGUGAUCCAACCAAAGCUGCACGCCCAUGGGACGCUGUAAUCGUUUCAACUCUUCCCUCUCUUCUUGUUGAAUAACUUUCUAUUAUAAUAAGGAAUAAAUGAUUUGGCAAUACAUAUUUUGAUUACACAACGAGCAGGAUCGCGAUGGAUUUGUUAUGGGAGAAGGAGCUGGGGUUUUGCUUUUAGAAGAGCUGGAACAUGCUAAGGUUAAUUACUAGCAGAAUCAUCACUUUUUACGAUUAACUAUAGGGCAUUAUUUCCCACUCACGCACUCAUGUAUUUACACUCAAAUAAUUCGACAGAAAAGAGGGACAAAUAUUUAUGCAGAGAUUCUGGAUGGAAGCUUAACUUGUGAUGCUUAUCACAUAACUGCGCCUCAUCCUGAGGGUUAGUACAUAGGCUUUCUAAAAUUCCCACUAUCCACAUCUAUUUGAGUUUAUUUCUGCUGGAGCAAUAUACAUAUGUUUUUGAAAUCAGGGGUGGGUAUGGUAUCUUGCAUGGAGAAGGCUUUAGCUAAAUCUGGGGUUGCCAAAGAAGAUGUGAACUACAUUAAUGCACAUGCUCCAUCAACUAGACUAGGUGAUCUGAGAGAAUAUCAAGCUGUAAUCCGUUGUUUUUGAAAGAAUCCUGAGGUAAAAAUUGAAGCACAUUGCCACUUAAAUUUAGUUAAUUAUUAUAUACUUAGAUGCUAUUAAAGCUAGCAAAACGGAUCAUUGGAUUGUGUUCAUGUUAUAUAAGUUUUGUGUCGUGUUCAAUUUAGGUUAACUCAACCACAAUCUAUUUAAUAAUCGUGUCAAAAUAUUGAGACCGUAACCUGAUAUAGAAAUUAAAUAUAUUAUUAAGAGCUCAGUCAAUAUCUAUAUAUCUAUUUAACAAAAUUUACAUCAAACAUUUACAUACUGUCGUGUGUGUGUAUACAUAUCUACCAAAAUAUUACAUAUUUAUAGUAUUGAAGUUCAAAAUCUUUAUAAAAUUUUAUAAAUGAAGCAAUGUGUAUCUGUUCAUCAUUCUAAAAAAUAAAAAUAAAAAUAAAAAGAGAAUCAUGUUUAAAAUUUGAAUUUUGAUAAUAAGAAUCUACAAAUUAAUUAAGAAUAGAAAAUAUAAUUGUGUCAUUGAUUGAGUAAAUGAGUCAAGAAUUUUAACCCUAAUUUGACAAGGAAAAAAAUUGUAUCGACCCGAAUGCAACCCAUUUGAUAACCGUGUCAAAUUUGAUGACUGAUACCUAUUUAUUUGUGUCGUGUUCGUGUCGGAUAAUCGGAUCGUGUCAAAUUUUCCCAUAUUAUGCUUCAUUUGAUUCCAACAUUUUGCAGCUAAGAAUGAACUCUACAAAAUCCUUGAUUGGCCAUCUACUUGGAGCUUCAGGUGCUGCGGAAGCUGUUGCCACAAUCAAGGUGAAUAGCUUCUGUUUUCUCUGCAUCCAUGGUGUGAUUGCAUAGAUCACUCGAAUAUUAGAAAAUGAGCAUACUCAUUCUAGAGUGCUGGCCACAAUAAUUGAAACCUUACGGAUUGACAGAAGGUAUAUUUACAAUAUGAAGGCGCUAUUGGUACAAUAUCCUCCACUAUAUGUUGAAAACUUAAUAUAGCUUUUAAUUAUAGUUUAACUUUAUUUGGUUGCUCACUCCAAGUUUUACAUAAUACAAUAUCACUGUUGGGUCAGAAAUGAAAACUUAGGGGCAGAUCAGAAAAAAUUUGAAAACAUGAGGCUUUUCAAUAAAAGUCGGGUUGGGAGUGUUAUGCGGUAGUCAUUCUCGCGAGAGAAUCGCGUAUAUGUUUCUUGUAAAAUGUCAUGGUUUUUAAUAGGAUAUAGAAAGAAGGUGGCCAACCCAAAAAAGAAAAAAAAUUUCUUGAAAAUCACUUAAGAAAGUGUUAGGUUUGGGGACAUAUCAUGUUUGUUUUUUGAAUAGGAUUUUUUCCUUUUUCUGCAGGCAAUACAAACUGGAUGGAUACAUCCAAACCUAAAUCUGGAAAAUCCUGACAAACAUGUGGUAUGCUUCUUGAAUUUAAAAUGGAAAUAUUUUCAAAAAAGGUUACUGCUUUUUCACAAGAUGUCUCUCCUGAUUCAGGACGCAAAAGUACUAGUUGGCCCCAAGAAGGAACGUUUGGACAUAAAAGUGGCGAUGUCCAAUUCAUUUGGCUUUGGUGGACACAAUUCAUCCAUCUUAUUCGCUCCUUUUAAAGGAAAUUGAUUAUGGCUAAAGAAAAAACCCUGACCACACGCGUGGGAUGUUAGUCAAUUUACAGCAAUUAAUUAACAUCCAAAUCCAAGUGCGUGCAUUGUGGAACUCUGCCAAGACGUAUAUUUUGUAUUGGCAUGACAUUUGGGUAUUGUUCUAAGACCACUCCGUUUGAUAUGUAUCAAUUAUUAUGAUGCCGCAGUUUAAAAAGACACGCAUGUUGAUCGAUCCUUGUGAGAUGAGAAAUAAAAGUUGAGAUUUUGAUGUCUCUAAAAUUUAACACACUUUUCAAACCAAAUGAUAUUUGUCUAUUAUCUUUCUAGUUUCAUCAUCCAACUGAACUGAACCAUAUAUUUGAUUUUAGAACGAGGUAAUCCAUACCAAAGGUAAUAAUAGUCAGAGGUGGCAUAGCCGUGAUGGUGAAAUUUUUGUCAUAAAAAAAUUUAGGAUAAAAUUUGGUAGACCAAAAACUAAUUUUUGGGUUAAAUUAUUAGCAUUCUUUCUUUAAUCUCAUUAAAUUCUUAUUUUGUUACAAUUACAUAUAAGGAUAAAUAUAAAUAAAAUUAAAACUACUUAUAUUUUUACUCUCUCACUUAAAUUUAUUUUAUUUGUGAAAUAUAUUAUGAUUUUUUCUCUCUUCUCAAUCUAUAUAAUUGAUUCUUGCACAAACUUAAAAUAUUUAUUUUUUAUAUUAAUUAUUUUAAUUUUUGGGAAGCUUUUUUUUUUUUGGUUUUAUUGAGAAAGAAAGUAUGAAUAGUAUAAUAGAGAUAUCAAGAUUUGAAUAGAACAAUACUGUAAAAGAAAUUUAAUUGUGAGAAAGUUACAGAAAAGUAAAAGUUUUACAAAUGAAAAGAGUCUUUUCUUGGAAAAAGAAAAGGAAAAAGUAUUUUUGACAUUAUGUGGAGGAUUUGUAGAGGUGGCCUCAGUUCAACUCUUAAUUUUCUCUCGGAAUAAAUUUCUCUUUACCAAAAUUUAAGCGAGAAAUUGGAAACUAUUAAUUAAGAAUAUAAAAAUUAUAAAUGAGUUAAUCUCAAUAUUAUCACUAUUUAAACAUGUGGCAUAACAUUUUAUUUGGGAUGUUUAAGCAUUAUUAUUAUUAUUAUUUGGGUGCUUUAUUAGCAUGGAUUUGUUGAUUUACGUGUGAACUAAUUAACUCAAAGUCGAAAGGACCAGACGUCUCAGCCUCUAAGACUUCAAUGCACAUGCCAACGUUAUUUCUCUGAUAUUUUCUGAUUGCUCGUUAGAGUCAUCAAUUCAUUAUCUACUAAGCUAUCAAGAACCUCCGGAGCUUCUGCUGCUUUUAUUUCAAUUCCAGUUAUCAAGCAGUUCAAGACACGUUUUGUUUUAAUUUCGUUCAAUGGCAGCUUCUUGUCUUCCUUGUACAUGGCUUCCUGCUUUCGAGCUCGACCAUGCUUUAGAGCCCCUUCUGUUGCGGUCUUCGAAGAGACGCAUGAAGCUCAUAUCGCCAUUAAGUUGCAACAACAGUAACAGUACUAGUUUUGGUAUUUGCAAUGGCUUUUUGAGUAAGCAAUAUUAUUAUAAUGAAUGGCCGCCCUCUUUGGCCUUCUAUGAAUGUAAGUGAGAUUGUAAUAUUUUAUGGUUUGAAAUUUAGAAAGAAAACGGUUAAUCAUUUUUAGAUAAAACGGCUAGCCGUUUUCGUCCAGAGAUUAGGUUUUGGAUUUUACAGAAAACGGCUUGCCGUUUUCUGAUAAAGCGGCUAACCGUUUUCGUCCAAAGAGCAUGUUUUCUGUUCUACAGAAAAUGACUAACCUUUUGGAGAAAACAGCUAACCAUUUAUUUCCAGAGAGCAACUUAUUUUGAUAUUUUGGAAUAAAACGACGAGCCAUUUUCUUCCAGAGAGUGUGUUUUCGCGUCAACUGAAAAAACGAUUAGCAGGCUUAAAAAUUUCAAUUGUGAAUGGAUGCAAAUUUCAAACUAAAAGAGUGUUUGAAAAAAUACCAUUUCUAAUGGUUGUAUUCUUUCAAAUAAACAUCUUCUUCAUUAAAAUAGAUACACACAUUAGAUUAAUAUCAGAUUUUUACAGAUUUCUUUUGUGUUCUUGGAAUACAAUCUUAUUUGCUAGAGAUUGUAUUCAGGAUUUAUUAUAUCUUGGGGGUAAUUUGCCAUUAAAACUCUAUAGCAAACCAAGAUUGGUGAGGGCAAAUAAAAUCUUAAAGGAAAGUGUGUAAACACGUCUCAAAUCCUAUCAAAUUCUCUUACUAUUAUUUGCCUCCAUAUUUGAAAAUCCACCAACAGUCUUUAAGGUUUUAAUGUUACAUGGAGGCUGAGAAGAAUUUGACUUCAUUUCUUAAUCCAAGUGUCCAUCUCGAUCGUUUUGAUGGCACUAAUUUUACUCACUGGAAGGGAAAAUUGUUCUUCCUUCUCACUGUUAUGAAAAUUGCACAUGUUCUUGAUCCAAAAUUGGAAUCAUUUCCAGAGCCAAAAGAAAAUGAUACCGAAGUUGUUAAAGUUGCAAGGAAAAAGCGUGAAGAUGAUGAAUUGAUGUGUCGGGAUCACAUACUCAAUACGCGUUCUGACAGGCUCUAUAAUCUUUACAAUUCCAUGACUUCUCCGGUGGAAAUUUGGAAGGCUCUUGAGUACAAAUAUAAAACGGAGAAGGAAUGUACUGAUAAAUUCCUUAUCUCUAAAUAUUUUGAAUUUAUUAUGGUAAACACAAAAUUCAUUCUUGAUCAAAUACAUGAGUUACAAAUUAUAGUUGUAAAGCUUCGAGAGUUAAAAGUUGAAAUUUCUGAAUCAUUUCAAGUUGGGGCUAUUAUUGCUAAAUUGCCUCAAAGUUGGAAUGAUUGUAAAAAGAAACUCCUUCAUAGUAAAGAGAACAUAACUUUAGAAGAAUUACAAAAACACUUGGUAAUCAAAGAAGAGACUAGGUCUCGCGAAUCCAAGGAUAAGAAUGAUUCUACUAAGGUUAAUGUUGUUGAAGCUAGUAAAUUUUCAAAGGAUUUCAAAGUCAAGAAUGACAAGAAAUUUAAGAAGUCCAACACAAAAAAAAAAUUUCUGGAAAUUGUUUCUUUUGUGGCAAGAAAGGCCAUCGCCAAAGUGAUUGCAGAUUCAAUAAGAAAAAUGAAGAAGUGAAUUCCCAUAAAGCUAAUGUUGUUGAAGACAAAUAUGAAGAGAUUUGUGCUAUGGUUUCUGAAAUGCAAAUUGGCAUGAUUACUGAAACCAAUAUGGCUGAAACUAAGUCCUACGAUUGGUGGCUUGAUUCGGGUGCAACCAUUCAUGUUUGUAAUGAUUAGAAAUUUUUCUUAUUGUACAAAGAAGAAACGGAAGGACAAAAGGUUUUCAUGAGGAACAAUGAUGCAGCCAUAAUAGCAAGGAAAUGAGUAGUUGAGAUUAAUUUUACUUCUGGAAAGAAAGUUACAUUGUAUAAUAUCUUUCAUGUACCUUCCGUUAGGAAGAAUCUUGUUUCUGCUAGUUGUAUGUGUAAGCAUGGGCUUAAGAUUGUGCUUGAGGGUAAUACUUGUAUUAUCUCAAAGAAUGGAAUAUUUGUUGGGAAAGGGUAUUCUUGUGAUGGAAUGUACAAACUCAACAUUAAUAAUAAUGAUAUCAAUUUAGCUUAUAUGUUGAGUCUUGUGAUUUUUGGCAUGCUAGAUUAGCACAUUUGAAUUUUAGAUCUUUGAAAUACAUGUCUAAGCAUGGUUUGAUUAAUUUCAAUGAUGUUAAAAGUCAUAAGUGUGAAAUCUGCAUCCAAGCUAAAUUAACUAAGAAACCUUUUUCCUAAAGCCGAACGAAAUACUCAAAUAUUGAAUUUAAUACAUACUGAUAUUUAUGAGUAUAAUGACAUUUUAAUAAGAGGAGGUAAGAGGUACUUUAUCACUUUUAUUGAUGAUUGUUCUAGAUACACUUAUGUGUAUUUACUUAGAACAAAAGAUGAAGCUUUUAAUAAAUUUAAAAUUUUCAAAGGUGAGUUGAGAACUAAAAAGAUAAGAAAAUCAAGAUGGUUCAAAGUGAUAGAGGUGGUGAAUAUUUCUCAAUUGAGUUUGAUAAUUAUUGUGAAGAAUUUGGAAUUAUUCACCAAAGAUUAGCUCCAUUUACUCCUCAACAAAAUGGUUUAGCUGAAAGGAAGAAUAUGAUCUUUACGAAUAUAAUUAAUUCCAUGAUCCUUAAUGCAAAACUACCAAACAAUUUGUAGGGCGAAGCAUUACUCACUGCAUGUCUUAUUCAUAAUAGAAUCACAUCUUUGAAAACACAUGUAUCUCCUUAUGAAAUUUGGAAAGGAAGAAAACUAAAUUUGAUGUAUUUAAGGGUCUGGGAUUGUUUAGCUUUUUAUAAAAUACAUGAUCCUAAAUCAUCAAAGUUAGGUGCUAAAGGUAUGAAAAGUGUUUUUGUAGGAUAUGCUGAAAAUUCCAAGGCUUGAUUGUUAAAUAUAGAUUCUAAUGUGAUUGUGAAAUCUAGAGAUGUUGAAUUUAUUGAAAAUAAAAUUUCAACAUGAUUCAAAUAUUGAAUUAGAAUCAAUCAUUAAUCAACCAUGUGAUAAUACACCUGGUACCUCCAUUAAUAAUAAUAAAAGGAAAGAGUAUAUGACAUCUUUCGAACUAAUGAGGAGUCAAUGUGAAAAGAAAUAAAAGAGUUUAGCUCUGGAUUUUAUUUCAUCACAAGCAUUACUCUUCUUAGUUGAAGAGGAUAGAAAUAAUGUACUUAACAAAGUACCAUUAUUGUUAAAUGUUGAAAAUGAUCCAAAGACAUUUAGCGAAGCUGUGUCUUCUAGAGACGCUUCCUUUUGGAGAGAGGCAGUAAAUGAUUAAAUGGAUUCGAUCAUAUCAAAUCAAACAUGGGUCUUGGUUGAUCUUCCUCCAGGAUCUAAACCAAUUAGCAGCAAAUGGGUGUUUAGAAGAAAGUACAAUAGUUAUGGUUCUUUGCAAACUUUUAAGGCUAGAUUAGUAGCCAAAGGGUUUAAGCAAAGAAAUAGUAUUGAUUAUUUCGAUAUAUAUGCUCCAGUGGCAAGGUUAACAUCUAUAAGAGUGCUAUUUGCAAUUGCUUCAUUGAACAAUUUGUAUAUGCAUCAAAUGGAUGUUAAAAUCGAUCUUCUUAAUGGUGAUCUUGAUGAAGAAAUUUAUGUGGAACAAACUUAGGGAUUUGUUUUGCCUGGAAAUGAGAAAAAGGUAUGCAAGUUAGUCAAGUCGCUUUAUGGUUUAAAGCAAGCACAAAAACAAUGGCAUGAGAAGUUUGAUUCGGUAAUUUUAUUUCAUAGUUUUAAGCAUAAUAAGGAUGAUAAAUGUAUAUAUUUUAAAUUUACGAAUGAUUUUGGUGUGAUUAUAUGCUUGUAUAUUGAUGACUUGCUUAUAUUGGGAACAAAUAUGCGAGUAAAUGAUACAAAGAAGUAUUUUACUUCACAAUUUAAGAUGAAAGAUCUUCGUGAAGUAGAUACUAUCUUAGGUGUCAAAGUGAAGAAAUAUAGUGGGGGUUACUCGUUGUGUCAAUUUCAUUAUAUAGAGAAAGUGUUUCUUAAAUUCAAUUAUUUGAAAUUUAAAGAAGCUAAUACCCAUUAUGAUUAUAGUAUUAAAUUACUAGAGAAUUCAGGCCGAGCAGUAGCACAACUAGAAUAUGCCAGUAAUGUUGGUAGCGUGAUGUAUGCUAUGUAUUGUACAAGGCCAGAUAUAGCCUUUGCAGUUUGUAAAAUGUCAAGAUUCACGAGCAACGCUAGUGUUGAACACUGGAAAGCAAUUAGUAGGAUACUUGGUUAUCUUACAAAGGACCAUUAAUUUGGGCUUAUUUUAUAGUGAUUAUCCUAAAGUACUGGAAGGAUAUUUAGAUGCUAAUCAGGUAACCAAUACAAGAGAUAAUAAAUCCACUUCUGGUUGGAUUUUUACAAUUGCUGGAAGAGCAAUUUCUUGGGCUUCAAAGAAACAAACAUGCAUAACUCACUCAACAAUGGAAAGUGAGUUUAUAACACUUGCAACUGCAGGCAAGGAAGCAGAAUGACUGAGAAAUUUGUUAUUUGAUAUAAUGUUGUGGCCACAACCGAUGCCAUUUAUUUUUUUGUACUAAGCUAGUGAAGCUACAUUGUCUAGAGCUUAUAAUAAAGUGUAUAAUGGAAAGUCUACAUAUAUUAGAUUGAAAACAACAAUUAAGAGAUAGAUUAAAGGCUGUAACAGAAGAUUAAAGAGAAGAUAUCAACAAGACUAAGCAAACUUUAGUUUUUCUUCUUCUUUUCUUGUUUUCUAGUUAAUUAUGGAAUAUAUUGAAUGGUUAUAACAAUUUUAUUUAUUGUUCUAUUACAAAUCAUGAAUUGAAUUGGAUUGUGGUUGAGUGAUAAACGAUUUUAAUAGAUAUUUGACUGACAUAUGUAUGUUACUCUGUAUUUGCUACAACAGUUUGUCUUAAUUGUCUUUAUUUUAAUUUCCUAUUUCAGCAGACCACCCAUUUAUUGGAUACUAGCUAGAAAUAGCCUAAAAAAAGUCUGACUUAGUCGAUUAAAUUAAGAUAAUACUUGGUUUUAGAUUGAGUUUCCUAAGUUGAGAAAAUCUCAAUUUGAAUAAGGUCAUACUUAAUAUAAAAUUAGUGAAGAACUAGACAUAAAGAUUAGGAAUACCAAAAGGUUAGGUCGGGCUCGGGCUUGGCCAAGCCCUACCCGACCCGAUAAAAAAAAAUAAAACCCGACCCUAAAAAAACCCAAAAAAUAUUUAGUUAAGGUCGGGCCUGGCCAGACCCGAAUUGGGUCAACAUCGGGUCGGGCCCAACCCAACCCUACCGAAAUAGUUAAUCCUCCCAUUUCCCACCACCAUUUCAACUAAUUCGGCAAUUCCUCAACCAUUUCAAACACAAUUCAAUUCCACUUUCCACAACCAUUUCAACCCCACACACAAUGUAAUUCUACAACCAUUUUAUUCAUAUACAAUUCAAUUUAACAACCCAACAUAAAAAAUAAAAAAUAAAAAAACUCAUGUCUUAUACAAAUAAAAACACACAAUUUAGUUCAACAACCCAACAGUAAAAAAAAAUGUUUUAUACAAAUAAAAAACUCAUGUCUUAUAAUUCAUAAAAACUUAUAAUUCAUAAAAACUCAUAAUUCAUAAAAACUCAUAAAAAUACACAAUUUGUUCGGGCCUUAAAAGUUUGACCCUAACCUUAAAAUUUCGAGUCAAAACCCUAAAAAUUAAGUUUGAGUCAAUCGGGGCAAAAAUAUGAUCGGGCUAAAUUGCCAAGCCUAAUAAGGAUUCACUAUGUAGGAUAAACGAAUUCAAGAACAUUUAAUGUUAUAUCUAAUAUUAGCAUAACAAUUAGUCAUUGUUAAGUUAUGUUAGGUAUAAGAUAUCUAACAGGCGAUAGCUGAAAAUGCAUAAGAGAUUCUACUCAGUGCUGUAAUAGAUGAUGUAGCAACGGUAUUGUAAUUGAAAAAAUAGUCAAAAUCAUCAAGUGGGUUUAUUAACUCAAUUACUCAUUUUCCAUUAAUUACAUCCUUGUGUUUAACGUGAAAAUUUUCUUCAUUGUAUUUUAUUUGUUUCCUUUUUAUUUUAAUUAGUUUGUUGAUUUUAUUAAUUGUCUUAUUUUAAAAUAGAACAAAACUACACUGUUAAGAUUAUUGUAGCAAAUCUGAUAACAUCAAUCCAUGUAGAGACGAUCUAAAUACUAAUUAGUAUAUUACUUAUUGUGUAUACUUGCACAUUGACACCUAUAGCAAGUCGCACGCCAAGGUUGUUUGACAAUGUUAAAGAUAUUCAACUCCAUAGUCAUAUUGCCAAAAAACAAUUACAUAUUUCCAGUCUUGCAUUAAAUAUGAGCAUCAUCAGUUGCCAAGAAAGGUCGGUCUAGGAUAAUAGGGUUGUGCUUUUUUGAAUCCUAUAUUAAUUAAGUGUCAAUCAUAAUCAAUGAGCACAUCCUCUAUAAUACCGCGAGAUAUUUUCAUGGAUCAAUUUGCAAGUUAUAACCCAACUGGAGUUAGAUGUAAUAUUCCCGGUCCAAGUUUCACAAGUCCAACAAAACAUUCUCAAAUGUGUGAUUUACUAUAUCACAUGAGAUAGUAGGACAACCUAGGUCUUUGUAUUUUAAAGAAAUUUUAUGUUAAAGUAUGAAGCUAAUGUUUUCUGUUAAAAAUGCCUUCUUUUGAACAUAAAUGUUUCUAAAACGAUCAAUAAGUACACAAAUGGACACAGGAAAUUAUCACAAUUUUGGACCGGAGUGAGGAAAGAUAACAACUCGAUUUCAAUUUUAGGUCCAAACACCCUCCAACUUUCCAAUAUAUUACAAUACAGUAAGGAAAUUACAAUAAAAGCAGUUGCUUUGACGAGGCAAUGCCAAAGGUGCUGAUUAUUCUUCACAGACAACAAUCACAAGACAUAAAACUUCAGUACUAUACUAAAAUAACAUCCUCACAAACUUUAGCACCAAUGAUCCCUUCAUGCCAUUUCAUCCAUGUGCAAUUUAUGACAGGUUGCAGCUACAAUACAAUGAUAAACAAAAUUACAUCAAAGAAAUAAUAAUAUCAGAAUUGAUGACAAAUUAUCUCAUUUUUCUGCAAAAUGACUGGAUUCUGUACCUACUGCCGACGCCAAAGAAAUGAACAGGAAUUUGUCAGUUACUCUCAAGAAGCAACUUGUGAUGCCUUGCACUGGAUUCCGUUUCACCCCAAUGCCUGUUUUUACCCUAUAAUAGAAAUACAACCAUUGAAUCAUGCUUACCGAAAGUUCAUACUUUCUCAGAAAAAGGGAAAGUAAACAUGAGAUUAUGUAACAAGUAGGUAGACAAGGAAAACUAUAAAAGUCACCUGUGGAGGAUUGAUUACAAUUUUGACAGUCUUGGCCAUGCUUCCUCUAACUUCAUAUUCGAAACUUUUUUUCAUAUCGGUUAGGGUUAGUUCCUUCAAGGUACUCAACUUUUCAAGUUCAAUAGGCUUCUUCAUUUUUUUGCAACAUCUAAUCUCUAAUUCUCUUAGUUCAGGCAUGGCUUCUUUACCAAUAGUCCACUCUCGCAACUCCUUCAGCACCCAUAACUUCAAUACACGGAGUUUUGGAAAUCCACCAUCGCCACAAGUCAUUUCUUCCCCCAUGAAAGAAUGAGCAAAAAGCCUGAGAAUGUUCAGUUCUUUUAGCUGUCCUAGCACUGGCAUUGGGUCUUCCGAUAGGUAUGACAAUGACAAAGUAAGGAUUCUGAGAUUUGGUGGAAGCUUGUCUAGUUUAAGUGGUUCUGGUAACUUUCCAAGCAAAUACAACUCAUUCAGUGCCCUGUGAUUAUUCAGGGGUCCAAUAACAAGGUCCGAGGGUUCACCAAAAUCAUUUAGUGAUCUCAACCUUAAAGACUCAAGACUUAUCAGGUCUUGAAUCCACUUAGCUAUCUGCCCAAGCGAUGCAAUAUGGCAGGUCAGACCCAAUUUCUUAAGACCCCUCAAGCUUUCCAACCAAUUCAAUGGAGGGCUCUUGUUGCCGAUUAAUAAGGACCACAAUGUCUGAAGGUUGGUUAAAGAAUAUUUGACAAAUGGCUUCUGAACUGACAUUUGCAAAUAAAUAUCAUUCAUAUAGAGAUGCCUAAGUGUCUUUACCUUCCAGAUUGACUUAGGCAAUGAGGUUAUAUUAGUGUGCUUCAAAUCUAAAGUCUCUAGGCAGGGAAGAUCACCUACUGACUCUGGAAUUGAAUCAAGAAAAGUCCACCUCAGACCAAAAUACCUCAGAAGCUGCAGCUUUCCUACUGUUUCUGGUAGCACUGGUUUGUAAACACCUUCAAGAUCAAGCACUCUGAGCAAUCUGUAGCCUCUUCUAUUGAUCAUCUUGUUAAGCAAAUUACCUACUUCAUCUGCAGGUUUAUCUCCCAUUCUCUUGUCGAAAGAUAAAUAAGAAUGCAGACAUUCGAUGUAUUCAUCUGGAGGAACACUGUCAUUCUGGUUGUAUAAAUGCUCUGAAAGCCUGCGGAUGCAUAACUCUGGUAAACUGGAGGUAGAAUCUGAUUUUGCUUUGUGAUGGUGGUAAAAUCCCAUUUUCUCGGCAUUCUGAAAAGUGUCAUAGAGAGUACUUGGCACACGGCAUGUUUUAGGCCUUCCAUCUGACCUUCGUUUUACUACUUCGAUCAUGUUCCUUUGCUCCAGUUGUUCAAAAUCUUUCCUUGCCCGAUCUUCAGGAGUCAUUUCUUCCCCUUCGCUUGGGGUCACAAAUCGCUCAGCAAGCCAUAACUGAAGCAACCUCCUUACAGGGAUCUCAUGUGAUUUGGGAAAGAGACAGAGAUAAUGAAGACAUGCCUUUAGAUGCGCUGAUAGAUACUUAUAUCCCAGACCCCAGAUAGAUGAAGCAUCCAAGUUAUCUGAGGGAGGCAAUUCAUCCCGAGAACCAGAUUGAUCUUUAUCUGAUGCCACCUGUUCAACAUGUUGAAUCUGCUUUUCCUUUUUCUUUCCCCCAGGCGUGAACCCCUCAAUCACCUUUUCCCAAUCAGAAUUUUGAAUCUGCCUGUUAGUAGAUAACAAACCUCCCAGCACACAUAUUGCAAGAGGUAGACCGCCGCAUUUUUUCCAGAUCUUUUCCUUGAGGUUCAAUAAUUCUGAAGCACGUUUCUCUCUCCCCACCUUCUUUAGGAACAAUUCCCAACUCUCAUCUACAUUCAGUGGACGAAGCUGGAGAAGAAUGAUUGACGGACUGAAAGCGCGAGCAACAAAAGCUUCUCUGGUAAGUAGGAUCACUCUGCUGCCACUUGAUGAUGUGUUGGGCGAGAAGAUCCUUUGGAGUUCAUACCAAGCACCAGGUAAAUGGACAUCAUCCAACACUAUCAGGUACCUCUUAGAUUGAAAAAGCCGUAUAAGCCUACUUUCCAAUUCAUUGAGCGCCAAUUCUUCUGCAAUCUUCACCCGUGUGACCUGUUCCAGUAUGUCAAUGAAGACUUUUCUCAAAUCAAAAUCAUGAGAAACGUAAACAUUAGCCCAAGCAUGGUACUCAAAAUUCUGCCUUAUAUAUGAACUGUUGUAAAUUGUUUCCACCAGAGUGGUCUUGCCACAGCCGGCCACACCCACCACCGAGAUAAGGAAAUACUUACUGCUGCUACUCAUAGUCAGUUGAGCUAACCUCAACAACUGAUCCUCAAGACCGACCAUCUCUGCUUCCGGUCCCAAAAUCUCUGCAACUGAAAUAUGUGGCCGAAUGGUAUUAACAUCAUCGUCAUUCCCGACAACAACAGCUUCGUUUAAAGGAGAUCGUGCUUUCAUUUCUUUGAAGCUGAGAUUCAAAUCUCCUCCAAAGAAGUUCAGAUUUCGAUGCAUUGCUGCAUCAGCUUCACGAAAACUUAAAAUCACCCGGCUACCACUCAGCGAGUUGGGGAAAAGGAACUUGAUAAUCUCCCAAAUAUCAGGUGUCCGGACAUCAGUUAAUAUCACUAAGUAUCUCUUAUGAAUCAAGUAAUUAUGAACCACUGUUUGCGGUGACUCGAGCGACUUCUCUUCCAGUUCCACAUCAGUCGGAGCAAAUUGGUUUAAUAUGUUGAUGGCAAGUUCUCUUUUAUCAAGCCUUGGAGGAACAAGAAACCAAGCACGGCAUUGAAAAUGAUUCUUGAUAUCGUCACAGCUGUAGAUCUUCCACAACUCAGGUGUCUCAGCAGAUCCAGCCACAUCCACCACCGGAAUGUGGAGAGGUGAAGGGUAAUCAGAGAGGAUUAGUUCUGCCAAACCCUUUACUUCAUCAUUCAAAAUAAAAUCCAGCAUACCAGUUUUCUUAUUAGAAUUAGCUGCCUCAGAAGCGUUAUUGAAUGCUGCAUUUUCGACGGGGAGCUUCGUACUUGACCUGGUGCCCUGCAAUUCAGGUUUCUUUCUUGACUUGCCGCUCGUCAGCGCUGCCGCAUCUACAAGCAUCGCACUUGACUCUUCUUUGAUAACACCUACUAAUUUCUUCAUCUUAUCGCUGAAACGACUUUUGAUGUAGGCAGACCUCAAAUCGAUACCAGCUUUAACCAAAUGAUUCUGUUGUCGGUAAAAUUCUUUUCUGAUUUCCUUGAGGAAUGUGUCUAUGGUGUCCUCUGCAAGGUAAACAGCUCGCAGAAACUCAGGACUAAGGCCAUUACCUUCUUGACCUUCCAAGGAUUUCAGCUCUUUGAUGGAAUCUCUGACUUGGGAAGCCAGAGCCGGAUCUAUUAUUUCCUUUUCCACCUCUCUUAGUUUCACUAUCACCGGCAAAACGGUGGUUUCGACGGCCAUCGAUUCUCAAACUCCUUUGUGAUUGCGAAUAAGAAUAUAAUCUGGUAAAACUUUUAGCUUUUUGGGAGAUUAAAUUCUAAAAUUCCUCCCUGAAUCCAUAGUCUGUCCAUAAGCGUGAGGUUGACUAUUAAGCGGUUCUUUUUUUUAAUUUUUUAUUUCGAAGGGUGGACAUUUUUUAUCCUAUUUUGUGUCUGCCAUUGCGAUCAUGUGUUUGGUAGGAGUAAGAGAGCGGGUCCCACCGAGGGCAGUUAAAAUCACCCUUUUGGCGGGCCAUGACAAACAACAUGAAUCGAAGAAAAUAUAGAAUACGCAAUUGUUUAAAUUUUCCCACAAACAAUAAGGUUAUGAACUUACGGUUGUUGUUUCGAGUUAGAAUUUCAACCACAUUCAGGGAAAAAAAAUGAAAAAAGUUGGAAUUUCAACUCUUGUGUGGUUUUGAAUUUUUUCAGAUGCAGUCUUAACUAAUGUGCUGGAGUUGGCGGUUUCAACCACAAUCAAGCUCUCGUUCCAAAGUAUUCGGACUUCUUGGUGGCCGAAGUAAUGAGAGUUAGAUACUUUUGUCAAAUUCAUUUUCUGGAAGCUAAAUUUAGCUCUAACCCAUCUUUUAUCUGGAGGAUUAUUUUGUGGGCUAGACAGGUCCUUCAAAAGGGAACAAGAUGGAGAGUGAGAAGAGGAGGCGAUGUUCCAAUUAUGGCAAGUAAUUGCAUUCAGGCCAAUAAUAAUUUAGGCCUAACUUUGUUCCAUCCUUACCUGCAGUUGCUAGAGUCUCAGUGCUAAUUGACCCCAAUCAUCAGUGGAAUGACAGCUUGAUUGACCAGCAUUUGCAAAUGAGGAUGCAGAGAUUAUAUAGAGAAUCCCAUUACUAAGAACUUCCCAAAAAGAUGAGCUACUGUGGCAUUGUGAUAAGAAAGGGCAAUACACAGUGAGGAGUGGCUAUCACUUAGCUCUCAACUUUAAGUUUGCUGCCUUCCCAACAAGUUCAACAGGUGAUUCUCAUGGCUGGCACACCAUAUGGACUCUCAACUACCAGAGAAGAUCAAAAUCUUUCUGUGGAGGGCUGACAAGAACUUGUUGCCAAAUUCAGAAAACAUAUCAAGAAGGGAAACUUUGCAAGAACCAAUGCGCCAAAUCUGCAAAACUGGGGUUGAACAAGUGUUUCUUGCUCGAGUGAGCUAGAAUUUGUGGCGGCUAUCUGGCGGCCAGCAUGACAUGCAAGGAACAAGUUCAUUUUUUUGGGACAGAAACUAAAUCCCUUAAUUUCAGCUGCUAAGGCUCAAGCAGUUAUGGAGACUUUUCAAAGAAUGCAAGCGAAGGAAUAGGUGUGCACAAGAAGCACUGAAGGCAGCAAGCAGAGACAGUGGUAUCCACCGCCUACAGGCCAUUAUAAAGUCAAUUAGAUGUUGUUGCCCACAAAGAUCAGCAGAAUAAAGGGCUAGGUGAUGUCAUCAGGUAUUGCCAUGGCCAAGUGAUAGCUGCAGCACUCAAAAGCUCAAGGUUUCAGGAGAACGAAUCUACAGCAGAAGCUGAAGCUGUCAAAUGGGGGACGGAGGUGGCAAAAGAGGCAAGGUUAACAGCUGUGAUCGUUGAAACGGAUUGCAAUGAAGUGGUUGGUCUAGCCAACAACAAAAUCUGCAGCAGAAUGGAGAUCUUUUGGAUUAUUUCAGAAAUUCAAAGAUGUGAAAGAGACUUUCAAAAUUUGAACAUGCUCCAAGAUCUUGUAAUGACUUUGCUCACUCUUUUGCUAAAAGAGCCUUGAAAAGCUCUAAAUCUGUCAUAUGGUGGAUGAUUUUCCAGCUAACGUAAUAUGUCUUUUCCCUUACAUUAAUGAAUGACAGGAUCACUUUCUUAUCACAAAAAAAAAAAUGUUAACAAAACCUCCAAUCAAAUGUAGCAAGUAGCUAAUUUUAAUAACUGGAUACAGAACUUUGACACAAAAAAAAUUCAAAUAUUUAAUAUUUCGAUUCUUGAAUUCAUAAUACUGAUAUGGCCGCAAGCCCUAAAAAUAACUAUUUCACAUCCAGUUUUGCUCUAGCAUGGCCUUGAGAUAUCUGGAACUGAUCUGUCAUGCCAAAAUGAGCCAUAAGGAGCCAGACAUGAGUGAGAAGCUCUCCUCCUCGUUUUAGCUGACGUGCAUGCUCACUUCCUCGACUCUGACUUGCAGCAUAAGUUAACAUUUCCAACCAAACAUCUCUGACCAUCUUCCAUCUAUUCUUUGAAUCUGAAAUUUCAUUCAAUGCAGAUGCAACCCUGCAUGCAUCGAAUAACACAGACUUGCUUCUGUCUCCUUUAACUUUAAUGGGCAGGACUUGAGUUUUCACUUUCAGUAACAUUUUGCAAGCUUGAAUUCUUCUUUCCUUUCUCCGAUCACAAGCUUUUGUGGCAUGAGUUUGGCUCGUACAAAAAAUGGACAUUCGUUCUUCCCAAAAAUUCUUUCCUUCAGAAAGAGUGUCUCGAAAUCUAAUAAGGCCUAUACCAGCUGGCAAUAAGGAAGGAUACAAAAGUAAGAGAAACAUCAUGUACCUUGACAGGAGCUUGCCCAUUUUUCGAUUGAUGUCACCUGAAAUGUUGCCCCAACUACGUGAAUAAUAGCAAAGUUCUGUUGCAAUGUGCCAGAUAACAAUGCUUUGAUCAAAUUCAACGUCCUUAAUACUCCAAUCAAGAGAAAGAUGCUUAUUAUACUUUACAAGCGCAAUGCUUCCCCUUUUGGUGCACAAGUCCCUAAGACUAACAUUGCUUCCUAUAUUUUCCUUUAGUUGAUCACAUCUCUUCUUGACAUAUUUGAAGAUUGACUUUUGUAAAUACCUUGGCAAUUCUUUGUAAUUCUUGUAUCGGUGCUUUUCCCAUAGUUCACUGAUGAAGCCGCACCUCAGGAUUUUGUAGCAAGGUUUUUCUUUGAGGCAAACAUGUGUAAGACUGUAUUGCCCCAUGGAACUUGACCACCUAGGAGGUUUAACCACUGAUUCCAUACAAUUAAUUGCUUUCAAGUAUUUGCUUUUCUUUUGCUGAAUGAACCACACAUUGGACUGGUCUGAGAGAAGUAGAGCAUAAGCUGCAUAUAAUUCUAGAAAAAUUGCCACACCUAGCAAAAGGUAAGUUAUACUAAUGUUCACCUUAGAAUAAUGCUGCUUGUCAGUAAAAGAGAAAAUCCCCAGUACAAUGCAGGUGAGCAUAAUAGUGAUAAGACGGCGAACAUGACCGCAAGGAGUGUAAAUUACAGAUGCCUUGGUGUAAAGCAUAUCAUACAUCAAUCCUAGCUCGAUGGCAAUCACAUUAAAAGCAUCUUCCUGAGACAUUUCCUGGAAUAAAGAUUGACUAAUGUCGCGGUCCUGGAAACUGAGGAUAAGAUCUGCAAAAAGGCGCUUGAAUGUCUGAAACAACCUAUGAGCUAUAAUCAAGUUGCUGGCAUCAGAAGUUGAGUCUUCUUCUCGAUGAGGUAUAGUUAUUUCAACCUUAUCUUUCACCUCUUUUGGCUCCACAUAAAAUCCCUCUGCAUCUUUCAAACAGUACUCGUUCAUGAAUUUGGGAUAGUUGGGACCAGGAUCAGGAUCUGUAAGCAUAGAAUCUCUAAGUUGAUCCCUGCUUGCUAACCAAAGAGUACAUGUCCUCUCUCCAUACUUAAUAAACCCAAUCACAAUCAUUGGAAUUGUAAGAAAUGAAAGACGAGAGCCAUUCCAUGCCGUGAGAAAUAUGUAAAGAGUGGUCACAGUUUGGACGCCCAGUUGAAAUGCAUGGCGCAAGUACAAUUCAUUGUCUUCUACAGAGUAAGCUGUAAUAGUAUCAGGGCCACCCAAGUGAAGCAGAAAGAAUGGUGCCCAAAAUGCAGUAACUUCGUUGUUGGCGUCAUCGACAGAACCUUUUUUCUCAUAGAUUUCACCUAGGUUAUUUAAGAGUACACCAAGGGCCAUGGUUGCUACGGCAUCUGCAAGCAAGUAGGCACACCAAACUGGAACUUUAAUCAUAAUUUUGGGAUUACACUUCCUGCGAUUGCCCAUGAGAAUUAGAGAGAUUUGUGAGGCGAGGCUGAGGAAAACCAGUGCUCUCAGCUCCCAUUCCUUCCACAAAUCCUUUAACCUUUGAGGAAUCACCUCCAUCAUCAUCCUCUUUCUCGCCAAGAUCAAGCUGCCGACAGCUGAUAAUUUACAAUACAAAAAUAAUUGAAGAUUUGAUUUUCCCAGUGAAUGACAUAGAUUAACCGUGAAUGAGAGUAGUGUUUAAUUUUAUCUCAAAUUAAAGUAUACCUGAUUUCGUAUUAAUGAAAAUGCCUACGCUAGAAUUAAAUCAGUUACGCACCUGCUGUGAGCAUCAUUUUGGCUAUUGCAGUUCUUGUUCUAAACCUGUUUGAACUUGAGAGAAAGCAGACGUCUUGAGUUCUAACCAAGCCGUCAUGCACAGUGUCUGAACAGCAGGAGAUAACGGGCCCUCAUGAAACCUGCACCACAGAAGCACCUUUCCAAUGUCCAAUAUUCAAAAAUUAAAUUUCAAACUGAAUAAUCAUUUCAGGUUCAGGCGACUGUCAACUUCAACUUUCCACCGUUGCCACCACCAUCAACUUCUUUUCGGGCGCUUCCCAAAACCCAGAUGAGAAGAAGCUCGACAGGCUGACGGAGGUAAUUGCAGCAGAUACACCUUGAUACUUUCAAAAUUAUCCCAAUACCCUGAAAUCAGAAUUUACCAAAAUUUUCAUCAAUACCCUCUAAAAGCUUACAUAAAAUUAGUAAACCAUCCUCGUCUUAAAACACUUACACAACUCAAACAUUCAAACACUCAUACAUGUUGAACUAGACAUCAACACAUGAGCAAAUCGAGCUUGAAAAGGGGAAGCUAUUGCAAUUGAGAAAGAGAAGCUUGGUUCGUCGUUGACAAUUGCCGACGAAAUACGAUUCUUUACUGCAAAAUUGUUGGAAUCUAACUAUUUUCGAAAAGUAAUUCCUUAUAAUUAGCUUUUUUUUUAUAUUUAAAGAAAAAUAAAACAUUUAAGAUCUUAUAUUGCAAAAAUAUAUUAAAUUAGUUGUCGGUCUUUCAUAACAUAUAAAUUUCUAGUUGUUUGCUCCAUAUAAAUGGUGAAAUUUAAUAGAUUGUACAGAUUAUAAUUUAAUUGUAUAAUGUUGUGUAACUCACGAUUUGGUCGUGUAAGGUCAUGUAACAUAAGAUUUAAGGUCGUGUAAUACACUCAUAUAAUACACGAUCAUCAAUCGUAUAUGACAUGACUUUUUGUAUUAUUAUGCGAUCUUGAAUUAUUUAUUACAGGACUUUCACGAUCUUUAGUUGUAUAUUACAUGACCUUCAUGUAUUAUAAGACUUUCAUGUAUUAUAUGACUUUAUGUAUUACGCGAUUACACGACCUUAAUGUAUUAUACGGUUUUAAAAUUACUCGACUUUUUUUCAUUAUUCAUUAGAAUAAUUUAGUUCUUUAAACACUUAAUUUGUGUUAAGAAUUUAUAUUUGUUGCUAUGUAGAAAAUGUCAAUGAAAAUUAUUUAAAAAAAGAAUUGAAUACAUAAUUAUAUUUGUAUAAGAGAUUAUAAGAGAUUUUAAUCGAAUUUCAAUAAGAAGAAAUUUGAGUGUAAGAACUAAGAAGACAAUGAAAAGGAGUGGAUUUCAUGCUUUCAUUUUAGACUUCAUAGGCAUUUAUUAGGGUAUCUAUGAAAAUAAAAAAAAGGAGAAAAUAUUUAAAUAAUUUUACAACUAUUAAAAAGUAUUUAAUUAUAAACCCCCGGGCUGAAGUCCCGUGACUCCAGCUUAGAGAGAGGAUGUCAAAUCAAAAGAUAGCAUGUGGCCCGGGCUGCUCAAAUCGUCCGGCACAGAAUGGUCCAUUGAUGGGCUAGCCCACUAGACCCGUAUUUUAUAAUUUUAAUUUUUUAAUUUAGACUAUUUUUCUUUUUCUUUUUAUUUUUUUCACAUACAAUUAUUUUUAAGGCAUAUUAUUUCUUUGAACGAAAUUUUAAAAAUCCAUUAGUUCAACUCAAGACUUUAAAGAUUUUAGUGCAAUAAUAAAACCACUAAAGUUGCGUUUGGGGUAGCUAUGCUUUUAUAUUAACAUUUUGCAAGGGCCAAUAUAUAUGUAUAAAUAAAUUAAGUGAAUUAUUAAAUUUAAAUAAGAUAGAUCAUAGAUGUUGAUAUCCAAAAUAGUAACGACAGUAUUAACAAUAGUCAUAGCCAUGAUAAUGUAACAUAAGUACAGAUUAUUUUUAACACAAGUACAAAGUUUUGUAAUUUAAACUAUAUUCAACUAAAGGAACAAAAUUUAUUGUUUCUAAAAACUAUUCAAUUUUGGGAAAAGGACCACCUUGUACGAAUCUUGGGAAAAAAGUAAUGAUCUAUAGGGGACAAUUUAUUAUAACUCAAUAUUAUGUGAUUGCUUUUAACACUUAUAUAACACAUCAUAAUUGAAUGUAUAAUUUUGAUAUCUUAAUUAAACUCCUUUCCUCCAUCUUGAUUAAUAUUUAAAUGAAAAUAAAAGAAAUUAGUAUUUUGAAAAAUUUUGACUGCAAAGUAUGUGUAAUGCUUUUUUACAUUUUUAAAAAUAAAAUAAAUAUAAUUACUAUAAAAUAGCCCCUUUUUUAGAUUUUGACCCUUCUUCUCUUCUUAUUUUUUUUUGUCUUCUUCUUCUUAUAUUUCUUUUUUUAAUAUUUAUAAAAUAUUUAUUAUUAUUAUUAUUAUUAUUAUUGUGUUAUCGUAAAUAAAUAAAAAGGUUAUUAUCGUUUCACUAUUUCAAAUAUUGUAAAAUAUCAAAUGAGUACAAAAAAUUAUUGUUUCUUAUUAUUUUACUACUACAGCUUUGCAAAGUCUUUUAUUUUACUACUUUUUUGUUAAAAUUGUUAGUUGACUAGUUAAAAAGUAAUUUUGUCUGUUAUGGCAAAACAAACAAAUAGAGGUAUCAAAUAGUAGACAAAAAAUCAUAUUAUGCCCUUAAAUUAUUAGAUAAUAGUUUUAACUAUUGAUUUAUGAAUAAUCUUUAAUUUAUUAUAACUAUAAAAUAGCGAAUUGACCAAAAAAAAAAAUCCUUGGAUACUUUGUUAAAAAGAAAUACAAUCUAUUUUCAACAAAAAAAAAAAAUUAAAGCUUAUCUUCAGAAUCAACACUUCUAUAUUUUAGUUUUUUUUAAAGAAUAGAUUGUGUCUUUUUUUAAGAAAAAUAUCUGGGGUAUUUUUGUCAGUUCAAUACUUUUAUAGAUAUAGUAAAUUUAAGUUUAUUAAUAAAUUCAUGAUGAAAACUAUUAUUUAGCAGUUUAAGGGCAUAACAAUAAUUUUAUGUCUAUUAUUUAAUACCUCUAUUUGCAUAUUUUACCAUAAAAGGGUAAAUUGAUAUUUUAUUAGUCAAUUAAUUAGUCAACUAAUGGUUCUAAUAGAAAAGUAGUCAAAUGAAAGAUUUUGUAAAAUUAUAGUAAUAAAACGGUAUGGAACAAUACUUAUUAUAGUUAUUUGAUCUUUUACAAUUUUUAAAGUAUUAGAAUAAUGAUAACCCUAAAUAAAAUUAAUAACUAGAAUUCUUUUAAGUAAUUUUUUAUAACCUAACUUGAUUAUGUUGUUAUAAGUAAAUCUUAAAAUUUGGUGUAUUUAAUAGUUAUAUUAGUGUUUUAAGUAAGCAAAAUUAAUUAAUUUAAUUAGUUGAGUAAGAAUAUUUUUGUAAUUUUAAAGAGUUUACAAAAUAAAACUUAUUUUUCUUAAAAUUAGUAUGUGAAUAUUUAUAGUAAUAGAGUAUUUAAAGUAAUUUUUAGAGUGCAAAUGGCCAAACCCAUAACUUAUUCUUUUAACUCGAUGAUUUUUAUAAUCCAGUGGUAAUACCUUAAUAACGUGAAUUCAAGCCCCCCUAGGGCUUCAUUUCCUUUCCUAAUAAUUGGAUUGGGUAGAUAUCUCCUCAUAUCAGUGGAAGCAGAUUUCUAAGUUAGUGCUAGGCAAACCUUAGGGAAACGUAUGUAUUUAUUGUCCCAAAAAUACCAUAUUGUAAUAUAUCUAUAGAUUAUAAUAAUUUGAAAAAUAAACCUAACUUUUAACAUAAAAUUCAAUAAAUUUUGUCACAUUCCAAAUUGAGUUGAAUUUAUGUUAUUUAUUAAUGUUAUGUUAUUUCCUUUCAAAUUUUUAUUAUACUACCAAAUUCGAUUUAUUGUAUUGUAGUGUUUCAAAUUUAAUGAUUUAAAAUUACAUUGCAACAAACUUUUCUUUUAAUAUCAGUGUUUCUUUUAAUGUUAUUGAAUUCAAUAACUUUAAAUCUAAUAUCAGUAUAUCACAUUCUAAAUAAAAUUGGGUUGUCGGUUAUUAAUAAUUUUAUUUUUUAAUCGUUAAUUACACUAUGAAAAUUGAAUUAUUAUGCUGUUGUACUUCAUAUUAAACAACAUAAUAUCUAAUUGAAUCAUAUUAAAAUUUUUUUUUAAAGUAACUAAAUGCAAUAAUUUUAGAUAUCAACAAAUUUUGUCACAUUCCAGUUAAUUGAAUUUGAAUAUUAAUUGUUGUAAUUGUUUCAAUUAUUAAUUAUAUUAUUAAAUUUGAAUUGAAUGUGUAAUUUUAAUCUUUUAUUUUUUUUGUUAAGGUAAAAUGUAUUCUAGAAUUGAAUUUCAAAUGGUCAGUUAAAAGAACAAAAACAAAAAAUCACUUGAACAAACUUUGGCAAGCCGAAGUUUGAUCAUUUUAUUUCAAUUCAAUAACAUGUAAUCUUUUUUUUUUAUUAUUACAUGAAACUAUUGCUCAUAGUACAACUCAUAUUACAUGAGAUUAUAACUGAUAUUUACAAAUUAGACUAUUACUGGGACCAACUUACAUCAAUGCUAAUAGAGUUCUGCCCAGAUUUUUAACCUUCACUAAUAUUCGAAAGAUGUCUACUCCAUUCACACUUGGGUAAGGGAUAAGACUACCUUUACUCAAUUAUACAAUAUAAUUAAGGAGAAAAUACCCUCACAUUGGGGUUGCGGGAGUUCGAAUUUCUGUCCUCCAAGAGCCCUAACCACUUGGCCUCUAACAUGUAACCUAUUUAAAUUGAUUUGAAUUUGAAAUUAUGCUAUAAAAUUUGAAUUGAAUAUUUUCGAGAAUCAUCCUUUUGAAAUUGUUCCGGCUUUUUAUGUUUUGCAUACGUAAAAGUCGCUUUGUCUAUCGUGCCCGUUGGGCACCAUCGUCUUGUAGUGAAGCCAUUGUUGGAUGAAAAGGAGCAAUGUCGUGCAGUCGUGAAGUGGGCACGUGCCACCUGAAGCAAACCGAGAAUGUAGGUCAUUAGAUAAGAAUCAUUAAUGUUGCAAUUAUUUUGUUUAAGGGAACAAGAAAAUAUUGGUGUAUAUAACUGUUGAUGCGAGAUUCUGGUUACGCCUUCCAACGACCAGGAUGUCUGCUCGAUCAACCUCACCUCGAUCAGGAUCUCUCCUCGUACGCUUUCUUCUCUAAGUAUCCCUGCGUUCACAGAAACAAGUCAGAGCACGCCGGUUGUUUUCCCGGCGUAAACCCUCCGACGCUCAAGUCAGAUAUGAAGGCUCUGGGAACGCUUGCCACAAAUCUUAUGGCUUUUAGGUCGUUUGUUCUCUUUUAGAAUUUUACUUUAUCUCUCUAUAAUCUCAAAAUUGCUAACCCUUUUACCUUCGUUGGCUACCUUUUUAUAGGUCACCUCUGAACUCGGGCCUCCCCUCCAUUCGCGCUCGCCAUCCCCCCACUUCUCGAAAGUGGAUGCUCCAUUGCCAUAGUCGUGGGUGGUUGCGUGGCCCUCGAGCCUUGAUUCUCGGACUGGAGAACAUGUCUCACCAACUGUCGUUGACCGGGUCUCCUCGACCCAACCGUUAGUAGGAAUAUAGCAGGAAUGGCUUCACACUCCCAACAGGAGACUGACCUCGUGGAAGAGCAGGAUACUCCUGCUCCUGCUCCCCCGGCUACCAGACUCUUGCAAGAUAUACCUGUUCGAGGAAACCUGCUACCAGGCGCCUGCUCAUCACUGCUGGUUGUGGUCGAAACAUAUCCCACAAACACCAGUCCCCCAGUUUCUUGUGUUGGAUAGCGUAGUGAGCCAACAGUAGAAACUCGACAGUUCUUGCUCGCGUGGGAUAGAAAAAGGCUGCCAAGAGUCGUGUCGCAUUUAAUUGCGGAUGAGAUGAUGUGGCAGAGAUCCACCCCUCCAUUUGAAUUUCAAACCGACGGUUACGAGACCCUCGGGAUUCGGUGUUGUUAAAUGCUGGCUAUCCAAGGGUUUUUCUUCCAAUAAGAUAACCCAAAACCUCUCGAAGGGAAAUUAGCCAUUUCCACCGUCUCUGUCCUUGUCUCUCCGGCGAAGAAGUUUCGGCAUAAAAGCCCUCAUCCUCGCCUUUCUCCGACUGAAACAGUACUUCAGGUAUUACUUCUUUCUCCUCGGUCUCGGAUAAUUUGUAGAUAACUUCUUUUUUAUUUGCUUUGCUUGGGGUAGUAGUUGGUGGUGGUGUUUUGGUUAUUAUCUAAGGAAUGUCGAAGGGUAAGGAGAAAGUCGUUGAGAUUGACGACGACAAACUAGGUUUCUUGCCUAGUCUGCUCACUGAUCCUGCUUUUGACCCCGGGAUCCCCUUAGAGCCCAUUAGGUCUAGCAUAGGGAUUAGUGCUAGGAGGAUGUCCCCCCAAACAACCUCCACAAGCGGAAGUAGUGGUGAGGAGGGAUCCUCUGGUUCGGAGAACACCCUAAGUGAGGAUCAAGGAGGUGACUCUGGUGAGGGAUCCUCACCGGGAACAUUGCGACCAGAAGGGCGGAGUACAGUAGGAGGUAGAGCCUUGUCGCGAGAUUAUGACAUUGAUUACAUGACGUGCACGACCACGUUUGUCGAGCUCAAUGACCUCCGACUUAGGUAUAGUAUCCCUAGUGAAAUUCCUCUCAAGAUCCCAGGGAAGAAAGAUACACCUAGCCGGCCUCCUAGGGGAUAUGUUACCCUGUUUCUGGAGAGCUUUAAGUUUGGGCUGAGGUGUCCCUUGCAACCCUACUUUGCCUGGAUACUUAAUGGGCUAAGUCUGGCUCCUGGUCAACUGAACCCCAAUGGGUGGAGAGUGCUCUCUGGUCUGUUCAUAUUGUGGGACAGAUGCUGCCAAAGCGAGCCCACGGUUGAUGAGGUGAAGCACCUGUACCAGCUGAAGAGCAGCCCCAAAGAUGCCGGCUGGUACUACUUCCAAUCUAGUACCAAGAGCAGGAAACCUAUAACCGAUCUUCCUACUGGUGGUGGUGGGAAUUGGAGGAAGAAGUUCUUUUUCGCAGGGGGUCCCUGGGGGUCAAGUUGCACAGGUUGAUGGUCAGGACUUCCGCGUCCCAACCCGUUUCGUGGUCCCAGGUUGCCUGCUCGUAUUAGAUGUCUUGUCUCCCUUGUGGUUUGCACUUUACUGGUUUAUCUCUAAUCAAAUGUUUGUUUGUGCUGCAGGUUCUUGGGGUGUUCACUUCCCGCUCGAACCUGACCAGCUCAAACGAGUCGAGGCUGUACUAGCCAAUUCCUGCCCGAGUCGGGAGCUGAUAACUACCUACAACCUGCUCGAGUCUCGUUUGGUGCCCCCCGGCCAUAAGAUGGAGGAUGCUGUGAUUGGGGCUCUGACUCGGAAGCGUCCUCGACCUCCAACUACGAAGAGGGACCAGAGCAAGGACGCUCCCACUGCGAAGCGAGUGAAUACUGUGCAACAGGUUCUUCCCCUGAAGACUCUACCUCCUCCUCCUGCCAAAGUCGGAGAAAGUAGUGGAGCAGCCACUGAUCCUGCUUCCUCUUCUCCUCCUGUCGGGCCUCGGUCUCGUCUAUCUGACAACCGAGCAGAACACUUGGGCCCCUAUCUCAACGAGCUUUCCAAACUUGUGAGCAAGAAAUACUUGGAGGAUUUUGAGGGCUGCACCUUAGGCGAGCUGGUGGGAGCCAUGCAGUACAGCGCUUUCCAUCUCAGCUGCAUGACCACCUACUAUAAGGCCAAGGUUGGCCGUUACAACAGGAAGAUGAAAGAGGACAUCCAAUCGGUGACGAUCAGAGCUGACGUUGCCGAGAAGAAGGCAGGGGAGCUGAACGUUGAGAACCUCAAGCUGAUAGAGCAAGAAUCUCUUGCUCAAGCAAAAGCCAUUACCCUCGAGGAGGAGCUGAAAAAGGUCAAGGAGGAUCUGCAAGGGCAGAAGGCUGUGUAUGAGGCUCAGUUUGAAUCUCUCCGCGAUUCCCACCAGGCUCAGGUCGAGAACUUGGAGAGGGAGGCCGACAAUCAGUACGACCAGGGACUUCGGCAUUCCUAUCGUUGCAUCAUGGCCGUCCUCGGGAGGCAGCAUCCUGAUCUGAAGAUGGAUGACCUUGCAGCUGGUGUUGCUCAACAUAUGGACGAGGAGGCGGCCAAGGAAGAUGCCGAAGGGAUAGAGCCGAUCGUGAUUGAGGAGGAAAAUUCUCCUCCUCGGGCAGUCCCUGCUGACGUUGGCGAGGCGAGCACCCCUGCUGUCGUUGCUGAGGCGAGCACCCCCCCGAACGCAACUGGUGAAACUCCCCCCGCACCUGAGGAGGUCCCGUCAACCGAUGCUGCUCGGCUUACUGAUCCGCCCUCUUCUUGAUAUAUUUCUUGCGUUGUAAUGAACAACGUUUACGAAAUUUAUCUUCUCUGUUAAUUAUUUGCACAUUAAUAAAAAUGUUUUUGAUUACUUUCUUGUGUUGUAAUCGUGAGUUAUUUUUCGUUUAAGAAUCUGCUCGUCUUCGUCUGGUUGAGCAGGUUCUGGCUUGGCAUAUGGUUUUGCCAUAUGCCUUAGAAAAUUUUCCAAUGUUUGGGUUUCUGCUCGCCUUCGCGCGGUCGAGCAGAUCCUGGCUCGCUAGGCUUCUGGCCUUGCCAUAGACAGGCUUUGAAUGCUAUGGAGUCUGCCCGCCUUCACGUGGUCGAGCAGAUCUUGGCAUGCUUGGCUUCUGUCUCGCCAUAAAACGGGCUUUGAGACUUGACGAGCCUUUGCAUGCCUUAGAAAUUUUUUCGAAUGCUUUGGAGUCUGCUCGCCUUCACGGGGUCAAGCAGGUCCUGGCAUGCUUGGCUUCUGUCUCGCCAUAAAACAGGCUUUGAGACUUGACGAGCCUUUGCAUGCCUUAGAAAUGACUUCGUGAUUGGGGAUUCUGCUCUCCUUCGCGUGGUCGAGCAGAUCCUGGCAUGCUUGGCUUCUGUCUCGCCAUAAAACAGGCUUUGAGACUUGACGAGCCUUUGCAUGCCUUAGAAAUGACUUCGUGAUUGGGGAUUUUGCUCGCCUUCUCGUGGUCGAGCGGAUCCUGGCAUGCUUGGCUUCUGUCUCGCCAUAAAACAGGCUUUGAGACUUAACGAGCCUUUGCAUGCCUUAGAAAUGACUUCGUGAUUGGGGAUUCUGCUCGCCUUCGCGUGGUCGAGCAGAUCCUGGCAUGCUUGGCUUCUGUCUCGCCAUAAAACAGGCUUUGAGACUUAACGAGCCUUUGCAUGCCUUAGAAAAUUUUCACAGUUUCAAGUGACUGAAAUUCCUCGACGUUCCAUUAAUUGCAGGAUUUGAUUUUACAUGAACUUGCUAUGACAUAAAACAUAUAAAAAAUAAGAGAUAACGAGCACAAGCAGAAAUAGCUUUGAAAUGUGAACAAGUCUUAUUGGAAGUAUUUUCGAAGGUGUGCUGCGUUCCAUGGGCGCUUCACCUCGUGGCCAUCCAUACGAACCAACUUGUAAGCUCCUGGUCCAACUAGCUGCUUGACUCUAUAAAGCCCCUCCCAAUUCGGACCGAGCACUCCUUGAGUCGAGUCUUUGGUGUUCUGAUUCACUCUCCUUAACACCCAAUCUCCGACCUUGAACUGCCGUAUAUUCACCUUCUGGUUAUAAUACCGAGCAAUCCUUUACUGAUAAAUGGCUGAUCGACCAGCUGCUUGCUCCCUCUUUUCCGUUAGUAGAUCAAGAUUCAAACACAUCUGCUCGUCGUUAUCCUCCUCAUUGAAAUGAUCUGUCCGGUGCGUGGUCGUUUCUAUCUCAGCUGGUACGACCGCUUCAUGUCCGAAAGCCAGAGCGAAUGGUGUCUCCCCAGUUGCUGUUUUGUGGGUUGUUCUGUAUGCCCCUAGCACACCUGACAGCUCGUCAACCCAUGCACCCUUUUUUGCUCCGAGCCUGGUUUUCAAAAGCCUCUUGAUGGUCUUGUUAGCUGCUUCCACUUGUCCAUUCGAUUGGGGGUGAGCAGGAGAGCAAUACUUCAGCUCUAUCCCGAGGUUCUGGCAAAAAUCCCUGAAGCUGUGAUUAUCGAACUGCCUGCCAUUAUCCGUUAUAAGGGCAUAAGGGAUCCCGUAUCGACAGACCAGGUUUCUCCACACAAAGUCUGUUGUUUUCUUCUCUGUGAUCCUGCUAAGGGCUUCUACCUCUAUCCAUUUCGUGAAGUAGUCUAUAGCAACUAUUGCAUGUGUUGCUGCUCCUCGUCCCUUUGGCAGCGGGCCGAUCAGAUCAAUUCCCCAUUGAGCAAACGGCCAAGGGGAGGCCAUAGAGGUGAGCUUCUCUGGUGGUUGGUUGGAGAAACUUGCAAAACUCUGGCAGCUUACACAGCUCCUGGUCUUCUCCUGAGCAUCCCGGUGCAUUGUCGGCCAGAAAUAUCCCUGCCUUAGAACCUUGUGGGCCAGGGACCUCCCACCAGAAUGGUUCCCGCAAAUUCCUUCAUGUACUUCUCUCAGCACGUAAUCCGCGUCGUCCUCAUCCAAACAUCGAAGGAAAGGUAGUGUAUAUCCUCGCCGAUACAGUACCCCAUCAAUCAUCGUGUAUCUCGAGGCCUGGGCUCUAACCUUCCGAGCUCGCAGCUUAUCUGGUGGUAAUACCCCGUCUCUGAGGUAUGAAAUUAUCGGGUCCAUCCACGAGCAUUUUUGUUCUAUCCGCAACACCCCCAAAUUAUGCUCGAUACUUGGGUUGGACUUCACCUCCAGAGGGACUGACUUUGGCAUUUUUGGGUUGGCAACUGCUGCCAUCCUGGCCAAAAUGUCUGCUCGACUAUUCUGCUCCCUGGGGAUUUGUAUCACCUCCACUGCUUCAAAUUUCCCCAUCAUCUGCCUGACUAUCUUUAGGUACUGCUCCAUCUUCUCCUCUCUUGGUUGAAAUCUUUCACUGACAUGAUUUGCAACCAGCUGGGAAUUAGUUCUGAUUUUCACUCUGUCUGCUUUCACGGCCUUAGCCAAUUCCAAACCUGCUAUCAAGGCUUCAUACUCUGCCUGGUUAUUUGUGGCUGCAAAUUCCAACUUUACAGCAUAAGAGAUCUCCUCCCCCUCCGGGCCUUCCAAGACAAUCCCUGCUCCUGAACCCUGCUCUCCUAAUGACCCAUCCACAGACAUCUGCCAUACUUGAUCUUCGCCACUGUCUGUAACUACAUCUCGCCGAUCUAAACAUACCUCGGGCUCUGUGAAUUCAGCUACGAAAUCGGCCAUUGCCUGAGCCUUUAUCGCUGCUCGGGGUUUGUAGUCGAUGUCGAACUCGCUCAGCUCUAUAGCCCACUUGACGAGCCGACCAGAAGCAUCUGGCUUGUGCAGAGUUUGACGUAAUGGCUGGUUUGUUAUUACUGAAACUGGGAAUGCUUGAAAAUAUGGCCUCAACUUCCGAGCCGCAACCACAAGGGCAAGUGCCCAUUUCUCCAACGGUGGGUAUCUGGUCUCGGCAUCGAACAGGGCCUUGCUGGUGUAGUAUAUCGGAUACUGAACUCCUUCUUCCUCUCUCACCAGAACAGAACUGGCGGCCCGAUCCGAUACCGCCAAAUAUAGAUAUAACUUGUCCCCAUCCCUCGGUGUGGACAGCAGUGGAGCUUACUGCAAGUAUUGCUUCAAGUUCUGGAAGGCUUCCUCGCAUUCUGAUGUCCAUUCUGUUUUCUUUCCCCUCCUUAUCACUUGAAAGAAUGGCUGACACUUAUCUGUAGCCUUGGAUAUGAAUCUGCUCAACGCCGCCAACCUCCCGGUGAGGCUCUGCAUCUCCUUCAGGUUACGAGGAGACCUCAUCUGCACAAUCGCUUGGAUUUUCUCGGGAUUUGCUUCAAUCCCCCUAUGGCUCACCAUGAAUCCAAGGAAUUUCCCUGACUCGACCCCAAAAGCACACUUCUCCGGGUUGAGCUUCAUCUUAUACUUUCUCAAAAGCUCGAAUGUCUCCUCGAGGUGUCUGACAUGUUCCUUCGGGAUUUUGGAUUUGGUGAUCAUGUCAUCCACGUACACCUCCAUGGUUUUCCCAAUCAACGGCUUAAAGACUUUAUUCACCAGCCUCUGAUAGGUGGCCCUGGCAUUUUUUAGACCAAAUGGCAUUACCCUGUAACAGAACAAACCUUGGUUAGUGAUGAAAGCCGUGCUCUCCUCAUCCUGCUCGUACAUGGGGAUCUGGUUGUAUCCCGAGAAUGCGUCCAUGAAACUAAGCAGACCGUGUCCAGCCGUUGAAUCUACUAGCUGAUCGAUCUUCACCAACACCAUAUUCGAUAUCCAUUCAGGGUAAUUAACUUCCCGAAUGAACCCUGCUCUCAAGAGCUUCUCCACCUCGCCAUUUAUAGCCUCAUACCUCUCCUGGUUGAAGCACCUCCUCUUCUGCCUUACUGCCCGCGCACCUUUCUUUAUUGCCAGCUUAUGACAUGCUACCUCAGGGUCAAUCCCUGGCAUGUCUUCAUGUGUCCAAGCAAACACAUCUGCAUGAGCCUGUAAGCAUUUCACCAACUCCUGCUUUUGCUCUCCCUUAAGUCUCGACCCGAUUCUGAUCGUCUUUCCCGGAUUCUCUGGUCCCAGGCUUACUGUUUCCAGAUCCUCUACAGGUUCUUGCCUGCCAUUCCUGUUUUCCACUCGGGUAUCGAGGGAUGUUAUCUGCAUUGCUUCCCUUGCUGCCGAGGAGUAGCAACUUCUUGCGAUCCUCUGGUCUCCUCGUACCACUCCAACUACCCCAUUCACCCGGUACUUCAGAGCCAGAUAAUGGUUGGACAGCACCGCUUUGCUCAUCCUCAGAAAUGGCCGGCCUAGGAUCAUCUGGUAAGGACCUUCCUCAUCCACUACCACAAAGUCCAGUAUCAUUGUCCUUUCUGUCGGGGAGCUCCCAAUCGUGAUAGGUAGCUCGACCACGCCCAGAGGGACCAGCUUUCCUCCUCCAAACCCCUUCAAGGAGGUACUGGUGUAAUCCAACUUCAGGUCUGCUAUUCCCAUCUCUUCCAGGGUUGACUUAAACAACACAUCAACUGAACUCCUUGUGUCAACCAGUAUCUUGUCAAACUUCUUGCUAGCAACAGUGGCCUUGAUGACCAAAGCAUCCUCGUGGGGGUAUAGGAUCCAUUCUUCAUCCUCAUCUGUCCACAUGAUUGGCACUUGCCUGACUCUUGCACGUUUGGCUGCUGGGGUGUUGAAGAACACCUCUUUGCUGGUCAUGGCAUAUCUAGCAUAAUUCUUCCUCGACCUGUUGGAAUCCCUGGCCAAUGUUGGGCCCCCCGCUAUAACCCUUACUGCAGGCUGCUCGCGCCUCAAGUGCCUGUCACUCUGCUCCCCUUCACUUGUUGAGGCUACCAUUGGGAAGGUCCCAUCUAUAAACUCGUCCAGAUACCGAUUUCUCACCAAAUCUUCAACCUGGGUCUUAAGAUCUCUGCAAUCUGCUGUGGUGUGGCCAUUAGUGCCAUGGAACUUACAAUAGCGUCCCUUAUCCCUCCUGCUGGGUGGCUUUGUUAUUGGAGCAGGAACGUAUAGCAACCCCCGAUCCUUUAUGGCCUCGUACACCUCGUCCAGGGACAUCUUCAAGGAAGUAUACCGCCCAUAGUCCUGGUUCUGGUCGAUUAGGUGCACUGCUCUUUCUCUAUUUGCUCCAUUCUGAGUUGGAGGCGGCGGCAGUAAUUCUGGUCUGCUCCCUCUGCUACCGUGGGAGUGUUGAUGGAGACCACCAUAUGCCGAAUCAUGCCUUCUCCAAGGCUCCCUAGCUGGGGAACGAGGAGGUUACGCCCUGCUGCGCUGAUAUUGUGGCGGCCUCUGAUGAGGCUGGUAAGCAGCUACCCGACCUCCUGCUCCACUACCCGAGGUCUGGUGGUCCCUCCUCCUGAUCGGCCUAUUCCCUGAUAAUACUUUCUUCUCUUUCCUCCCCAACCCUUCUAACUGGUCUGUCUUAAUCCGAGCAGCCUUUUCUUCCUCGAUCUCUAUGUCUCUUUUGGCCUGCUCGUAUGCGGUUGCAUACGUCUGAAUAGCUGGGCUUCUCAAGUUGUACCAAAGCCUUCCUAUCUUUACUCCCUCUUUCAAUCCCCUUAGUGCCUGAGGAUGGUUGAAGGCUCCCAAGUCGAGGACAGCACGAUGAAACCUCUUGAUGAAUUCCCGAAGGGUUUCCUGCUCCCCCUGUUUCAUGCUUUUCAGCUCCAUCAUGUCAUCUUCUGGUGCCAUUGCCCCACUAAACUGCUCUGCAAAUUCCUGGCACAUCUGCUCGAAGGUCUUAAUGCUCCCCCGAGGAAGUUUCCUGUACCACUCGCGUGCACGUCCUUCCAGGGAGAGUGGGAACACUCUGCACCUUUGGGAUUGAGAUAACCCUUGCACCCCGGUAAUGUCGUUGAAGCGCUCUAUUUGCACCAACGGAUCAGUUCGUCCCGAAUAUCUAAGGUCUGGGAGGCGAAAAUCCCUUGGGAUGAUUGCCCUCAUGAUCUCUGCUGCGAGCGGUGAUUCUCCGUCCAGCAUUAUCCUCCAACCAGGAGUUCUGCUCCUUCCUUGCAUGUUAUCAAUUACCUGCGCUAGUCUGCGCACUUCCUCCUCCAGCUGCACUGCACGACCAGGAUCGCGUGCCGCAACUUGGUCCCGCUCUUGCUCUACAUCAUGCAAGUGUUGCCUCAACUCUGGUUCCUCUGCAUUCACUACCCCAUCGUCCUCGUCAAGAAUCUGUCUUGCCGGGGACUGCUCUUCCUCUCUAUGAAAUUCUUCCCGCAGAGAUAGGUUAACCCUCUCACCGCCAAAUCUCCCGGUGGUUUGAUUUCUCCUCGUACUAUCGUGACCUGGUGUCACUCCACCACCUCUCACCCUUUUCUCCUGGGUUCCUCUUCGUUCACUCCGCAGCUCAUGUAGGAUGGUUGUCAGGGUCUCCAUCUGCUUCUCCAUCUGUUCCAUCCGGUCGAACAUGGCCUUUUCCCGCGCUUCACUGGCUAUCUCUCUCAGCGUCACGGAGUCAUUUAGCCUCAUAUCACCCCCUUGUGCACUACUCCCUCCUGUCUCCAUCGCUUUUCCACUUGCUUCACUCCUCUUCUUGCUAUCAACAGAAGCUUUUUGCUCAGCUCCCCACAGACGGCGCCAAAAUGUUGAUGCGAGAUUCUGGUUAUGCCUUCCAACAACCAGGAUGUCUGCUCGAUCAACCUCACCUCGAUCAGGAUCUCUCCUCGUACGCUUUCUUCUCUAAGUAUCCCUGCGUUCACAGAAACAAGUCAGAGCACGCCGGUUGUUUUCCCGGCGUAAACCCUCCGACGCUCAAGUCAGAUAUGAAGGCUCUGGGAACGCUUGCCACAAAUCUUAUGGCUUUUAGGUCGUUUGUUCUCUUUUAGAAUUUUACUUUAUCUCUCUAUAAUCUCAAAAUUGCUAACCCUUUUACCUUCGUUGGCUACCUUUUUAUAGGCCACCUCUGAACUCGGGCCUCCCCUCCAUUCGCGCUCGCCAUCCCCCCACGUCUCGAAAGUGGAUGCUCCAUUGCCAUAGUCGUGGGUGGUUGCGUGGCCCUCGAGCCUUGAUUCUCGGACUGGAGAACAUGUCUCGCCAACUGUCGUUGACCGGGUCUCCUCGACCCAACCGUUAGUAGGAAUAUAGCAGGAAUGGCUUCACACUCCCAACAGGAGACUGACCUCGUGGAUGUCGUACUCGUGGAAGAGCAGGAUACUCCUGCUCCUGCUCCCCCGGCUACCAGACUCAUUAAUGUCACUUCUAGUCAUCUGAUAAUACACUGAUACAGUCACCUAAAUUUUAUGCCAAUUGCAGUGACAAAAUCGUAAACAAUAAACAACAUAUUAUUCCUCACCAACUACCUUACAAAUAUUUGUUUCAACUAACUAAUUUAUUGUUAUAUACACCAAUAUUUUCUUGUUCCCUUAAACAAAAUACUGUAUCAGUGUAUUAUCAAAUGACUAGAAGUGACAUUAAUGAGAGUAAAAAAGAACUAACAAUGAAAGGAUAGGAAGUAAAUGUACGAAUUUAAAAGUAUUUAGGAUGCAAUCUAAUUUGUUAAAUCCACUUGCUCGGUAAAAGUUCGAGCAAAAAAAAAUCAGAAAAAACCAACAAAAAACACCAGAACCCAAACCAUUGCAGGAAGUAGCACCUUCGCCUCUGUUGAGGCCUGCUCUGUCGAUUAAGAGUUCUAUCCAAAUCACAAAAAACUAACGGAAAUCGACACUCACAAAAAACUAACGGAAAUCGACCAUAACAUCCACGAAACACGCCGCCUCCGUUCAUAAUUUUUCGCCAUGCAUUGAUUAACAUCACCGCUCUCCACCACUACAACCUUUCUAACUAUUCACCACCGCCGAUCAACGAACUGAUCACCGGAAUCGAAACCCACAAAAACUGCCAUUGCUUAUCUCAAUUUCCAACCAAACCACCAACUUUUGGAAAAACCUCCACCACCGUCACACUCACCCAUCUCAAAUCUCCCAUAAUGAACACGCAAUAAAUUGAGAUGGUAGCCUAACUUUAUAUUACUAUUUAUUUGUUCAAUUAUACUCAUUAUAAUCUAACUGCUUGCCAGAAAAUGGACAAAUAAAGCGAGUACGAUGCCCCUUGGGCACGAUAGGUAGAACUUGUAAAAGUAGGAACGAAUCAUCAUCAAGUGUUAUUAUCAUCAGUUAUCAUUGUAUUUUUUUUUUAGAAUAGUUAUCAUUGUAUUUGAAUUCAUUAUCAUUGUAUUUGAAUUCAUUUUCUCAUGCCGCGUUUGUAGUUGUUUUGAAGAGGUCUAAAAAAGUAAUUUAAAAAAAAAUUAAAAGUUCAGUUUUUUUUUUAAGGUUACUUAAGCAAAAUCACCACAUCCUACCGUAAAUUUAAAAAAAAUAAAGAGUAAUUUUUGAAAAUAUGAUUUUAAGAACUGAAUUUUUACUUAAUAUAAUUUCAUAUAUAUACUAAACAUUUAAAUAAUUUUCUUCACAUCUAAUUAUUUUUAAAACAUAACUAUAGAACAAUUAUUUUAAAAAUAAUAAUAUUAUCAAACUAGUCCUUAGUUAAAAUAUUUGGAUGCCAACACACAAAUUACAUGAUUGUUGUGUACAUAUAUGUGUGACAUAUGUAUAAAAUAAUAGAAUAAUUCUUUAGUUAAUUAAUGAAGAUAUAAUUAAAAAAGAAGUUCAUAUUUAUUUAAAUUGGAGCUUGUCAUGCUCAUAGAUGCACUUCAUAUAUGGGAAGCCUUACUUUUUCAACACUAAGUUUACUUUUUCAACACUAAGUUAUGACAGAAUCUUAACCACUUAAAAAAAUUGAUUUCAAAGGGCAAGAUCAAUGCUGACUUAGAUUUUUGUUAAUUAAAAAUAAAUAAACAGUGUACCCAUCCAUUAUUUUAAUUCAUUUAUUUUUUUCCUCUCAAAAUUUACGCAUAUUUUCUGUUGAUGCUGAAAUCUGUUCGUCCUUUGUCCGACCAGAUCUUUACACCAACGCUUAUGUGGUCGGUAGAGAAGAUGUCAAUUUCUUCUUACUUCAGCGAUCACUCAAGUCACUGAAGUUGGAAUUGCCCUUCCUUCUCAUACUAAGCCUGUGUUCACAAAAGUGGAUUAGAGACGCCGGUGGUUUUACCGGCGUAAACCCUUCGAUGCCUAAGUUAGCACAAGGUGUUUACGGGAAUACGGUGCAAUUUAGACUCGGUAAUUUGCUUAUAAUUUGCUCACAGUUUGUAUAGAAAGUGGUCUGGUUUCAAUUUGGUAGAGUUUUCCUUUCUCUCCAUUUUUUCCCUCCCCUUCUUUAUUGGUUUCUUCCUCUUUUAUAGCCGCUGUCCCACGUUUCCAUUCACCCUUCAUCCCUCCCUUUCUUAGAUAGUGGCAGCCCCUCAUAGGACUCCAACUACUACAUUGUGGGUAAACGUAGGAUACCGUGUCUCCCUCAACGGUUCUGGGUAUAGCGCAACUAUCGCGAUUUCGUGAGGUCUUGUGCCUGCUCUUUGGGGAAUGGGUAUCUGCUCGGUAUACGUCUCUGGUCGGUACUCGUCUCCGGUAGGCCCACGUUUGCAGAAGGCUCUCUAUCAGUGUUCCGCUCGUACCAUUUAGCAUAGGUGGUUCACCCCGGGGUGGGAGACGAUGGCAUGGCUGAGCUGAUGCUCUUAAUUCCUCAACACCAGUCCCUUAGUUUCUGGUCUUGCGAGUGAAACGAGUUGAGAGUAGAAACUGAUACUUGAAUCUCACCGAUUCUGGGAACCACCCAUCUGGUCCUCUGCUUAUUGUGAUGGACCUGAGGAUCCAUCUUUCGUCUAGGGAGAUUUUGACCUAAGCAUGGGCCUUUAUGAGUAUGUCUAGUAUUUAUACCUGGGUUUUUUGUCUAGUCAGGCCUCUCAUAACGGUUAGUGACGUGGCGCUUCCCGACUCUUCGUAUUUGAAAUUUGAAACCACGGGUUAUCCAUCCUCGAUACGCAGUGAAUGAGCUGGCAUCUCUAUCACUUAAACGCUUCCAUUUCCCCCUUUUCGUUUCAAAUCCCUAGACUAAAAUCAUCAUUGUUCUGUUAUUCGUCUCUCCGCCGUAGGCCAACCCAUUCUUCGAACCUUACUCAUACUUUUCGCAUCAGGAAUCUCACUUGUGGGUCCUUUCUCCAUCACGGCAGCGCUAUCAGUGCCAGUCUAUUCCAGGUACAGCCUUUAACCUCUUCUCUGGUUGUUGUUGAUUGGGUUUUGUAUUGUGGGUUCUGUGUUUGUCCCUUUUUGUACCCAUACUCUUAAAUAUUUUGUGCUUUCCCUUCUUAAACUUCAAUAUGUCCAAUCGAAAAGGAAAAAUAAUUGUAGAUGAGAGUGAUGAAGAGAUAGAUGAUUCAUAUCCCCAUUUGUUUGGACACAGUGAUCUUUUAUACCCUGCUCGUAGUGUAGGUCCCUCCUAUCAUAGGGAUACCCCUGAAUACCCUCGUCCUAUAGCCACUUCGCCUUCCCCUGAAUUAGAGCUUGUAGGAAACAGAAGUGGACUCGCGUCGGGCUCUGGUGAGAAUCAUAGUUCUGGUGGGGUUAGGGUCCCUGAAGAAGUAGGUGAUGGUGAGGGAAGCAGUUCCGAGCCGAGCAGACCCCCUAAGAAGAGAAACCUUGGUCAUAGGAUGGAGGCAGAGAGAAACCUUGGUCAUAGGAUGAAGGCAGAUUCUUACCAUAUUGACUAUAUAGCUUGUGCCACCACCCCAACUGACAUGUUCAAGCUUAGAGAUCUCUACAACAUUCUUGAGGAGGUUCUCCUUGUAAUCCCCGGGAAAGAUGACAUCCCUAGUCGGCCUCCGAGGGGGUAUAUGACGAUGCACCUGGAGAGUUUCAAAUUAGGAGCUCGGUUGCCCCUUCAGCGUUAUUUUGCCAAGAUACUGGGUGGUAUACACCUGCCUCCAGGUCAGCUACACCCAAAUAGGUGGAGGGUUCUCUCGGCUAUAUAUGUGUUAUGGGAGAGGGGUGGAUCCGAAGAACCUUCCCUUGUUGAAGUAAAGCAUUUGUACCAGCUGAGUAGCCCAAAGGAAGCAGGCUGGUACUACUUCAUGUCGAGCUCUGCGAAAAGGAAGCCAAUCACCGGUUUUUCUUCCUCGUGUAAAAAUUAGAAGAACAAAUUCUUCUUUACUGGAGGAAAUUGGUGUCGAGCAGCCCGUUCGCUUGGUGGUGAUAUUCACAUUCCAACGCGCUUUGUCACCCCAUGUCGUUUAUUUUUUAUCUUUUUUUUUCUCAAAUUGUCACUUAUUGGGUUCUUUAACAUUUCUUGCUCUUUCAGAGUCGUGGGAGUUUGAUCAAGGAGCUUGAAGAAAGACCCUUGCUCCAGGUGAAAACUGCUCUGGUGAACGCGUAUACCUGCCAAGACCUCCUGUCACCAACAAACCUGGUCGGUUCGCGUUUAGUGGACGUAGCUGCCGGAAUGGAUAACAAGAUCCUUAGCGCUAUGACCAGGAAGCGUAGUCGGGCUCCAAGCAGCUCCAACAACCCUCCUCCUCCGAAGAAAGCCAAUACUGGUCCACCCAAGACUUCUGUUCCUGCUCUGCCCCCUCCUCCACCUCAAAAAAAUGGUGGGGAGAAGGUGAGUGAUAAAAGUCCUGAGGUUAGCAUUCAGUCCGGGGACCGAUCCUCUCAUCUUCCAUCUCGGGAUCAAGGUGACUACCUGAGCCGGUACCAGAGGGAUUACGGCAAAUCAGUGGGACCCAAGAUGGUGAAGGACAUUGAAAGUAUGAACCUCGCCGAGUUAGCUGGUUCCGUUCAAAGGGUCUCCUUUAAGCUGGCCACCUUGGUUUCGUGCUACAAGAACAGGUUCAUGCACCAUGAGAGGAGGUUUCAAGCUGACAACAUGAAUUGAGAAAAAAGCUGAGUCUGCCGACCGCUCGCGGGAGAAACUGCUUGAUCUGCACAAGCAAAUCAUGGACCUGGAGGAGAAAUUAGACAUGGCGGAGUCUACCUCCACCAAGCUUGAGGGUGAGUUGGGUGAUCUGAAGUCUGAUCUUUAGGCCACUCAAAGUGAGUGAGAUACCCUGAAGACGGCCCUUGAGGGAGAAAUCAAAUCUCUGAGUGAGCAGUUGGCCGAGGUGAAAGGCAAAUCUACUGAUGUGGAUGAUCGGCUGGAUGCAGAGUAUAACUCUGGGGUUGCUUUCUGCUAUAAGUGCAUCAUGUCUGUGCUUAAGGAAGAAUAUCCAAAACUUAACAUGAGCAAGUUGGAGGCUGGAGUGCAGAAAUAUAUGGCGGAGUCCGACCAGGGGGAUCAGGAUCAGGUGGAACCUUAUUCAGGUGAGGCGCAGGAGGAGGGAGUAGGGGGUCGUGCUCCUGAAGUAGGUCAAGGGUCAGUGCCUCUUCCCCUCGAUGUUGCCGAUCCUCCUCUUCCUGAGGUUGUUGAUCCUUCAACUACUGAGGCCGCUGAUCCUCAUAAUUUUCAAGUUUAUUUUUGUUUAAAUUCUAAAUUUUCAUCUGUUUUGCAAACGUUUGGAUGUUUAUAAAUUUUGGGAUGCUUUCUGUUGGCCUUCUUGUCUUGGUUUUGUUGAUGGAUUAUUUCUGCAAAUCACCUUAACAAUUUAAUUUGACUUUGCUUACUGGUUCUUUGAGUAGGACGAGCAGAAUUAGACACUUCCUUGCCUUAAUAAAAUUUUGUAAAAUUGCAUGCUGGUCCUUAGGCGACCGAGCAGGAUUAGGCACUUUUUUGCCUUAGUAGAAUUUCGUAAAAUUGUCUGCUGGUCCUUAGGCGACCGAGCAGGAUUAGGCACUUGCUUGCCNNNNNNNNNNNNNNNNNNNNNNNNNNNNNNNNNNNNNNNNNNNNNNNNNNNNNNNNNNNNNNNNNNNNNNNNNNNNNNNNNNNNNNNNNNNNNNNNNNNNACUUGCUUGCCUUAAUAACAUUUCGUAAAAUUGCCUGCUGGUCCUUAGGCGACCGAACAGGAUUAGGCACUUGCUUGCCUUAAUGAAUUUAAUGGACUUUGCUAGCAGGGGAAUUUCAUGCUGAAUUCAUCUUUAUUGAAACUUGCAUGGGUUACAGAAAUGCGGAAUAUAUGCAUGUGCCACAAGUCAUCAUGCAUUUAACAGAAAUAACUUAUCGAAAUAAAGACUUAGUAGAGCACUUUACUUACUAGAAGUACUUUUUCAAGUGUUCAGCGUUCCACAACCUCUUCACCUCUCGUCCAUCUGGGUAAGCCAAAUUGUAAGCCCCUGGUUCAGUCGCUCGUAUUACCCUGUAUGGGUCUUGCCAUUUCGGGCCAAGAGCGCCAUGAUUAGGAUCCCUAGUGUUUUGGUUUACCUUCUUAAGUACCCAAUCUCCUGCUCGGAACUGCCUCACGCGUACGUUCUUGUUGUAAUAACGCAUGAUUCUUUGCUGACAUUGGGCCACUUUCUGAGGGGCCCCUUCCCUUUUCUCCUCCAGCAGGUCCAAGCUCAAGCAUAUCUGCUCGUCGUUUUGCUCCUCGUUAAAAUAUUAUGUCCGAUAUGUCCCCACUCCAAUUUCUGCUGGGAUUACCGCCUCGUGACCAAAAGCUAAAGCAAAUAGGGUUUCCCCCGUGGCAGUUUUGUGGGUUAUCCGGUAAGCCCAUAAUACUCCUGGUAGCUCGUCGACCCAAGCUCCAUUCUUCUCUCCCAGUCUGGUUUUCAGGAGUUUCUUUAUUACUUUGUUGGCUGCUUCCACUUGUCCGUUUGCCUGGAGGUGUGCUGGGGUGCAGAACUUCAGGUCCACCCCCAAGUUUUGGCAAAAUUCUCUGAAGUUGUUGUUGUCAAACUGCCUCCUAUUGUCUUUAAUGAUGGCAUAGGGAAUCUCGUAUCUGCAGAUGAUAUUCUUCCAAAUAAAAUCCAUUGUCUUUCUCUCCGUGAUUUGGCUGAGGACUCCCACCUCUACCCACUUGGUGAAGUAGUCUAUAACCAUAAUUGCAUGUGUUGCCACUCCUCGGCCCUUAGGUAAUGGGCCAAUCAGGUCAAUUCUCCACUAAGCAAAAGGCCAUGGGGAUGACAUAGUGGUUAGCCUUUCUGGGGGCUGAGCAGGAACCUCUGAAAAGUUCUAGCAAACCUUACAAUUUUUUGCCAUUCUCUUCGCAUCAUGGUGCAUGGUCGGCCAAAAGUAUCACUACCGAAGUGCUUUGAAAGCUAAAGUUCUUGCCCCCGAAUGAUUGCCACAUAUUCCUUCAUGAAUUUCCCUCAACACAUAAUCUGCUUCCUCGUCAUCUAAGCAUCUCAAAAGGGGUAAGGUGAAUCCUCGACGAUAGAGUAUCCCAUCGAGUAGUGUAUACCUUGCUGCCCGACAUUUCAACUUCCUUACUUGCUUCCUGUCCUCUGGUAAGAUGUCCUCGCGGAUGUAUGAGAGAAUGGGGUCCAUCCAGGAUUUUUCGGUGCUUACCCGCAUUACUUCUGCUUCCUCCCCUAUGCUUGGCGAGGUUCUCACUUCCAGUAGAACUGACUUGGGUAAUUUUGGAUCUGCAAUUGCAACCAUUCUAGCCAACAUAUCUGCUCGGUAAUUUUUCUUCCGGGAUAUCUGCUUUAUUUCUACCUCUUGGAAGAGUUCAACCAUUUACUUCGCCUUCUCCAAAUAAAGCCCCAACUUCUCUUCCCUUACUUGGAAUUGAUCAUUGAGCUGAUUGCAGACUAGCUGGGAAUCUGCUCGGAGUUCUACCAUUUCUGCUUGUAGUGCAUGUGCAAGCUCGAGCCCAGUAAUGAAGGCCUCAUAUUCAGCUUGGUUAUUCGUGAGCUGGAACUCGAAUUUCACUGCAUAGGAUACCUCGACCCCUUCUGGGUUUCGUAUUACUACUCUUGCUCCGGAUCCCUGUUCACUACGUGACCCAUCAACCAUUAUCAGCUACACCCUCUUUGGAUUCUCCUGUUCCACUGGUUGCUCCUCCUGAACUUCUUCCACUGGUUCAACACGGUCAACCAUAAAAUCAGCUAGGGCUUGGGCUUUGAUUGCUCCUCAGGGUCUAUAAGAUAGGUCGAAUUCGCUCAGCUCCACUGACCAUUUUACUAACCGACCAGAUGCAUAUGGUUUUUGGAGUAUUUGCCGAAGGGGUUGGUCAGUCAUCACAAUUAUCGGGUGGGCCUAAAAAUUUGGUCUGAACUUGCGUGCUGCCGUUAUUAAAGCUAGUGCCCAUUUCUCCAUCAGUGGAUAUCUGGUUUUUGCGUCUACCAGGGUCUUGCUAGUGUAGUAUACUGAGUGUUGCUUUCCUUCAUCUUCUCUGACUAAUACCGAGCUAGUAGCCCAUUUAGAGAUUGCUAAGUACAAAUACAGCUGGUCACCCUCCCUCGGAGUCGAUAAUAACGGGGCGCGGGCCAGAUAUUCUUUCAGCUGCCCGAACGCUUCUUCACAUUCUGACGUCCAUUCCAUCUUCCUCUCUUUCUUUAUGUUUUGGAAGAAAUUGUGGUAUUUAUCUGUGGCAUUUAUCUGUGGCCCGUGAGAUGAGCCGGUUCAAUGCUGCUAAUUUCCCUAUAAGACUCUGCACCUCCUUAACUGUUCGGGGGGACUUCAUUUCUGUUACUACCCGUAUUUUUUCCGAGUUAGCCUCGAUCCCUCGGUGACUCACCAGGAAUCCCAAAAACUUGCCCGAGCCGACUCCAAAUGCACAUUUAUCCGGGUUCAGCUUCAUUUCAUACUUCUUCAGCAAUUCAAAGGUCUAUUCCAAGUGCUUCACAUGAUCCCUCAGUUCUUUAGACUUCGUGAUCAUAUCGUCCAUGUAUACCUCCAUAGUGUGACCGAUCAAUGGUUUGAAAAUCUUAUUCACCAACCUUUGAUAGGUAGCUCCUGCAUUUUUCAGGCCAAAAGGUAUCACCCUGUAACAAAACAAACACAUGUUAGUUAUAAAGGUGGUACUCUCUUCAUCCUGCUCGUUCAUGGAUAUUUGGUUGUAUCCUAAAAAGGCAUCCAUGAAGCUGAGCAGACUGUGACCCGCCGUUAAAUCCACCAAUUGAUCUAUUUUUUGUAGGAAAAAAUUGUCCUUCAGGUAUGCCUUAUUAAGGUCUGUGAAAUCCACACACAUUCUUCAUUUCCCAUUGACUUUCUUUACCAGCACUACAUUAGAAAUCUACUCCGAGUAUUUAGCCUCCCUUAUAAAUCCCGCUUUCAACAGCUUCUCCACCUCGGCAUUUAUGGCCUCGUACCUUUCUUGGUUAAAGCACCUCCUUUUCUACCUCACCGGUCUUGCCCCUUUCUUGAUUGCUAACUUGUGGCAAGCUACCCCGCGAUCAAUUCCUGGCAUAUCCUCAUGAGACCAUGCAAAUAUAUCUGUAUGGGACUGUAGGCAUUUCACCAGCUCGCCUUUUAUUUCUUCGCUUAAUCCUAACCCGACUUUAACCACUCUGCUCGGGUUACCCUUGCUCACAACAACCUCCUCCAACUUCUCAACAGGUUCUUGGCGUCCAUUUUUAGAAUCUCCUCGGUUAUCCAGAGAUGUAACAUGUAGUGUCUCCUUGGCCGUUGUAGCGUAACAGUUCCUCGUCAUUCUCUGGUCACCUUUUACUACGCCUACAACUCCGUUGACUCUGUAUUUCAACGCCAGAUAAUGCAUAGAUAUAACGCAGGCUAAUCCUCAUGAAAGGUCGUCCCAAUAUCAUCUGAUAAAGACUUCUCUCUUCUACCACGACAAAGUCCAGCAUCACUGUUCUUUCAAACGGCUUUGAUCCUACAUUAACCGGGAGCUCGAUGAUCCCCAUGGGGGUUAACCGUCCUCCUCCAAAUCCCUUCAAGAAUGUAUUCGUCCGUUUCAGUUUUAAGUCUGAAAUUCCCAUAUCAUCUAGGGCCGACUUAAACAGUAUGUCAACCGAGCUGCCCGUGUCCACCAGUAUUCGCUGUAAUUCUGUACCAGCCACCAUUGUCUUAAUCACCAAUGCAUCCUCAUGAGGAUAUAAAAUACCCUUUUCGUCGUCAUUUGUCCACAUAAUGGGAACUUGCCUCACUUUCGCCCUCUUGGCUGCUGGCAAAUUGAAAAACACUUCUUUACUGGUCAUGGCGUAUCUCCCAUAGCUCUUCCGUGCCAUGUUCGAAUCCCCAGCCAAUGUUGGCCCCCCUGCUAUCAUACGGAUAGUUGGCUGUUCACGUUCCAGGCUCCUCUCAACUCCUUCAUCCCGCUUGUACUGUGAUUCAAUGACGGGGGACACUCCAUCUACAUAUUCAUCAAGGUACCGAUUCCUCACCAAAUCCUCCACCUGAAUCUUUAAGUCACGACAUUGGCUGAUAGUGUGAUCAUGAGUGUCGUGGAAUUUGCAGAAUCUGCUCUUAUCACGUUGGUGAGCAGGUUUUGUUAUAGAGGCUGGAGGGUACAGCAGGCCUCGUCCCUCGAUCCUCUCGUACAACUCCUCCAUAAGGACUUUUAAUGGGGUGUAUUGUCUAUAUGCUAAGCUCUGGUCAAUCAGCUGGACUGCUCGGCUAUCAUAGAUAUCGUCCCGAGCUGAUAUUGUAGGUAGCUGACCUGGUCGCCCAGCUCUGGAGUUGGUGGUAUGUAAUGCCUUGGGAGCGUUGUGAUAAGGUUGGGCAGCCAACUGCCGGAAUUCUCGUUGCUGCUCCGAGAAUAGGGGGCGCGGAGGCCGAGCUCGGCUGUGUUGGAACUGUUGCGAUCUCUGAGCCAUGGGGUAAGGGCAAGACCGAGCGGAUAUUGCGUCCAUCACUGAGGAUUCCCCAGCUCGCUUUCCCGACCCGCUCCUACUUGGGAUUCUCCUUUCCUUUUGUCUCAGCUCCUCCAGCUGUUCCCUUUUUAUCCUCGUCGAUUUUUCUUCUUCGAUUUCUAUAUCUCUCCUCGCCUGCUCAUACCCCGCCGAAUAAUUCUGCACCAGGGGACUUCUCAAGUUAUACCAUAGUCGGCCUAUCCUCACACCCUCUUUUAAUCCCCUUAACGCCUGCGGAUGAUUAAAAGCUCCCAAAUCAAGCACGACCCGGUGGUAUCAUUUUACAAAAUCCCGAAGGGAUUCAUGUUCCUCCUGCUUCAUCCCCAUCAAUUCCAUCGUAUCGUCCUCUGGGGUCACUGCUCCUCAGAACUGCUCGGCCAACUCUUAGCACAUCUGCUCGUAUCCUUUAAUACUUCCUCGUGGCAGCUCGCGGUACCAUUCUCGGGCUCGUCCCUCUAGUGUCAAUGAAUACACCCUACAUCUCUGAGCUGGUGUUAGCCCCUGCACACCUGUCAUGUCGUUGAAACGUUCAAUAUGCACCAGCGGGUCACUUCGCCCGGAGUAUUUGAGGUCGGGGAAGCGAAAAUCUCUUGGGAUUACAGUACCCAUGAUCUCGGCUAAUAACGGAAAUUCUUCAUCUAGCAUUAUCCUCCAACUCGGGGACUUUCUCUUUCCCUGAAUCUCAUCCAUCACCUGCGCCAAUCUGCGCACCUCGCCUUCCAAUUCUACAGCACGGUCAGGAUCGCGCGCAGCUAUCUGAUCUCGCUCCUGCUCGCCAUUCAGCAACCGUUGUCUGAGCUCUCCUUCAUCAAUAUUGGCUCCUCGGCCAUCAAUUUCCAGUACCCGUCCGGAGCGAGGUUGGCCUCUCCAUUCAUCUACGCGCUCCCCUGGAAUCUGACAAGUACUUCUAUAGGGAUGUGCCCCAUAGGGUUAGUCUAUCGGUAGAGGGAUCUCCUCGACUCUACGCCUCCGGAGGCUGGGUUCUGCCACAACUUCAUCUCUCCCCACAGGGGUUUCACAAUCCCUUCUUCGUUCACCCCCUCAGCUCAUACAAUAUGGCCGCGAGAGUCUCCAUUUGUUUCUCCAUCCGCUCUAGUCGAUCUUGCAUCAUCCUCUCUCGAGCUUCAUUCGCAAUCUCCCGGAGAGUGAUUGUCUCAACAGUUUCAUUGUCAUCCCCUAAGGCACCCUUCCUUAAAACAUCCAUAACCGAUUGUUUGUGUGCUUCCUCUGAUGACUAUUAGUUUGGUGGUAGCUUUUUAUCCAACUCCCCACAGACGGCUCUAAAAUAUUGAUGCUGAAAUCUACUCAUCCUUUGUCCGACCAGAUCUUUACACCAACGCUUAUGUGGUCAGUAGAGAAGAUGUCAAUUUCUUCUUGCUUCAACGAUCGCUCAAGUCACUGAAGUUGGAAUUGCCCUUCCUUCUCCUACUAAGCCUGCGUUCACAAAAGUGGAUCAGAGACGCCGGUGGUUUUACCAGCGUAAACCCUCCGAUGCCUAAGUUAGCACAAGGUGUUUACGGAAAAACAGUGCAAUUUAGACUCGGUAAUUUGCUUAUAAUUUGCUCACAGUUUGUAUAGAAAGUGGUCUGGUUUCAAUUUGGCAGAGCUUUCCCUUCUCUCCAUUUUUUCCCUCCCCUUCUUUAUUGGUUUCUUCCUCUUUUAUAGCCACUGUCCCACAUAUCCGUUCACCCUCCAUCCCCCACUUUCUCGGAUAGUGGCAGCCCCUCAUGGGACUCCAACUACUACAUUGUGGGUAAACGUGGUAUACCGUGUCUCCCUCAACGGUUCUUAACAUAGCGCAACUAUCGCAAUUUCGUGAGGUCGUGUGCCCGCUCUUUGGGGAAUGGGUAUCUACUCGGUAUACGUCUCUGGUCGGUACUCGUCUCUGGUAGGCCCACGUUUGCAGAAGGCUCUCUAUCAGUGUUCCGCUCGUACCAUUUAGCCGAGGUGGUUCACCCCGGGAUGGGAGACGACGGCAUGGCUGAGCUGAUGCUCUUAAUUCCUCAACAUUUUCUAUAACUAUUUUAUAUUUUUUAAAAUUAAAAACCACCAAAGGGUAGAGGGUUAGGCGAGUCUUCCUUAUCUGUAGAUUAAAUAAUAAAUUAAAUUACAUUUAAAGGGAACAUAAACCAAAACCUCCAAUUAAGGGAACAAGCACAAAUAACAAAUGGAAAAGUAGCAAAAGCAAUAAGAGAAUAAAUAAGAAACUAAAGAAUUAAUUAUUGCAAACGCCCAAAGAAAUGGAAAAAUAGCAAAAGUAAUAAGAGAAUAAAUAAGAAACUAAAGAAUUAAUUAUUGCAAACGCCCAAAGAACUGCUUACGAUACUUGCGACCACUUACUAAUUUGAAACCUUUUCUAGAACUAGAGGUAUGGGGUCAGCAACACUGAAGUUAGAGUCAAGAUCACGCCCCCCACUAUCCUCAGGUUCAAAUGCGAAAUACUCAUCAGCCACAAGAUUCUUAUUAGAGCUAAACUCUUCAUCAGAAUGAAAAGGGAUAUCUAUAUGAUGGGAAUUGAAACCCACAACCAUGCAGCGAAUAUCAUCCAAAGAAGAUUAGAAAACAGUAGAGCCGAUGGAUGCCCUAUGAACACUCGGGUCAUCCAAAAAUGAAGAAAGAGGAUUAGCGACCUCGGCGCAUUAAACAACAUCUCUCAAAACAGCAGAAUCCUUUGGACCAUUGUCAUCCUAAACUCUCAGCCAGAAAACUGAAUCAGACUCAUCAUCCUUAGUAUUUGGAGCAACAGGAACAAGUGACCGAGCAUCCAAAGAAGUACCCUCAUUGCCACCAAGCCUGAUAGACAGCAAAUGCAUGAGCCACGAAGAUCUGGAAGAAUGCCAAAGCCAAAUCCUAGGUUUGCUACGUGAGGGCAUGAGUCCCAUGCAACCCAUGCAUGAAACAUGCAUGUGCUGAGAUCGUGAAGAUACGUGCUGGAGCUGGAGCUGGAGCCGUGAUUUAGGAAUACGCUUAUCAACGAUUGUGCAGCGAGUAAGGAGGGAAGCUAAGACACGGAAGUUGUUUUCGAUUAUCUUUCGGUUUCAAAUUCUUAGCUAAGUUGUUAUACUCGUUUAUUUAGCCGUAAUUGUAGGAUGGAAACCAAAGUCUUCUUAUUAUAAAUAAGCUCCAGAAUACAAAUAAAAGUAUUGAGAAUUCUAAACAACAAUUAUUUGGUCCUUUCUCGCCGUAAGUAGAAAAAUAUCACUUAUGUUACGCGUGAUCAUUGGCUGUCUCUGACUGGGACCUAUCAAAGCCUUAAAGGCCAAAUCUCCUCACUGAAAAGAGUCUGCGGAGCCAAACCCGAAGAUUGACCCUGGACAAGAACAGGCCCUGUGUUCGAUUAUCCUCAGCAACCACAUACUGCGUAGCACAAUCCACCCUUAGGCUGUACAUCAACAGCUGACAUAGACAUCUUUCUUUUAUCUCAAACAACAGUAUUCUGCACCUGCCCAACAGGUUGUUGGGGCUUCCAAAGCCUAAGAUUGGUAACAAAACAAGCAUCAGCAGAGUGCCCAAGAUGUUUACACGUAGCUGCACCUGGCCAACAUGCUCUUUCCAUUAACAUUUCGGACUGCCUAACCCAUAUACGGGAGUAAUCUUCUUUAAGUUGAAGCUUGAUCAAGGCGUGCCUAUUAUCUAACAAUGAAACCAGCAUACUACCUUGCAAACUUAGAGAGACAAUAAACUUUCUAAUCACAUCCAUUGGAGUGCGACUAAAAGAAAACUUACCAACAAGGGAUAACUUGAAAGGCUCGGCCAGGGACUGAAUUUUUGCUGUCGAAAAGUAAAUAGCAGGUUCCCCCAAAAGCAAAGAAACCGACUUACGGGAUUGAACGGUAGUAGAGCCAGAAAAAGUAUCGACGAAUGACUUUGAAAGCCAUAAGGUAGCAGCAGGGUUGAGGACAGUCGCAGGAUUAAUAACGGAGGCAUAUGCAGGCUUAGCCGAUGGAUUGAGAUUACGACCAAGGGUGGUGGGGGCUGAUCGGUUUUGAGUUGAAUGAAGUGGCUGAGUUGAAUGAAGUAGCUGAGUUGGGGGAGAUAUGGCUGUUUGGCUUGGGUUUGGUCUUGGGCGAGGGUUGAAUGUGACGAAUUAGAGCUUGGGUUAUAAAGAGGCAGCUGGCUGGGGUUAUAAAAAGGCCAGGUGGCGGCUGUUGGGUGUGCGUCAGGUCCAAGGAAGGUUCCGUCGACAAGGACUCACCACCAGUGGAGCUCGUAACGUGGUGACGGUGUGGAGCAGAUUUUAGAAGGUUUGCCGUGAACUAGGGUUUGCGUUUAAACGUGGUGGUGGCUUUUGUAGGGGCUCUUGAUCGGAGAAGAAGUUAUUAGCAUUGAGGGACGGUUCCGGCGGUGGUAAAGCACCAUCAGCGGCGGACAGUGUGGCCAUGGGAGGCCGGUCAAGGUUCGGUCAAGGUUCUGCACGUUCUUCGUUAUUUUCAAACUAAAGCCCACUGCACUUCCUACAAUGCAUUUUAAACUGAAGCAAGCGUGUUAUCACUAUUUUGUUCGUCUAUCAUUCUUCUUCGUUAAUUUGACAAGUCAUUAGACUUAUUAUUUAUUUUAUUUUUAUCCAUUUUUAAAGUACGAAUAAAUUAAUCUCUAUAAUUGUGAUUCCAUCAACAAACUGGCCUUAGAAAUAAUCUCUCUAAUUCUGAUUUUGAGACAACCAGAUCGACUUCUCCUAUGCUAGGAAGCUCCAAAGUAACAAGAAUGACAACAAAAUAAUGACCCUAGGGAAUAAUCUCUAAUUUCCUUUUUCCUUAAGCGUGCAACCAAAAAAUUUACCAAUUAGCAAUCUGAUAAAAAAGGUUGCUACAGUUCCUUAAUGCACAAACUAGAGUUCUGAUUAAAACAAAUUAGGAAAAAAAAAUAAUAACACGCAAAUUUAUUUGGAUUCUGAAGUACAUGAAAUCAACUCCAUGAUUUGAUGAAUAAUAUCUCAUGAAAGUAUCAGAAACGGCAAAGUUCAACAGAAACUAAUGAGUUUAGCGCAUAACCAGAAAAUUUGAACAAGAUUGUUUGAGCUUCAGUAUGACACAAACACAAUAAUCAUGAGCCGGCUUUCCACUGUAGAUUUUUGAAGCAUCGCUCAUUUUGCAAGAGCAGGAACCUCAGCUAUGAGUCUUUAAAAUGCUAUCUUUGAAAGUGAAGUGAUGUAUCAACCAUCUUCAAUAGAAUUGUAUAGUAUGAUAAUAAUCAACAGUCCAAUCAAGCUUGAAACGGAGAAAGGAGCACAGGAGUCCCUUAAGCAAGAGUGUGCGGCUAGUGGUCAGUUGAUACACCGGGUUAAUUAUACGAGAGCUGCUGAGGAGCAACAUCACGAAUUUAAGGCAAUAAUCAGAACUUUUGUUCGCUUCCAUAUUUUGAAGAAUAGAGAAGAUCGUCUAGUAAACAACUUAUUCUGUUUUUCUGCAUGUAAAUCUUGACAGGCUCCAUUUAUUUGAUAUUGUUGACUGUGACAUGUACCUGAUCUCCAAGGAAAUAUGAAGCUAGGUCAGUGAUUCAGGACUUGUAAUAACAAUUUGUCAAUUUCUGACAACCUUAACUCCAAAAUCUUUCAGGUUUCUAGAUUCCAUCAAAAUUAGUAUAUAUAGCUUCACACUUCAUAUACCAGGUAAAUUGUCCCUGCUAGAUGAAACUCUUAUCAUUGAAUAAGCAAUACAUUGUUGAAUAGCACUUUUCUGCAGACAAAUUCUUGAUUUGCCCUCACAAAUUCAAUCCUCAACCCUGAAUUUAACCUGCCAAAAAUGAAAAAGUAUCAACCUAAUCACCCUCCAAUUACUCUAUUAUCGUGUAAUAUAGAAAGUAUCAACCCAAUCACCAAUUUCUAACAACCUUAACCCCAAAAUCUUUCAGGUUUCUAAAUUCCAUCAAAAUUAGUAUAUAUACCUUCACAUUUCAUAUUCUAGGUAUAAUUGUCCCUCCUUGAUGAAACUCUUAUCAUUGAAUAAGCACUGCAAUGUUGAAUAGCACUCUUCUACAGACAUUCUCGAUUUGCCCUCACAAAUUCAAUCCUCAACCCUGAAUUUAACCUGCCAAAAACGAAAAAGUAUCAACCUAAUCACCCUCCAAUUACUCUAUUAUCGUGUAAUAUAGAAAGUACAAACAUCUCAUACCUAGGAAUGUUGGACAACUGUACAAUGUAGGUGAUUGGGUUCUGGGCAUCCCACUAAUAUGCCUAAAACUCUCUCACAGUGUUAGGCAUAUGUUCCUCCAUAGACAGUGAUGCUACCCACAUGACAUAAUAUUGUUUUUUUUUUAAUAGCAUAUCACAAAUCUUAUGCCAUGUUAAGAAGCAGAAAAAGUACAUAACUUUAAAGCCAGAGACAUGCAUAAAUUGAAGAGGCCGCAUCGAAAUGCAAACCUGAGAGCAUAUGGGAUCAUGCCUAAGAACCGAUAAGUUGCUACUAGUUGCAGAAAGGUUGUGCUAUCAGUCAGUAUGAUUCUACGGUUCAAAAAAAUUUUACUUGCCUUACUUCUUAUUAAAAUUUACUAUAAAUCAUUUCCCAUCAGCCGGCUUUGGAUGCACCCUUGCAUCAUCCUCUCUAGCUUGUUUUUUGCCUUUCACCUGCAGAACAUGGUUUCAGUCAAAAUAGAAUAUUUUCUUAACAAGUUGGGGAGAAAAUAGUAAAAGCACAUUGUGAUAUUUCGAAAUGCUCAUCAGAUAUUAGCUUACGAUUAAUGAUAUUUAAUUAAAAAAAAAAAAGAUAGGUGGUAGAUUCCAACUUAAUUCAUUAACAUUCUAUGACUGUUUAAAAAUUCGUGCAAAUACCAAGUACACUUACUAAAUUAAUUGUAAAAUGCGCGAUAAAAUAAAAACAUUGACAUAAUCUAAGGAUGUUAAAUGAUCUGAUCAAGUAAAUUACUUUUCUGAGUAUCAAAAAUGUGCCAGUGGUCAAUUCCUCCAUCUUUAAAGAAUAUAUACCAAAAAAGUCUAUUGUGAAGUCUUCCACUCUUCUCCAGCUAAUCAAAUCCUGCUAUACUCUCUCUUGUAUGACCCUGACCCAUAUAGCCACCAUGAUGAGAAGUUUUCAUGUCUCUUGAGAUUGAAUAUCUACCCCUGUAAUAUUAUAUUGUGAUUGAAUAUCUACCCCUGAAAUAUUAUGUUGUGAUUAUUAGCGAGCAUGUUGAAAAGCAGAAAUGAUGGAUAGAUGGGGAGAAGAUUACACGAGCUGCCAAAGGCCAAUUACCUUGUUCAGAUUUCACACAUCAAUGUCAGAAAUGAAUUAUUCAAGAAAACAAUGGCAUGAUAGUGAUGAACGAUGGUGAAACAUAAGACUUGAGUGGGUUGAGGAGAACAGAUUUGGAACAAUUGUGUCUUUGCAGUAACAGUUUCUUCUCAUGCCUGCAAAAUUUUCAGCUAAUUUAGUUGAGUAGAUGGAUACAUACACUCUGUAGUCUGUACAAGUAUCACAGUAUAAUAAUCACUACUGAAAAGUUAUAUGGAAUUGAAUUCGAGCAGACAAAUUUAAUCCAAAAUGUUCAACCUAUAACUAUUUUCCAUAAAUAUUUUGGAACAAACUGAUAUACAUACAAAAGUUGACUUGAUGGAAACAAGAAAUCCAAAAGAUUAAAAACAAUGGUUGCUAAGUCAAAAGAAUAAGCACAACAUAAUUUGAUGCCAAAUUUUGUUACCUAUUAAAUUACAAAAAACUGAUUUUAAAGAAAAAGCAAUUACCUGUCCAUUAGUUCCAACUGUAGCUGUCUGAAAAAUCAAGGUCUACCUCUUUUCACAAAUUCAAAAUUAAUUAUGAUGCUAGGGAUUCGAGAAAUUUUGUCCCAGUCCUCUCCUGUCUCAUUGUAACGCUCUUCCAGAACAGUGCACCAAUUGAUAGUCAAUUCCUCCAGUGCAUCUGUUUGAAGAAUGUGGCCUGGCAGUGCCUUCAAUUUGGGACAGUGUACAAGUGACAAGAAACGAAGACAUGGCAUGAUUGUCCCACAAUCCCAAUCUUCCCAUUCUUCCAUGUUUACAAACUUAAGAGAUUUCAAUUUGGGGAAGACAAUAUCUGAUGAAGAUGAUGACGCAUCAAUGCUUCUUAUUCCCAGAAGUUCGUUACCUACUCUCACACUCCGCAUACUGCUUAUAGAGAGUGAUUCAAGAGAUGAAAGUUUUCCCAGAGGAGGCAAAUGAUCCAAAUUGGUGCAACCAUGGAGAUUUAACGUCCUCAACACACUCAAUGACAUUAUGCAAUCAAGGUAGCUGGCGUUGCCUUUGUAGCCUCUAAUCUCCAGAAACUCUAAAUUUGGAGGUGGUUGUAAGGCUUCAAGAACUCUUUCAUCUGUAAACAUCCUACUUUCAUCAUCCUUAUUCAUCCUAAGUUCCUCUGCAUCAUUUUCAAAAUUUAGAUACAAACGAAUGAUUUUUCUUUUGUUCUGCAGAUUUGCUUCCUUAACCACACUGAAAUCUGUAACACUUCCCAAAUUUUUUACACUAAGAGACCCUUGAAGGUGGUUCAAGUUUUUUAAACUUGCAAGGGUGCAUGCUUUGCCAUCACCACUCACAACGAAUUCACUUAAUGUCCGAAGACUAGUCAAUCUUUCAAUUCCUCUUGGUAUGUAACUUAGUGACGUCUCAACAUUUACAAGAUGCCUUAGUCUGAUUAACUUCUCCAUUCCUUCAGGUAACUUUCUGAGAUUGGUACACCAACUGAGCUCUAAAGUUUGUAAAUUAAUUAGCUCACACAAUUUCUCAGGCAAUUCUUUCAUUUUUAGUGAGGACAAAUUAAGGUAUCUCAAAAGAAUCAGUCUCUCUAUCCCUUCUGGAAUCGUUAUUAUCACUUUUUCCCACCAAAAUUGUCCACUUAGAUCUAAUGCCCGUAAAGAUGUCAACUCAUUGAAAAUUUUUGGUAGUACCUCACUAAUUGAUGAACAGUUUGUAACUCCAUAUUGAAUCAAGAGGCUGCGAACUCUUUUAGCUCCACAGAUGGAGACAGGAAAAGAAACAGCUUUAUUGAGAGCCAACAUUAAAUGACGAAGCUUAUAACCAUAACUGAUGUUUGUUGCCUGAAGACCAUCAUUAGCUUCCAUAGUAAGACUUUCAUUCUUAGCUAGAUAUUGGGCAAAAUCAUGCACUAUGCCAUGCAUCUUACAUGAUAAAAUCUUACCAUUAUCAUCUUUUUCAAAGUCUUGGAAUAAAGAUUGCAUCGCUAACAAGUCAAAAUACUCUUCACCAAUUAUCUCCAUCUCCUCUUCACUUUCUCUCUUACCAAGAUAACCUUGAGCCAUCCACAAUUUAAUCAAUUUAUCUUUAUUGAUUUGGAAAUCUUUUGGAAAGAUGGCACAAUAUAAGAAACAACUUUUAACAGUAGAGGGCAAAUCAUUAUAACUCAACAAUAAAGGGGCAAAAGGUCCCAUCUCAACCCACAGUUCACUUUCGAAGAUCAUUUGCCACUCGUCAAUAGUAUUUCUAGAGCGCAAAAGCAUCCCAACAGUCUUUAUAGCAAGAGGUAAGCCGUUGCACUUGCGCACAAUAUCUCUCCCAAUUUCUUCAAGAUGUUCACGCUCCGGAGGAGAUCUACCAAAAAAUGCAAUAUGGCAAAACAAUGACCAACUUACAUCUUCAGUAAAUUCCCUAACCAUGAUAAUGUCGGUUGAUUUCAUCACACGAGCAACUGUUUCUUUACGUGUGGUAAUCAAAAUUUUGCUUCCAUGGAGACCAUUCUUUAGACAGUGAAAUAAUGGUUCCCAUUUAUAGUAAUCUUCAGUCCACACAUCAUCUAAGACAAGAAAAAAUUUCUUACCCACAAUACACUUGCUAAUAUGUAGCAUCAGAGAUUGAAAUUCCACAAAAUUACCGACGCUGCCUCCUAGAGAGCCAACAAUUGAUUUGGCAAUCGUGAACUCAUCAAAAGUGGCAGAUACACACACCCACAAUUUUGUGUUGAAAUGUCUCCGCGUCUCAUCACUAUUGUAGGCCAAUUGAGCAAGGGUAGUCUUCCCAAUCCCUGCCAUACCAACAAUUGAGAUGAUAUGGAGGCCUCUUAUUUUUUCGCUACUCUCGGACAACAACUUGCUUAUUAAAGUAUUCUUCUCCUCAUCUCGACCAUAUACUGCUGAUUCGUCAACUAGAGAGGUAGUUUCCAGUCGUUUUGAUGGCCCAACACUCCUACUUACAUUAAAACCAAACAUAUCUCUCUGUUUGGCAAUAUCAUCUACACAUUCAUUUAACUCUUUUAUCUUGAUAGCAAUACCACGAUGCAAACCGGCUCGAAAAUUGAAACAAAAGCAAGCAGCAGGAAGGAAGGAACACACCUUCUGAGAAACAAGAGUUGGAGCACUCUCAUGAUCAUCAAGUACUCCCUCGAUUUGCAAUUUGAGCCUAGUAGUGAUCCACUCAUCCAACACAUCUUCCAUGUCAUAACAUGCGUCUUUGAGCUGAUCCAGCCAAAGUCUGACAGCUUCCUCCUUCACUUGCCUCUGCUCUGCAUCUGCAAGAAAGGCUUGGCUGGCUUGAAAAUUGGAUACGAGCCUUUUCACCUCUUUGCCGUCACCCACAAUAAGCCUCCCCUCCUCUCUAUUCUCUUCAGUAGAUAUUGAAACCAGCAGCUCCAAGAGACGGGAAACAGCUGCGUCAGCCAUAUUCGAAAUCGGAGAUCGUAAAUGAAUGAAGGAAGACGGGAAAUUUGAGUUGAACGGAAACUACGGACUGGAUCUUAUGCUGUCAACAAUCAAAAAGCACGGAAAAGGAGUGUGAUUGAUAUUAUUUUUGAUUUCCCAUUUCUCUUUAAAAGAAAAUAUUGGGAAAAUUAACCUUUCACUAUUUCCGGGUUCAGCUGCGGUGCAACAGUAGUAUAGUACCAUUUUUUUUAGUCUUUUAUGAUAAAUAUUUAUAUAACCCCUUUUACUCAUUUUUAUUUAAACUUUGUUUCACAAAUAUUAUAUUAAUUUCUACUGUAUUCAUAUAAAUAUUUUAAUUAACACCUUAUACUAUUUAUUAUGUGUAAAUUUUUAUUCUAUAUUACAUAUGUAUCACAAUAACCCUCUUUUUAUAAUUUUGAGAUUAAAUAAUUAACCCGAAAAAAUCGGGUCGACCUGAACUCGCGAAGCCGAUUCAGAUGCCUCUGUUUCUAUUUUCGGCCACUCCAUUGGCCAACGUUGGUACCGAUCGGAAGCUCGUACGACACUGAUCAUCUCUAUGUCAUCCUUAUCGCCGGAAAGCAUUCGAAAAGCUGCCGUGAAAAGCUACGGAAUCGCCGCUUCAAUUCGCCGCAAUUUUGUCAGUUUCCGGUGACGGCACCACCUGGGUUUUGUUCCCCACAAUUCCCUCUAUCUUUUUCGACCAACCACAGCCACCGAGAGAGCCGAUUUGUCGUUGAUUGGCCGUUAAAGGAUUCACAUGGAUGCAGUAAAAAUUAACUUAAUAUUUGUAAAGCAAAAGUUAAAUAAAAAUGAGUGAAAGACGUAAUAUGAAAAUUUCCCACAAAAGACAAAAAGAAAUGGUAUAGAACCACUGUUGUACCACCCCACUAUUUGUGUUUUAUUAUGUCUACACUAUUUAUGUUUUAUUAUCCAUACUUUUAAUCACUAUAAAAUUUUAACGUGUUUUUACACCACUUUUAUUUUUAAACUUAUCUCAAUCAACUAGACACUAAAAAACAACUAUUUGACUCUUAAAUAAAUUAAAAAAUUAUUUUAUUUUAUAAAAUUUUGAAAAAAUUAUAAUAAAAAUACUCUUAAAUUUAAUAAAAUAAACAAAUCUCAAAUUCAAUACGUUAAUUUUUUUAUAAUUAUAAUUUUAUUAAAAAAUUAUCAUAUUAUUUUUUGUAAUUAUAACUUUCUUUAAUUUGUAUAAGAAAAUUUUUUAAUAUUAAUUAUAAAGAAGUUUACAACAAUUACAAAGCUUUUCUCAUUAUGUUAAUUUUUGUAAACCUUCCUAUAUUUAAUUUACUAACAAAAAUUAAAUGAAAUUAUAAUUAUAAAAAAUUAUAAUUACAAGAUAUUAAUUUUUUAUAAUUAUAAUUUCAUUCAAAAAUUAUCAUCUUAAAUUUUGAGAUUUAUUUGUUUUGUUGAAUUUAAGGUAUUCUUGUAAUUAUAAAUUUUUUUAUUUUUUAAUAUUUUAUAGAAUAAAAUAAUUUUUAAUUUAUUUAUGGAUAAAAUUAUUUUUAAUAUAAAAGUAAUUAAUUGAUAGAAGCUUAAAAAUAAAAAUAAUAUAAAAAAUAUAUCAAAAUUUUAUAGUAAUUAAAUACACAUGUGAAAAAAAUGGUACGUAAAUAAUUUUUAAAAGUAAUACAAAAGUCAAAUAAAUACGUGUUUGGUGGGCCAUCAUUACUUUUGCACUAUUCUCAUAAAUUUUCCUUUUUUUUUGGCCCCAAAAAAAGCAUAAACAACCUACCGUUGUUCUCUAAUUUUCAUUUUUCAUGGUCCCACGUUGGAUGUAUUUAUGACUUUAGGAUAUCAUAUUAUAUAUAAGGACUCACCAACGUUGCAAUUGUGGUAACAUACCACAAUUUUUGUCCUUAUCCAAUAUAAUCAUUAGAUUUAAAAACAACAGAUCGAACGCUUCAGAGAUGGCCACGUUUGUGUUAAAGAAUACCGAGCAAGCCGGUUAAGAAAAGGUAAAUUUACAUGUAAUAAAAUCUGUAACGCACAUCUGAAAUCGCACGGUGACUGUUGUGUAGAAGGAAAUUUGACGAAUUUAUGAAGCUAAGCUGAUAAUCGAAAGGAGCCCUUGGCAAAGGCCAAAUAGAUGAAAGAAUCGAGUCCCAGAGACGAUAAAUACGAUCAGAGAAAGAAAAAAAAUUAGGUGAGUCGAUGCUUCACACAUUUUGUGAAGAGGGCAAGUGCCCUAAUUUGCGGGGGUGCUGGUCUGCCGGCAAGAUGGGCUUUACAGACAAAUUAUGAUCCUCGGCGAUACUUGUACUCGCAGUUGUAGGUAAUUAUUCGGAUUUAUUAAAUGGCAUCUGUGUUAUUAGGAAUCUGGAAUGUCUGUUAAUUAGGUUGAAUUGAUUAUAAAUAUAAGGAUUUGCAAUGUGAAGAACUCGUUUGCGCAUCCACCACUUAAUCUUUUAGAGCCCACGAAUGUUGCUGAGGUAAUUGCGUGGUGGGGUUUGGAUUAUCUGGUGAUUACUAGUGUUGAUAGAGAUGAUUCAGCUGAUCAGUGAAGUGCUCAUUUUGCUCAAACGGAGCGAAAGUUGAAAGAAUUGAAGCAGAAUAUGCUUAUUGAAGCAUUGGGUAAGAAUUCUUAGUAUUUAAGUGUCUUUGAUUGUGUAGUUCUUGACUAUCACAGAAACAAUGGGUGUGUAGGGGCAAGUCGCCUAGUCGGGUCUAUAUGAUUUUGCACUUAUGAUUUUUUAAAAUCAUUUUUGCAUGCUGUAAUUUGUAUGUAGUUAUAUGCUUUUUGGCCUUUGAAGAGCAUUGUAUUUGAAGUGGAACCCUCUCUGCUUUCUGAACAAGGAGCUUUUAUUUAUUCAUUCACACUGAAUUAUUUUGUGUAAUUUUAGUUUUAUAGAAAAUGUUCAAUGGUGGGAGAGUGGAAGUUUGGACUUAGGUGAACUUCUCUACGCAUUUGAAUUAAGAUGUGCCAUUCCAGUUCGGUCAAGGGUUGGUAGACAUGUGUAAUAGCAAGGGAAUUGUAUGGUAAUAUUAUUUAUUUUGCAAUUCAUGUUAGCAAUUCAGGUUAAUGGCCUUUCUGAACCUACAUUUUUUUUGUUUUGGGGGGGGGGGGGGGGGGGGGGGGUGUUUAUUCUACCAAGUAUUCAACCCACAGCCUGUCAUCCCAUAAAUUCAUCCAACCCAAAUCAAAUUGAGAAGGCACUUUUAGAUGUUCACAAUCAGACUAUAUAGCAAGGAAAAGAGCAUCAGCUGUUGAUAAUUAUUUAAACUAAUGUUAGCGGAUCAUAUGUGAGUGAUAAAUUUAAUCCAUGAUUAAAUAUUUAUAUCAGCAUUGAUUUUAUUAAGCAUUAUCGGCUUUGUGCUUAUAGGAAGAAUUAAGUUUAUGAAACGGAACUUGGGAUUGUUUCACAAUGCUGUUAGCCUAAGCGGGCAUCAAGGCUCAAUAGUCAAUAUGUAGUGUUUUGAAAAUGUGGCUCUUGAAAUCAAUGUGAAGGUUUGGUUUAUUCUGGUUAAUAUGGCGAUAACAAUACAAGGGUUAGUGGAAAAACAUGCUGGAGAUAAUUUCUUUUUGCAAUUUAAUUCCAGUCUUGAUUUGUUGGAAUUACUAUAAUUUUUUUCCAAAAAAUUAAAUUUUGAUGUUCAAGAAUUUUUUUUUAGGUUGGAAGUGCCAAAUUUCUUGUUAAAUUGAUAGGUUUGCUUUUAUGCUUCUGUUUGUCUUUUAUAGGGCGCAUGAUCCACUACUAAAAGCUCACUACAAUCAUGGAGUAACAACAAAAAAUGGCUUGUUCAACUUAACUCAUGCCCGCGCUUUGAACUAAGUGACUUUAUUUGGGAAUAAUUGCUUUCAUUUCUAUUAAUACAUGUUGUAAAUAUUGUCUAACCCCAACUUUACUUUUAUUACAAAGAUUCAGAAUAUUAAUUUUCUGUAUGCUUAUAUGUCAAUAUGUUUGCAUAUUUAGAAUGUUUUGCGUGCAAAUGACCUGUAAGAACUUCACCAUUAUAAGGCCACCAACCUUUGUAAUCUGGAUACAAUCAAAUGAAAUAUAGGCUGUAGUUAUCUUACAUGAUGAUGUAAGAAACAUGACUCUUCCACAGCCGUUUGAUGAAAAUUCAUGUUUUUUACAUUAUCACGUAAGAUAACAAGUUCCUUAAGUAUAAUAAAUGCUUACUACUUUUGCUUAUUUCCUUUCCUUGUUCACUUGACUUCUUUCAACUAAAACUUUAAAGUUUUUCUUACUUGCAAUUAUUCCAUAAACUUAGGCUACUUCUAUAAUAAAUCCAUAACAAUAUAGACAAUAUAACCAUUAUACAGAAUUUUUAAAGAAUACAAAACCAAAAAAAAAAAAAAAGAACUCUCGAAACAAUCUACUGUGCAUAGACCUUUUUUUAUGUGCAAGAAUUAACUGUGUGCGUCUUAUAGACACAAUAUUAGUGUAACAAAAGUGAGGUCCCAGUCAUUCCGUUGACUUGGUGUCAAUAUCACCAUCUCCACUGAGAGCAGAUAGGCAGAUGUUAAUUCACCACUUGGGAGUCUAAACAGAUAGUCAUUCAUCUGAGAAGUGGACAUGCCAUUAGUCCCAAUCUGUUGCCAAACAACAUAAGUGCAGAAACCACAACAGAUGAAAGUUUUUUGUCCAAAGCUUAAGCAGAUCAUGGUAUUCAGCAAAUGUGGGGCAAGACUUAAAUGAAAGAUAAAAGAAUGGUAAAUUUUGCACCCAAUAAUAGCCAAUUUGGAUGUCAUCUGAGCACUAUCUAAAACAUCACAAAAUACCUAUAAGGUGAUAGCAUAUGCUUUCCCAUAAUUGCAUAUCAUGUCGAAAAAGAUCAAAAAAUACCUGCAUCGAGCUGGAAGGAAAAUCUUAAUAUGCAAGGAUACUUAUCGUGAUGCACACUGUCACAGUAAGUCAUGUAACAGCUUUAGGGGAAUUGGAGUGAUUAAGCUAGUGCCUAUCUAUCAUGAUACAACUAUAUAAGAUAAUAGUUACUUAUAUUGCCACAAAAGUCAAAACUAGAUAUUUUGAAUACAAUCAUCUUUGGUUGAUUAUCUUGAUGCCUGAAAAAUGAUUAUUUUGAUUUUAUCUAGCAUUCUACUCUUCCUAAGUUCCAUUGCUUUUUUUAGCUUCCAAACUUCACCACCAUAAUCUUAUAUAAAAUAAACAACCAGCAAAAGUGCUAGCAAAUUCAAUGAGUUAUAGUUAUCACAAUUCACAACCAAGAUGAUAUAAAGAAAAAUUCAAGCUUGAAAUUAGAUGGCGAAGCAAAAAUCCUCAGAAAAAUAUCACUUAAAUUUUCUCUUGAAAAGCAUCUAGUAAUGCAUCCAACAUAAUUUCCUCCACAAUGAACUAAGUUCCACCAAAAGCAUCAGAUGAAAUACUUUAUGAUUUAAAAAUAUGAAUAUUUUUAUACAAGUUCUUAUCCUCAAUUCUGACUCAAUAAUUUUGAGCUUCUCAUAAAUUCCAAAAUGUUGCAAGGCAAAACGGAUAAAACAAAAGCAAUAAUUGGGGCAUUAAUCUUUAGAUCGUCUCAAAAGAGUUGCUAGAACCACUAUUCACUCUUUGAAUUUUACAGAGCACAUAUGAGCNNNNNNNNNNNNNNNNNNNNNNNNNNNNNNNNNNNNNNNNNNNNNNNNNNNNNNNNNNNNNNNNNNNNNNNNNNNNNNNNNNNNNNNNNNNNNNNNNNNNNNNNNNNNNNNNNNNNNNNNNNNNNNNNNNNNNNNNNNNNNNNNNNNNNNNNNNNNNNNNNNNNNNNNNNNNNNNNNNNNNNNNNNNNNNNNNNNNNNNNNNNNNNNNNNNNNNNNNNNNNNNNNNNNNNNNNNNNNNNNNNNNNNNNNNNNNNNNNNNNNNNNNNNNNNNNNNNNNNNNNNNNNNNNNNNNNNNNNNNNNNNNNNNNNNNNNNNNNNNNNNNNNNNNNNNNNNNNNNNNNNNNNNNNNNNNNNNNNNNNNNNNNNNNNNNNNNNNNNNNNNNNNNNNNNNNNNNNNNNNNNNNNNNNNNNNNNNNNNNNNNNNNNNNNNNNNNNNNNNNNNNNNNNNNNNNNNNNNNNNNNNNNNNNNNNNNNNNNNNNNNNNNNNNNNNNNNNNNNNNAAUACUAAAACUCUAACUCUUCCAAUAACUAUGCAUAAUAAUAACUCAAAAUAGCCCAUGAAAAUGAAAAAUUAAGAGACAUUUUAUUACCAAGACUUUUGAAAAUCCAUCAAAAGUCAAAUAAAAAGAUCAUUUGACGGCUUUCUGUACCGCAAUUGCCGAGUUAUCAUCAGGCCAUAGAUCGCUCUCUUGCUCUUUCCUCUGCAACGACUUUCGCUCGAGUUCCCUCCACUUGUUGAUUGCAGCUGUGCAGAUAAAUCUGGUACCAACAACAAAAAGCAAUCGAAGAACCUUUGUGCCGGGGGGCCCGCCGUCAUCCCUUUUUCUGUCAUCUUUCUCUGCAGUGUGUGUGUCAAUUACUCACUUCGUCAUUAUCUUAGCGAUUGUUUGGCGGCCGAGAAACGUGAAAGAGAGAAUAUAACCGGUUGUAGAAGUUGUCAGUGGCUGAUGGAAUUAUCCAAUAAUUAAUUUUAGCCGUUAGAUUAAAUUUGAAAGCAUCCAACGAUUUUACUGAAAAAAGACAAAAAGCGUCGUAAGGUACAACUGUGGCAACGUAGGUGUAUAUAUAUAUAUUCAUUCAGUUUAACUUUUUAUUUUUUAAUAGUAUAUAAAAAUUAUUUAACCGAAUUAGGGGUAAAUUUUAACCUUUCAUUGGGCGACAAAUUUAUUUUUUCAAACACGCUAUCAAUUCUGAAGGAAGAAAAAAUCAUAAACACAGUGACAAUUGUUUUGCGUGAAUGCAGUUGUCUUGCAAAAAGAAAAGUAAGCUAUUCAGAUUUCUGACCGAUGGACUGAAACUGAACCAUCAGCUGACCUCAAACGGGCUGGGCUGUGAGAACUGAGAACUACUAUCUCACGUAAGCUAUAUUUGGUACAUAGAAUUGGAUAUGAUUAAUUAUUAGAAUUAGACUAGUUUAUAAUGGAUUAGAUUAGGUUGGAUUAUAUAUAGUGCUGACUUAUAUUUGAUAUGGUAUUGAUUGAAUUAUGCUAAAUUAAAUUUACAAGAAAUUAAAUAGUAUUUACAUUAAUAUUUGAAUUUAAAUAUCAACUGUUUAUAGAUAUUUAACAAGAAAUAUUAUAAUUAAUUAAAAAUAAAACUUAUAAGAAUUAUACACACUCAAAAAUAAAGAAGUAUAAAUUAUUUAAAUUAUAGGUUAUUUCAAAUGAGAUAUAUCAUUUCAUUAAAUAAAAUAAAUUAAUUAUUCAAAUAAUAAAUUAAUUAAUAACCUUUAAGUAAAUCAUGAAUAAAAAAUAAAUUACUUAAUUAAAAACAAUAAAUAAAUAAAUAGUUUUUAAGUUAUAAAUAAAUGAUGUAAUAAAUUAUGGAAGAUAUUAUAAAUGGACAAAUAUUUUUCUUGACAUUAUCUAGUUCUAACUAAACCCUCACAAAAAUUAGGAUUAGCAAUCCCAUGAAUUUAGGAUUAAAAAUUGAAUUUAGUCCAUUAAUACAAUCCAAGUGAGCAUGCCAAACAUGGUAUUAAUAUUUUGUCCCAAUAAUUAGUUCAAUCCUACACUUAAUCCUAGCUCCCAAACAUAACCUUAAAACAUAAUAAUAAUAAUAAUAAUAAUCAUCAUCAUCAUCAUAAUAAUGACAACAAUGACGGCGACCGUGGCAUUUAAAAUCAACACAAAAUUACUUAGUAACAAAAAUUUGAUCAGCUGGAGUAAUAAAAUGAAAGGUAAAAUUUGACGAAGAGAAAGAUUUAACUAAAAUAAUAUUAGUUUGUCUUAUUUAAAGAGUCUUUUGGAAAAUAAUUUAUUUUUUUUCACUCUUCUAUUUACCACAUAAAUAAACAUAUAGACAUUUAAAGAGUAAAAUUUGAAGAGUAUUUUGAUGAUACUCUUGAGAUUGCAUUGAAUUUUACAUUUGAUAAAUGUUAUUAUUAAAGUAUUGUGAUAAUAUGAAACAUAAUUGAUUGAUAUGAUGAAAAAAAUAUCAUUUGUAUGAUUUUAUUUGGGGAAAGAAUAUAUUGACUAAAUUGUAAACUAAUAAAGGGAGAUUGCCAAUUUCCCCAUCUUGUAAUCAAUAUAUACCAUUUACCCCUUGUUGUUUUUAUGAUAACUAAUAACCCUCUUGACAGAAUAAAUCUAUAAUAUUACCCAUAUUUUCAAAUACAUUUUAUUUAUAUUUAUUAUAAAUUAAAUAAAUCAUAUGAAUAGAAACUAAAUAAAAAAAUGAAGGAUUAAAAAAAAGAAAUAUACGUUUUGAUGUAAACAAAAAAAUUAAUAGUAAAAUUUUUAUGUACUUUUUUUAUUUUGUAAACAUUUUCUUAAAAUAAAUAUUUUACAAUAUUUUAAAAUUAAAUGUAAAAAUUACAAAAAAUAUUUUAUUAUUUAUUUUCUAAUAAUUUUUUAUUUAUCAUUCAAGUUUUCUUAUAAUAAUUUUUAAUCAUUUUAUAAUAAUUUUCUUAUAUAUUUAUUAUAAGAAAUGUUUAUAAAAUAAAAAAGUACAAGAAAAAAUAUUUUAUUAUUAAUUUUUUCACAUCAAAAUAUAUAUUUCUAAUUUUUAAUACUUAAUUAUUAUUUUAAUUUUCAUUCAUGUCAUUUAUUUAAUUUUAUAAUAAAUAUGAUAAAAGUUUAUUUGAAAAUAGAGUGAUGAUAUGGCUGCAAAUUCUUGUACAAACUGAUUUGUCAUUAAUUCAUUAGUUGAAUCAAAAUAUAAAAUAAUAAAAAUAAAUCAUGUGGACUAAGAGAUAUUUAAUCCAACUAAUUUUAUUAUGUCACAUCAAUUUAAACAAAAUAAAUUUAUAUAAGAGUUUGUACCUAUAUUAUUACUCUCAAUAAGAGUAAUAUGAUAAACUUAUAUUAUCAAGAGGGUUAUUGGCUAUUAUAAAAAUAGUAAGGGGGCAAAUGAUAUAUAUUGAUUAUAAUAGGGGGAAAUUAGUAAUCUCUCAUUGAUAAAUAUGAUUCUUCAUAUGCAACAAUAUAGAUUACAAUAAAAAUUCGCAUGAGUAUGAUCAAUCCUUACAACAACAAUGAAAAAAAUACUUGAUAUAUUUUUUAGGAUAUUAUUUGUUGGUUUUCAAAAUAUUUCAUUAAAAUAAAAAACAACGAUACUCAUAUUCAUUCAAAAGAGAAAAAACAUAUAUGUUAUUCAAAAUUGAACUAUUGAAGUCUAAUCGUAUUUCCAACCAAUUCACGAUAUAUAUCUCACAAAUUAAUAAAUAACCAAUUUAAUAUCUCAUUAUUUCAUCUAAUAAUCCUUCCUCUAUAUAUAAAAAAAUUAGAAAAAGAGGGCUGUUUGCCUAUUCCUCAUUUAUUGAAAAAUGAAGAUCAAAUCUGGAAAACAAGACACGUACGACAUGCCAUUUUAGAUAAUUAAAUUGAUCUGAUAAAUUGAUUUCAGGAGUAUGAUACAUCGGUUGAGAUAAAAUCAGAUGAAUAGGACGGUCAACAGAUAUCAUCCGUCCGAUUAAAUUGUAUACUAUUUGGAAGAGGAUUAAUUUGGACAUGUGUGGCAUGUAUGGAAGGUGGUUACUAUUAGAAAAGAGUAGUGCUACAUAUCUCAAAUUUUUUAGUCCAAAUAGCUAUCUCAAAUGACAUGUUGUUUAUUAAUUGAUUGGUGGAAUAAUAUAAUUAAUUUACUUGAAUCUUAUAAAAAAUUAUCAAUCAGUUAAUAAAUAUUAUAUAAUUUAGGAUAGUUAUUCGAGAUAAAAAAUUUCGGAUAUCUAUCAUUUUAGAAAAAUGAUUUUCUCUUUAAACCAAUUAGGAAAGCACUACAAAGAUUCCCUCUGUGACUUGUUCUCUCAUAUUGAUAAACGCUCUAUGGGUCUUCAAAUCUUUGUUACUUCUUUUGAUUUUCUUGGUGUUCGUGUGGUUCUUAAAGUUCGUUAAUUAGUCUUUGACUAGGAUUAGGUCUUAAUGAUUUGUUUGGUAUAUAUGCAAUAAAUCAGUCUUAACAUUACUAUAUAAAUGAUGCAUUUACUAAAUAAGAAUCAAAAUGAGAUGAAAGUGGAAUGAAUUAGAAUUGGAAUAAGCUGAAAUUAGAAUAAGCAAUUAAAAUAAGAAUAAAUUGUUUAUUUAAAUUGAAAGAAUCGGAAUCGAAAUGAGUUAGAUUAUUACGAAUCACUAAAAAAAAUUUAAUUAAUUAUUAUCUUAAUUAUUAUUUUAUAUUUAUCAUUAUUAUCGUUGUUGCUGUUAAUAACAAUAUUACUAUUAUUAUUAAUGUUACAAUAGUAAUUAAUUAUGAUACUUUUUAUCAUCAUCAUCACCACCAUCAUCAAUAAGUCAUCAAUCUCAUCAUCAACAACAACAAACCAUCGUCAUCAUUAGAUCGGAAUUGUGGCUAUCAGAGAUGAAACGGAGACGAAAUCGAGACGGAUCAAACAGAGAUGAAAACAAGAUGGCCCAAACAAAGAUGAAGCCGGUAACCAGUUGUUGCUCCAUAGUCAACAGACCAACAAUGACAAAGAUGGUGGUUGAUUUUUGGCAGCAACAGUAAGGUGUGCCUGCAAUGGUGUUCGGCUGUAUGGAGAUUCGUACGAGUAGUUUAGGCUAAUGGGAUUUGCUUUUAUAUAUAUAUAUAUAUCAUCUAAAAAAAGGCAUUUGGGGAAUAUUAUAUAUUAAUGGGGGUAGAAUUGAAACUCGAUCAGUCUCCCAUUCUCAGCUCCAUAAUUCUCAUUUUGAUUCUCACUCUUAUUUUGUGAAUUAAGUGCAGUUAAUGAUCCGAUUCUUCAAUCCAAGAAGUAAACACACCAAAAGUAUUCCCCUUGAUCGUCUCUUUUCCAUGCAAUGUAGAAGAGGAAAAGGUGAAGGGUAGUGCCGUAGUAGUUAGUAGCUGCAUAAAUACGGUAAACUUGGGCUCAGCUUACAUUCAUCGCAGAUUUGUUAAAUUUUCUCCAAAUAUCCAUCCUCUAUAAACAAUAAGAUAAUGAGUGAGUCAAUUUGAACUUACCAAUACUCAAUAUAUUUAUAUGUUUAAAUAAAUUCAUUAUUAAAAUUUUAAAUUUUAUUUUUUACUCACUAAACUUAUUUAUAUACCUAAUAUACCCUUAUUAAAUAUGUAUUAAUCCAGUUAGCGAUCUUUAUCUCUCUUCUUUCUUUUUUAAUUUUUCUAUCCUCUAUUGUUGACUUGUUGCAAUGGCUUUUUUUUUUUUUUCCCUCAAAACUGAAAUUCUCAAACCAAUCAUGAAACACUAGAAAUCAUGUAUAGAAAUAUAAAGAUAAACUUGAUCUCAAUUAAAACUCAAAAUUUUUAUGUCAAUGAACGUGCAUGGAUUCUUGUUUUUUUGAACGGAAUACAAAAAAUUAAUUUAGGUUAAAGAAAGAACGAAUGGCAGAAAUCUCCAAAAGGACGAGGGCCGUAGGGAAUUUUUUCUAUUCAAAGAGGGCAUAAGGAUAAUUUUAUACUCAGUUUUUUAUUCGGUAAAGAAAUGAGACAAUUUUUUACUCAAUUACUUAUUCAAAGAAGAGGAUGAAGUCGAAUCUCAUCCUCUCCUCAUUUUCUCAUUUUAAUUUUUAAUUUUAUUUUUAUUUUUUAGAAUUAUUGAUGAGUAAAUAAUAAAAUCUAAAUUAUAAAAUAUUAAAUAUUAAAAAAAUAAUAAAUAUCAAAAUAUUUAUAUAAAUAUACUAUGAAACUUUCAUGUGUAAUUAAAUAAUUAUAAUCUUAAAUUAGCUUCGAUCAGGCCUUAGCCCAUAAUUUUUGUUUUAAACUUUUAUUUAAUAAAACAAAAGCUAAAGUAAAUUUGUAAAAUCUAAUUUCUAAAGUAGCCAGCCACCCAGCACUCCACUGCAGACAUUCACGAUCAUUAGUUCAUUUAUUUCAUUAUAGAUAUAAAUUUUUUUCUUUUUAUUAUAGGUUUAUGAAGAUUGAUGCAGAUAAUUAUUUUGAUAUUUUAUAUUUUGUAGUAUAACUUUUUUAAUAGAUUAAUAUUAAUGUAAGGUGUAAAUAAAUUUUUUAUUUUAAUAUAAUUAAAUUAAGUUUAAAAAAAAAAAUUCAUUAUUCAGAAUGGAGAACCUUUGGCGAUUCUUUGUUAUUUUUUAGAGAAGAAGCGAUGAUCUCCUCGAAUAAUUCUGCUGGAGAUGAUAAAAAAGUAGAAUAUAAAAAAUAUACUGAGAAGUUAGAGUCCCUUCCCAGUUCCCAUCCCUCCCCCUGACCGGUCCCCUACCUAUAAACGGAAGUAAAAGUCUUUCUAUUUAUCAAUAUAUCUUGGAAAGAGAGAGACGCUUAAAGAUAUAAUGUUGGGCUAUAAUAGUAAUUUAAGGUAGCGUUUAUUUUUUGGAUUGAAGUGGGAAUUCUGAGGAAUGAGAAUCCUGGGAGUGUGGAGUGGAAGUGUGAGUAGGUUGUUUACUUACACUGAAAUGGAAGUAUGGAAUAGAGAUCAGAAUCCAAUUUAUGUGUUUACUUUGUCUUGGAUUGGGAGUAAAUAGUUUCAAAUUAUAAUUUUAUCCUUAUUUAAAGAAUUAUAAUUUUUAAUUACAAAGCUAAUAAAAAAUAUAUUUAAUGAAUAAAUAUUUAUUUUAUUAUAUUUGUAAAUUUAUAAUAAUUAUUAAUAUUCUUAAUUAUGAACAUCACAUUUUUUUAUUAAUUUUAAUUCUAAUAUAAAAUGAAACGUUAUUUUAUUUUAUUUAAUAUAAUUAUAUUAAAUUUAAAUAUAAUUACAUUAAAUUUAUUAUUAUAUAAAAUAAUAAUAUAAUAUUAUUUAGUACAAAAUUAAUAUUUUCUUAGAAUAAAUUAUUUAUUAUUAUUAAUAUUAAAUAAAUAUAGUACUAUUAUUUUUAAAAUAAAUACAAUAAUAUUAUAUUUAUUAAUUCUCUAUUAAUAUAAUAUUAUUAUUUUAAAAUAAUUUUAACUUAGAGUCAAUAUAAAUUAUUAUUUAAUUAAAUAUAAUAAUAUUAUUUAUUUUAUUUUAUUAAUUAUAAAAUAUUAAAUUAAAUUAAAAUUAAAAAAAAGUAGAAAAGGAAGAGGUGGGAGUGAGAAUUCCCACUCCCACCUCCCCCAAUGGAAGUCCCACUUCCACUCUCCACUCUAAAAAUAAGUGGAACCUAUAAAAUAAGAUACCCAAUUCCUCGUUAAAUAAGUGAAGUAAAUACUGAAAUAAAAAAAAUUCACACUUUUCACCCCCAUUCCAUAAAAUAAACACGAGAUAACAAGAGUACACUUUCGUAAUAAAAAAUUAUAUGGUAAAUGGGUGCAGAAUUAUUCGAAAAGCACAACAAAUAAUCCAAUUUUUGCUCAUCUCUCUUGAAUCAUCAUUAUUCAUCAGUUAUACUACCACCGUUCAAUAUGUUCUCCAAAGCCUUGGAUCAGUUGGCUUCAGUCCGCAGAAAGAUCAUCGAUGAAGAAAAGGCGAAGAUCCAAGAACUGACCAACAAGUUCCAGGACAUUCGAGCCGUGCUUGACGAUGAAGAAGUCGGACAAGUGGGGGUCAACGGUGUGGGAGGUCGCUUAGUCGAACUUAAGAAGAUGUUCUUCGACAUUGACGACGAGUUGGAUGAGCUGAACACUGCUAUCUGGAAUGCUUCCAUGCGUACCAGAAAGGUACGCUCCUAUCUGUUAACUUGUCGGCUUCUAUUUCUGCGUCGUGACGUAGCUUUGAAGUUAAAGAAUCUGAGUCAAACACUAGAUGGGUCUGGGUUGAAGAGUAGUGACCCUGCAGAUACAGGAGACAUAGAACAAGAACGACCUAUGAUCUCUGUUGUUGAUUCAUCACAGGUUAUUGUGAGAGAUGGGGAAAAGAAUAGACUACUCAACUUACUGUUGUGUGAGAGUAGUGAAAAACAAACGACCCUCCCUAUUAUUUCUAUCGUAGGGAUGGACGGUUCCGGAAAAACAACUCUCUCUCGGCAAGUCUUUGACAUUGAUGCUGUCAAAACCCAUUUCAGCAAAAGGAUUUGGGUGUCUGCGUCUUAUCCUGAGAUUAGGAUUGCCAGAGCAAUUCUUGAAUCUCUUAAAGAUGGUGUAUCAUCGGAUCUAGUUGAAAUAGAUACUGUGUUGCAACAAAUAAGUCAUUAUAUUCAAGGAAACAGGUUUCUUCUUGUCUUGGAUGAUGUGAGGAGUAGAUAUUUCAAUUAUUGGCAACAAUUGAUGUACUCUCUUAAAUCGGGUUCUGAGGGAAGUAGAAUUUUGGUGACUACAGGCGAGGCGAAUGUCGUAAAUAAGAUGGGAAACACCAGGAUGAUCUCACUAGGGACACUGUCUGAGGAGGCUUCUUGGUCUUUGUUCUGUCUAGUAGCAUUUUACUGGAGGAGAAGUGAUGAGGAGUUUCAAGAACUGGAACACAUUGGUAGACAAGUUAUACGUAAGUGCAAAAACUUGCCUCUUGCUGUAAAGGUUAUAGGAAGCCACUUGCGUUUUAAACGAAACAUUGGAGAGUGGUUAAAUGUCUUGAAGAGCAAGAUAUGGGAACUUAAACUAGCAGAUAAAGAGCAUUUUUUGCCUCUAUUAUUGAGCUAUUAUGAUUUGCCCUCCGCAUUGAGAAAAUGCUUCUUGUAUUGCGCCAUCUUUCCAAAAAACUAUGAGAUAGAGAAAGAUAGAUUGAUCAAAUUAUGGAUGGCUCAGGGUUACCUUAAGGUAGAGGGAAGAGAUGAUAUGGAGUUAAUUGGAGAGGAGUUCUUUGAAAGCUUAGCAUCACGCUCUUUACUCCAUGAUUUUCAAAAAAAUGAGUUUGAUGGUAGAAUAAUAAGGUGCAAGAUGCACAAUAUAGUUCAUGAUUUUGCUCAGUUUCUUACAAUAAAUGAAUGUUUCAAUCUAGAGGUCAAUGGUUUUGAAAUGUGUCCAUUAGAGUCUAAUGAAAAUAUUAAGCAUUUAAUGAUAAAGUUUGAAACAGAGCGCAAGUUCCCUACUUCAGUUUAUAAUAGAAAAAGAUUACGCAGCCUUGUGGUUGAGCGCGGAGAGGGUUUUAUGACUGGCAUAAAUCUAUCUGCAUUAUUUGAUAAUUUGACAUGUUUGAGGUCGUUAGAUUUGAGUAACCAGGAUAAUGGUUUUUAUAAUGUCAUUAAGCGAGUUCCAAGAGGAAUAAGAAAAUUGUUACACUUGAGGUACCUUAACUUGUCUAGGAAUAGCAAAAUAGCAGAACUGCCUGAGUCGCUGUGUGACUUGUAUAAUUUAGAAACCAUGGAGCUCAGUUGGUGCAUCAGUCUAAAAAGGUUGCCUCAAAGGAUGGGGCAGUUGAUCAACUUGUGGCAUUUGGUAAAUGAUGGGACUUCACUGAGUUACAUGCCAAAAGGAAUUGAAAGAUUGACUUGUCUUCGGACCUUAAAUGAAUUCAUUGUCAGUGUUGGAAGUGAUGAUGAUAAAGCAUGUAAACUUGAAUGUCUGAAAAGCUUGAACCAUCUUCGAGGAUCCCUUAAAAUUAAAAAGCUGGGAAAUGUGAGUAAGGAUGAGAUUAACAAAGCAGAACUUGGGAAAAAGGAAAAUCUCCUUGCUUUGUAUCUAAGCUUGGAAAAGGAUCGGGAAAAGGGGAGUACGAAUAAGGAUGAUGAGGAUGCUCUUGAAGGUUUACAAGUACCUCCAAAUCUAGAGAGAUUGGAGAUAUUUUACCAUAGAGGAAACACGCUAUCCUCCAUUUUCAUAAUGUCAUUAGCUAAGUUGAGGUCGAUGUCAUUAGAUCGUUGCAUUAACUUGGAGCAAUUGCCUCGUUUGGGAGAAUUGCCAUCUCUUGAAUCACUUACUGUAAGGAAUAUGAGGAGGCUGGAAAAAGUGGGUAAUGAAUUUUUGGGAAUAGAUGAAAGUAGACUUUUGAGGAAAGAUGAAGGUAAAGUUUUGGGAACAGAUCGAAGUAGGUCUUCGGGCAUAGAAGAAAGCAAGCCUAGCAAACCAUUUGUUGCUUUUCCCAGGUUGAAAUCUCUUGAAUUUCAGAAAAUGAAAGGAUGGAAAGAGUGGAAGUAUAGUGUUACAACGAGUACGUGGCCACAUGAUAGACUCAUGCCACGUCUUUGUUCCUUGACAAUCGGAUUCUGCCCGAAAUUGGAGACACUGCCUGAUGACUACCUUCCUCAGUUGCUGGACUUGAAGAUUUUUUCAUGCCCUAAGCUGGAAGAACGUUAUAAAGAGGGAACGGCAGAGAGGGGAAAUAUCUCUCACGUCCACUUAUAUUUCUCAUGAUUAAUAUUCUACAGAUGCACAGGUAAUCUCUUCUCCGCAUUUUUUAUAGUUUUAUUUGUAGAAUCAAAUCGGAAUUAGGUUUCUAAAUUACAUGUUCAUUGUACAGCUUAUCAUGAUUUUGUAUUCUUCUAUCUUAUUGUCACCGCUUAUUCUUAAUUCAAAGUUAUCUCAUGCUAAAUGUUUCCUUUUCUUUUCAGGCUACAGGGAAUGGUCAUACUUGCAAAAUGUAUUGUGAAAGAUAUGUAUACCAUUGGAAAAUAUUAAGGUGUGACAAUGUCCAUUAGCUCGCAAUUUUUUGUUUUCUUGAUCAGUUGUUACCCUAUUUUUUCAGUCUAAAUAAGGCUGUAAGUCUAAUGCUGUGGAUGACAAACCUAGACAAUUUCAUCUUAUUGAGUUCAUUUUUCACAAGAAUGGUAUGAGAAGCAUACAAGAGAUGACUGAAAUGUUACAUCUUCAUGCCCCAAAGAUCAAUUACGUGGUAAGUCAUCCUCUGCAACUGCUAUCUACUCAUUCUGGAUCUUGAUUUCUCAAUUGGAAAGCGGAAAACAUUCUUGUAUGCAGGAUUGACUGCCAGGCACAUUAGCUAAUGGAUAGUAGAGCAGAGCACUUACUCAGAAGCAUUGGAAGUGGUGCCUGAGGCUGAAACUUUCCUUUUGAAUCAGAGAGAAAAUGUGAUGAAGUAAAUGGGUAUGUCUUUGGUACUAAUUAACCAAGCUUAAAACUUAUUCUUAUAGCUAUUUUCUCUUUUGCAUUUUACAGUUUCAACUCCUUUACCGUAUCGUCCUUCAAUCUUGAGGUACUAAUCAGAGUGCAAUUCAAGUUUCAAAGCAAAAAUGGAGACUGCAUUGAAGUCAGAGAGGGUGCAAAAGGAAAUGAUAAGAUGCUUUGGAUGGGCUAUUGACAAACCUUGAAUAGUAUGACAUUGUCUGCUUUAAAUGAAGGUCAGGAUACCUUUUGUUCUUGAGUUCUUGUCAAAAGGCGUCAUAUUGUAUAAGAAAUGAAUUUGUAUAUGUAGUUUAAUGUUCCUUUGAAAACAGGCAAUGCAGGAAUUUUGACACCCGAUCCUCACCUUUUCCACCCUUGAUAUCUUCGAAUGGUGAAUCUUUGCUGGUACAAUUAAUGACAGGGAAGCUCUCCCUUUAUUAAAGCCAUACAAGGAAAAAGAAAAUGGAUCAUUCAAGGUUUCCAGUUGCUGGAUGAGGGCAGAGCUGAUUGAAGCCAGUUGGGAGGAGUUGUAGGAUGUCCAGAAACUCAAUGACAUUCAUCACCCUUUGCUCUGUCACUUGGCUUCUGGAACUGGGUAUAUUUUUGUCGCUCGUUUGUGUGUCUUGCACAGUGAAGGUAGAAGGUUGAAGCCCAUGAGGGUGAAUGAUAUGCUGUUGUUACCUUUUAUCUUUGUUCGAUAUACCCAACUGAUCUUGCUUGGUCUUGGAUACAGUUUAUUUUAAUGUAGCAACUGAUGGGUCCUUUCAUUUUCAUCUUAUUCAGUAAUCAAUGUUUCUCAGAUCUCUGUGGCCUCUUUUGUAUUGCACUGAAUGAUAUACAAAUGUUAAAUGAAGGGCUCCACUAACCUUCAUUUUUUUAUGAUGCUCACUUAGUUUUGAAUAUGGGAGAAGGAUUUGAAGACGUGAAGCACCAAUAGAGACUGUAACAAUGAGGCAAAAUUUUAGAAUUUCACUUUGAUGCAUUUGGCAUAUUAGGCGCUUUGGUCCGUGGCCUUUUGCAAAUUUGUCCUGCAUGGUGUGACCAUUUAGUGCAUACAGUAACAGGAUCAGAAAAUAAAUCAACAAAAGCAUUCUAUAACGUAUAAACCGUGAAAAUACUUAAAAUUUUAGUUAGUUUAAAUUAUUGCUUAUGGUUUGAUUCAUCCAUACAUUAGAAUAUUCUGGAACAGAAAAAUAUUUUUACAGCAUUGAAUGGAGUCUCUCACAAUCAGCUCUCACAUGGUUCCUUCUAAUAUGUUUUACGGUAGGACAACCUGUUCGGGCCAUGGUCAGCUCAAACUCAUCCUUAGCAUUUCAAUGACGCGUCUCACCCCAUAUUCCCCUUUUGCAGCCAGGCCAUGGAUUACAGGCCUUUCGAUCUGGAGUAACAUAUUACAUACAUCUAUGUAAGCAAGGGCGGCCCGAACAAUAGAGUUAUGCUCUAACAAUAAAAGUAGUUGUAUUAAGAAGUUGCAGCUGAAAUAAGUUUCUCUAUGUUACUUUUAUUAUCCUGGUAUCAACUGCUAACAACAGGGAGAAGAAAGGUGGCUCCAGAAUCUCAACAUAUAACUUUUUUGUCGAUUGAAAUUCAAAAAAUUAAGGGUAUAGUUGCGUAAAGCUUACAAGUACAGCUUGUGCACCGAGGGCCAAUGCCUUGAAAACAUCUGUUCCUCGCCGCACUCCCCCAUCCACAAGAAUCGGAUCUCUUCGUUUAACGGCAUCAACCACCUGCAAGCUCAGGUUGACAAGUACAAACUGUAUUGGUUACGAUUUCCUUGUUAAAAUCUAGAGUAUAACCCAGACGCAUAACAUAUCUUACUGCAAAAUGCCAGUCAUUUCUACAUCAAGCUGGUUUGAUUGAAAAAUGUAUUAUUACAAGAUCUCCAUCAUUAGUACAUGGACUCAGCAAGUGAAAACGUCUACAUGUCAGAAAACUAGUAAAAACCAAAUGCACUAGCACUGCCAGCACCUGACAGUUGCAUGUUCUGUUUCCUAAGGUUUCUUCAUAUGCAUUUAGCUUAAAACUCAGAGCAAUAAUUAGGAGAAUUAUGUAAUCCUCAUAUGAUAUUUCUCAACCUUUCAAGUUAAAUUCAAUUGCAGUAGCACAGUUGUCAGUUUGGAUUACAGUCUUAAAAAAAAAUUUGGAAUGCAUUCUACUAAUCAACUAAAAUCAAAAUAAACUGACAUAUAUUUUUAAUUAAUAAGAUUCUCACGAUUGUUUAUGUACUUAUAAAAGUGAAGUUUAGAUCUGUAGACAAAUCUAGCUCAUAUUAUCUGCAGAUUAGAAUACUAAUAGUGGUGUGAAAUUGUUAGAAAAUUAGAAAAAAUAUGUGCUGUAAUUAUAUAUUAGCUGUAAAUUAGUCAUUAGCUGUAACAUAGCUAUUUAGGUGUAAAUCUAUGUAUUUUAGGAAAAUCUACCUAGAAAUUAUUCUUUCCUUAAAUCAGUGAUUUAGUUUCCUGAUUUAAUGGUUUUAUGUGUGCUGUAAAUCUCUAUAAAAGAACAAUCUCAAUGACAGAAUAAUUAAUUAUGUGCAAACCUAUUUUUCAAGUUGGUAUCAGAGCAGGAAGAAUAUCUUGCCGGAAUUCCUUUUUUCUUCCUUUUGAUCCCUACACCCUAAACUUUUGAUCCCUGCACCCUAAAACCAUGUCAGACUCUUCAUCCAAUUCCAGUACUGUCCCUCAAUCCUCUAUGAACAAUCCUAGUAGCACGGAUGUUUCAAAAAUCAGUGCUACCUCCUCAGAAUCUCAUUCUGUACAAAUCACCACAAUUCGUUUGAAUGGUGACAAUUUUCUGAGAUGGUCUCAGUCAGUUAGGAUGUAUAUUAGAGGGCGUGGAAAAAAGGGCUAUUUGACUGGUGAAAAGAAGGCUCCUGCAGUGGAUGAUCCGGCCUAUGUUACAUGGGAUGCCGAGAAUUCCAUGGUGAUGACGUGGCUUGUGAAUUCAAUGGAAGAAGAUAUUAGCUCUAAUUAUAUGUGCUAUCCAACGGCACAAGAGCUUUGGGAGAAUGUAAAUCAGAUGUAUUCUGAUCUCGGAAAUCAAUCACAGAUUUUUGAGUUGAUCCUCAAACUCGGAGAGAUGCGACAAGGGGAGCACAAUGUCACAAAAUAUUUUAAUUCCUUAAAGCGGAUUUGGCAAGACCUUGACCUUUUCAACACCUAUGAGUGGAAAUCUCCCGAGGAUGCUCAACAUCACAAAAAGACUGUAGAGGAUGGCCGCAUUUUUAAGUUUUUGGCUGGACUGAAUGUCGAGUUUGAUGAGGUGAGGGGGAGAAUUAUUGGAAGACAGCCCCUACCUUCAAUUGGUGACGUUUUUUCAGAGGUCAGAAGAGAGGAGAGUCGGAGGAAUGUGAUGCUUGGCAAGAAGGGAACUGGGGUUGCUGAAGGUUCUGCCCUGGUCUCCAUGACUGGAAGCAAGGCUCCUAUUUUGCAACGCAAAUCUGAUGAAAAACAACAAGUUUGGUGUGAUUUUUGUCAUAAGCCUCGCCAUACCCGUGAGACCUGCUGGAAAAUUCAUGGGAAACCUGCAAAUUGGAAAGGGAAAGCUGGCCGAGCCAACCCUACUGCCAAUGAGGUUGAGACCAGCCCCUUCACCAAAGAGCAGAUGGAGCAUCUUCUUGCACUGUUAAAAUUUAAUUCGGUACCCAAUGUUCCUAGUGUUUCUGUGGCACAUACAGGUAAUAAAUUCUAUGCUCUAUCUUGUCAAUUUAAAUCUGCUCCAUGGAUAAUAGAUUCAGGAGCAUCCGACCAUAUGACCAAUUCCUUACAUUUGUUUGAGACUUUUUCACCAUGUCCCGAAAAUAAGAAGGUUAGGAUAGCCGAUGGUAAUCUCUCACCAAUUGUAGGAAAAAGCCUUAUAAAACUUUCUGAGAGAGUAGAUCUUAAAUCUGUUCUCUAUGUCCCUAAACUUGCUUGUAAUCUAUUGUCAGUUAGCAAACUAUCUAGAGACUCUAACUGUUAUGUUAUUUUCUAUGAAUCCUAUUGCAUUUUUCAGGACCGGAGCUCGGGGAAGACGAUUGGCAGUGCUAGGAUGAUUAAUGGUCUCUAUUAUUUCGAGGAUAAAUUUCUUAGUAAUAAAAUAGUUCAAGGGCUAAGUAGUAUUAGUUCUUUAUCUACUCGUGAUCAAAUAAUAGUUUGGCAUUGUCGUUUGGCCACCCAAGUUUUCCUUAUUUAAAACAUUUAUUUCCAAUGCUAUUUAAAGGGAUUGAUCCUUCAUCAUUUCAAUGUGAGAGUUGUUUAAUGGCAAAAAGUCAAAGAAAAUCUUAUAUUCCAAAACCUUAUCAUGCUUCAAGACCGUUUUAUUUAUUCCACAGUGAUGUUUGGGGUCCUUCAAAAGUGACCACAAUUUCUGAAAAAAAAUGGUUUGUGACUUUUAUUGACGAUCAUACACGUCUGUGUUGGGUUUACUUAAUGAGAGAAAAAUCUGAUGUAGAACAGAUUUUUAAAGAAUUUUAUAGGAUGAUUGAAACUCAAUUUCAAACAAAAAUUAAUAUUUUGAGAUCUGACAAUGGAACGGAGUAUUUUAAUAAAGUUUUGGAAACUUUUUUAAAUGAACAAGGAAUUUUACACCAAUCCUCUUGUUCCGACACACCUGAACAAAAUGGCAUUGCUGAGCUUAAGAACAAGCACUUGUUAGAAGUAGCUAGAGCCAUGAUAUUUUAUAUGAAUGUUCCAAAGUAUCUAUGGGGUGAUGCUAUACUGACAGCUUCGUAUCUUAUUAACAGGAUGCCUACCAAAGUUUUACAAUAUAUCACCCCGUUGGAUUGCUUAAAAAAGGUAUUCCCAGAAUCUAGAAUCAAUUCUGACUUACCUUUGAAAAUAUUUGGCUGCACAGCAUAUGUGCACACGCCAAAGAGGCUAAGGUCUAAAUUAGAUCCAAGAGCCGAAAAAUGUGUUUUUAUAGGGUAUGCACCCAAUAAAAAGGGUUACAAAUGCUUUAAUCCCCUUACAAAAUGUUUUUUUGUCACUAUGGAUGUUUCUUUCAUGGAAAAUACAUUAUACUUUACCAAAAAUUUGCUUCAGGGGGAGAAGAUAGUUGAACCAAAUUUUUGGGAAAUUGCUGAACCCUUACCUAGCACACUAGUUGAUACCUUUUCUGAAAAAGAAACCUUGGAAACUAGGCUUAAAGAAACCAAAUCUGACAUUGGUCUGACAGAAAAAGAAAUACUACGAAUAAAAAAAAAUAGAAACAAUCUUGAGCCUGUGGUUUAUUCUAGGAAAGGUGUCCUUAGAGGUGGUAGAGACCAGGCCAUUAUCCAAGCACGUGGUCAACCGGAAGCCCUAAGCAAUGGUCAUCCAAAUGCCUCAGGUAAUCCUUCUUCUGUUCCUUCCUCUUCCUUUCCUAUUACUGACUUAAACUUACCAUUACGAUCAGAUUCUAGGGAAGAGAACUCUGCACCUGAAUCUAUUUUAGAACCAGCCCCUGUUAUUCUUGAACAGAAUCUUAAUCUUGACCUCCCCAUUGCCCUUAGAAAAGGAACCCGAACCUGUACCAAACAUCCUAUUGCCAAAUAUAUUUCCUAUCAAAACCUUUCUGACAAUUAUAGAGCUUUCACUACAAACAUUUCAAAACUUGUUGUGCCUAGAAAUAUUCAAGAAGCACUUGGUGAUCCAAAUUGGAGGUUGGCUGUGUUUGAAGAGAUGAAUGCCUUGAAGAAGAAUGAUACUUGGGAGAUGGUAGAAUUACCGAAUGGAAAAAAGGUUGUGGGGUGCAAAUGGGUGUUUACUAUCAAGAGUAAGGCAGAUGGGAGUGUCGAGAGAUACAAAGCCCGUCUUGUUGCAAAAGGUUUUACUCAAACCUAUGGGAUAGAUUACCAAGAGACCUUUGCUCCGGUAGCUAAAAUCAACUCAAUUAGGGUCCUGUUGUCUCUUGCUGUUAACUCUAAUUGGCCCUUACACCAAUUGGACGUUAAAAAUGCUUUCCUUAAUGGAGACCUUAAGGAGGAGGUAUAUAUGAGUUCCCCACCAGGCUUUGAAGAAAGGUGUGGAAAUGAGAGAGUGUGCAGAUUGAAGAAGUCCUUGUAUGGACUUAAACAGUCACCAAGAGCUUGGUUUGAGCGCUUUGGCAAGGUGAUUAAGCGCUAUGCAUAUAUUCAAAGUCAAGCUGAUCAUACAAUGUUUUACAAGCAUUCAAAUGAUGGUAAAAUAGCUAUCUUGAUAGUAUACGUGGAUGAUAUCGUGUUAACUGGGGAUGAUUGUGAUGAGCUAGCAAAGUUAACAAAGAAACUGGCUGAGGAGUUUGAGAUUAAAGAUCUCGGGGCAUUAAAAUACUUUCUUGGGAUGGAGUUUGCUAGAUCUAGAGAAGGCAUUUCUGUAAAUCAGAAGAAGUAUGUUAUCGACUUGUUAAACGAGACAGGUAUGCUAGGGUGUAAACAUGCUGAAACCCCUAUAGAACCUAAUGUGAAACUGCAACCUGCAGAAGCUGAGAAUGUGAAGAAUAGGGAGCAUUAUCAGAGACUUGUUGGGAGAUUGAUUUAUCUAUCCCAUACACGCCCAGAUAUAUCCUUCUCUGUUAGUAUGGUUAGCCAAUUUAUGCAUGCCCCAGGACCGGCACACUUUGAAGCUGUCUACAGAAUUUUAAAGUAUCUAAAAGGGACACCGGGCAAAGGACUUCUGUUUAAGCCACAAGGACACUUGCAGAUUGAAGCCUACACAGACGCAGAUUGGGCUGGAAGCAUAGUAGACCGAAGAUCCACUUCUGGAUACUGUUCAUUUGUAGGUGGUAAUUUGGUUACAUGGAGAAGCAAGAAACAGAAUGUGGUAGCUAGGAGUAGUGCUGAGGCUGAAUUUAGAGCUGUAGCCCAUGGUAUUUGUGAGAUCAUGUGGAUUAGGAGGCUGUUGGAAGAGUUAAAAGCGACACAAUCAUCUCCUAUGAAGUUGUACUGUGACAACAAGGCAGCAAUCUCAAUAGCACACAAUCUAGUCCUUCAUGACCGAACAAAACAUGUGGAGAUUGACAAGCAUUUCAUCAAGGAGAAGAUAGAUAAUGGAUUGGUUCAUAUGGAGCACAUUCCUACUGGAGAACAAGUGGCUGAUGUCUUUACCAAAGGACUACACACAAAACAGUUCAAUUUUCUAGUUGGCAAGCUGGCUAUGGAGGAUAUCUUCAAACCAGCUUGAGGGGGAGUGUUAGAAAAUUAGAAAAAAAUAUGUGCUGUAAUUAUAUAUUAGCUGUAAAUUAGUCAUUAGCUGUAACAUAGCUAUUUAGGUGCAAAUCUAUGUAUUUUAGGAAAAUCUACCUAGAAACUAUUCUUUCCUUAAAUCAAUGAUUUAGUUUCCUGAUUUAAUGGUUUUAUGUGUGCUGUAAAUCUCUAUAAAAGAACAAUCUCAAUGACAGAAUAAUUAAUUCUGUGCAAACCUAUUUUUCAAGUGAAAUUUAUAGUCACCUCUUCCAGAGCAGAGAUAGUGGCAGGAGUAUAAUCUAACUGUCGAGCUCCGUGAUUGGAGACAAUAAUCCCAGCAACGCCUACUUCCACAGCUUUUAUUGCUGAAAAUUUUAGAGACCAAGCAAUUAACAAGAAUCUUCAAUUAUGUGCGCAGAAAAAAUGUGAUGAAAUUCAUAAAACAGAUAUAUAAUGAUGAGGAGAUUUAACAAGAAUAUUUUCAUUUGGUUGACUGGCAUCUCCAAUUCUACAAAUUUUAAUUCUAAACCUCUAAUUCCACUAACAAUCCCCGCAUAAAUGAACCUCUGGCUUAAAGACUGACUGUGUAGAAGUGGACGAGAAUCCCUUUUUUAGUCUGAAGUUACAUGGAAAAACAAAACAAAGAGAUACUUAUAUCAUCAAAUGGAGCUUUGAUCAUACCAUCUUCACGAGUAAGUACCCCCUUGAUCAAAAUUGGUAAGUUUGUAAUAGAUCUUAGCCAUUCUAUAUCCUGCAGAAGCAUGUGAUAAUCUUCAGACUCAAACUUUAGAAAGAGUAUUAAGAUCACUAACCAAGCAAAAUAAUAUCCAUGAUCUAUUUGUUCUAAGUAGCUGAAUAAUAGACACUUCUUUUUUCUUGAUAUAUUUUCCAAGCAAGGGAAAGAAACAGCCUGAGCAAAUUUUAAGCUGAGAGAUACUGUUGAAGCAUAUAAAAGGUGAAAGGAAGACUUCAUUGAUCUCUACCUUCCAACUUAAAGAAGGAUCCAUGGUCUCCUUGGCAUAAGCUUCUAAAUUUGAACCUGUAUCCUACAAAAAGUGUAAUCAUUUAAGUUAAUCUAAAGGAUUAUAGAUAUAGUCUAUGAGUUUAAACAAGCAGCAAAAGUAAAUACAGGCUAAGAACCAAAAAAAUCAAUAAAUAAAUAAAUGAAAACUGUUACACUCACAGAGGUGACUUUGGUUGAUAAGAGGCCUUCCAAGUUCUUCAACUGCUGUGCAAUCAUUCUGCAGAAGUUGUUGAGUGAGAUUCAAAAGACGUUGUUUACUGUGCCCAAAUAAAGGUAGAGGGCACUAUAUAUUUCUUAUGAUGUCACAAUAAAAAGAUUUGUGUCAUAUCACCAUCCUAAAUUUUUUGUUUUUUUAACCAAAAUUUAAAUUCAGUUAUAUGUGGUAGUACUUGGAAUAUCUAGAACCAAAGAUAAAAGAGAUGAUAAUUCACUUGUUCUUUAUAUCUGCCUCCCUUCUGUCAAGUCUUGGAGUAUCAGCAGUUAGGACAAGAGCCAUAAAACCAUUCCUUUCGGCUCUCUGCACUAAAGUAGCUGCCAUAUCUCGUUUCUUGUAUGCCUAUUCACAAAAACCCUUUAAGCAACAUUACGAGAAAGAAGAAAAUCGUUGUUGCUCAAAAAAAAAAAAAGCAGUUUGCUAGUGGGGGAAAAAAAUAAAAAAGCACUCAAGACAAGCCAACUGCUUAUAAUUGAUAGAAGCGAACAGCAUUGCAGCUGGCGGCAACCUCCUCUAUGGAGCAGCUAGAUGUGAAGGAUAAAACCAUUAUGGUGUUACAUGAAGCUGCUGCUCUGGCUGUGGCUACCUCUCCUGGAAUAUAUACAAACAGUUAAUGUUAGAAUUUGGACAAAAUCUUAAUGAUGAACAACUUAAAGGAAUAAGACCUUCAGGGUUUGCAAGCUUAUGCAAACCCGUUGGAGCAAUGAUAAUGGAAGCCGAGAUUUUGUAAUCAAGUGUACUAGUCGAUAUAUCUAUCCUGCAGACAUCGACAAGAAUUCUUGGCCAAAACCUGGGAGAUAUUAUAAAAGGUCGUUUGAAAGUUCUGAAUCUAUUUCUAAGAUUGCUCAUUGAAACUAAUUUGACUUGCGUAAUUCCAUGAAAUGCUUCCAUAUUCUCUUUCAGGGUGUACUGAUUUUCUACUCCUCCAGCGUAGAAAUCAUAAUACAUUUUUGGAAGGGCCAGCCUUGCCAAUUCUUGGAAUGCAUUCAAGUUAACAGGUUCGGCUGCCAUUUGAACCUGGAAACGUGGACAUUAAUCAACUUCUCAAGUAAAUCAAUCCUAGAUGCUAUAUACUGCAUGCAUAAAUCUGAAUAAUUCAAUUCAAGAAACUUAAAGCAACAUUUAGAUAGAGCAAGAAUAUCCUGUUAUAGGUGAUACUUCCUUAUAAUGAGUAAAGAACAUAUGGCAUUGAAGCGAACAAAUCAUAUGCCAACACUGCCUACCCCCAAAAAAAAAAAAGAAAAAAAAAGUUUUCAAGAUCACUCUGUAACUCACAACACUUGUUUAAAAUUAUAUUAGAAAUAUCGUGUUCAGUGUUCUUGUCAUACCGUCAAGAAACAUACCGUAAACAUAAAGUACCACUUAAGCACUAUCUGUCAAUGAUUCAGUUAUACAUAUACUCUCUAAGAGACAUACAUACACAAACACUAGCACAUGAUAACAGCUAAAUAAUGCUUCACAUCUACCAAAAUCAUAAGACCAUGAUGAUCCAAUAUAGCACUUCACAUACUCAAAGCUCACGGUCCAGUCAAGCAAGUUCAUCAUGAUCAAAACAUGCCCAUGAAUCAUGACAUCAGAAGAAAAAAAAAAUAUCCUUCGAAUAACUAUUAAUCAAACUUAUACAAUAAUAGAAUCUUGUAAAGAGAUGCACCCGAAUGACUAAAAAUUUCAACUGAUGAAGCUUGUGAGGCAAAUUACAACAGGGAGGAAGAGGCAGAGUCAAAGUCAAGAAGCAUAUAAAGGAUUAGUAUUAAUUAUUUGUCAUUUGACGUGUUCCCUUCAAUUAUAAUGUUAUCAACUUCUACCAUUUUUUAGAAUUUUGUUGUUUUCUUGUUCUUGCACGAUGGAUACAGGCUCCGUAUAUUCCUUAUGCUUUUAGUAUUUGGACUUUCUCUUCUUGUAAUUGUAUUAUCACUUGCCUUCUCUCUAUUUAUAUCUGGCCAACAACAAAAUAAAAGGAGAAUAAAGAUUAAUUUUAGUUACCAUAAAUAAAGGCAUAAAGCUUUUGAAUUUAAAUAUUUUUAUUUUACAAAAUUUAGAAAUUUAACAAAAAAAUCUUGAUAUCAAUUCUUUUGUUGAAACAGGCAGUCAUGUUCACACGAAAACUGAUUGCCACUGGGCUCAAUCUCUAGAGUCCUGCAAUGGGAUGGACCAAACAGAACAAAACGCAUACAAUGAGCAAAAAUCAAUGUAUUCAACAUUGUAACCGAUCUAUAUGUUUUUGCAUAUUCAGUUUCCACGCCUUUGAAACUGUCUAGGCUGUCCAUGAUGCCACCUGUACUCGCGUCUUUGAUCACCUUUGUCUCUCUGUUCAUGCAAGAAUUAGCAGUUGUCAUCAAAAUAGCAUCUUCCUUUAGGAUAAUAUGGGCAGAGCUCUUGGUUCAUGUAGCUUUGUUCCUGAGGUGGACUUGUUGGAUGAUGCUGGUUAAUGCUUUUCAAUCGCUGUCUAUUAAUCGGAGCUUCCCUAAUGCCGCUAAGCUUAACAACAGGAUUCUGAGGAACUUGUGUCUGGCAAUUAUUCUGUAUUACUGCCAACUUCUGUUCUGGCAAUUCUGAAAGCAACUUUAGUUGAAGUUGAAUUUCUGCUGCAUUUUUGGAAUCAGCAGAAUGCUGAGGUUGAAUUGAUAGCUGCUGAGGUCCACUCUUCGUUUUAUUAGAGUCCCUUUGUAAGGGGGGUUGUUUUUGAAACACAAUCUUUGUUGUUGAAACAGAAUCUUCACUUUUUCGGUAGCAAUUAAAUUCCUUUGAGACUGGUAACUUUUUGGAUCCUGAUUCAUGGACAUCCUGAAGAACAAACAUAAGCAUGUAUAUCUUAAAAUAACAUGGAUAAGUUACUUCAUUUUUAUGUGAAAUUAUACCUAUUUGCUUCCAGCAAUUUCCUCUUUUCCUUUCCAUGGAUCCGUAUUUCUCUAUUAGACCUUGCAAUAAAACCCCUUGAGUGCUUCUCCAUCAAAACCUUGUGUCUCUUCCCUUAGUCUUCCCAUCUCUGACAGUGACGGUAUGGGCAAAGCUGGGUUAAUAUUUAAGGAUCAACAGAUAAUAGGAAGAAGAAACUUCAGCUCUGUGCAAACCUGUCUCAAGGUCUUCAGACGAUAAAGGUUUCGACCUUUAAUUAGGAGAGGACGAAGUGGAGGGAGUGGCUUCUCCCCUUUGCUCCAAAGUACCUCUAUCUGAAAGAUUAGCCAAAAACAGCACUUUAAUCACAAGAAUUAUUUUGAUGGAAUUUAAAAUACAGCAUCUGCCUGUUCAAAAUUUACUCCUAGAAAAUUUAUCUCAAUUGUAGGUGAACCAACUAGAGAAAUUCCAUCCAUCAAAUUUGCUUGAAAUGAUCAUACCGCAAAAUCAAGAAAUAUCAUUACCCUAAUGCAUAAACCCAGAUAACUGAACAGUUUUAAGACAUAACAGUCCAAGAAUAGUCAUAGAUUUUCUAUGAUUAAUGGCUUUCCAUUAAACUCCCAAGUCCAAAUUAUAUAGGGCUUAUGACUCACUGUAAAUGUAUGUUGUUGCUUGGCUGCUCCAUAGCUUUCUUUCACAAUGCGGCCAGCAACAAUCCUUUUGCCACAUGGGGGACCACUUUCACUACAAGCUGCUAUGUUAAACCUAAUUAAUGAUGUAGAAAUAAGGUAAGAACAAAACACUCAACGGUUGCAAACAACUUUGAGAAAAGAGCACAGUGAUACUAGCAAAUCUAAAGUAUUUGUUGUCAUUGUUACAUUUGUAAAUCAAAUAAUCUAUUGACAGAAUUAGUAUUCUUUGACAGAUAUUGGAGGAUAAAUGCCAGUUUCAUCGAACUUAUAUUUUCAGCACAUAAACAUAGAGUCAGAGACCAAUAGCUUACAUUUUGUAAACAUUCUGUUCAAUCAUAACAACGUCACCUGUGCAAGCGUCACCUGCAUUUAAUCGGUACGUAUCAGGGUAAUGAGUACAAACACAAAAUAAAAGUAGGGUUACUAGAACUACACUAUACUAGUAUCAGGGAGGAAGGCUGGAAGAGGUGUGUGCAUUCUAAUGCAUUAUAAGCAAAUCAACCAAAGAGUGUUACAAUGAACUGACAUUUUUUUCAGACCCGUAAAUCUAGUAAAUUAAUGAAUCAAAUUUGUACCUUUACAGUCCAGUACAAAGCUAGAGAUUGGGUACCUUCUCUCUCCACCACCAUUUGAGAUUCUGAAAAGUAUCAAAAGAUUAAAACAAAGGAAAAUCCAAGUGUUAUAGGUCUUAAGUGAAAUUAUUAGUUCACGAAAAAAGUUGAAAUUACUCUAAAUGCUCCUUUAUACGCUGAAUAAGCGUGGGUUUAUUGCCCGUCAAUCUCAAUCCAUUGUUCCUCAAAUAAACUUUACAUUGCUCCACUUUCAAUUUCUCUUGCUGCCCGGCUGCCACCAAAAUUUGAAAGCAGCCAAAACACUAAAAACCCAAUUGAGUGAUCAUUAAAGUUUGCAGAUUUAUAAUGCAUGAACAAUGGAAUCCUGUCUAAACUAAUCAUGUAUUUGUCCAAAAUUCAAAAUUUUGUUAAAGCAAUAUCCUUACCCAUUACAAAAGUUCUGAUUUUUACUAGCAACAAAUAAAUAAAUAUACCUUCAAUGAUAUUCUGGAUUACUUUUUCUUCAAUUUCAUCAACACCCACAUCCAAAUCUUUGCCAAUACUAGACAUGAAAAAAAAAAUUAAAAAAAGAAAAGAAAAUCUAUUAUUAGAACAAGGCCAAGCUACAAAGGAAAAAAAAAUCUUUAUUUAAAUAUCGUUGAAAUAAAAAUCUAACCGAGACUUGGACUUUUUCCCAAUUGAGAGCUUUGAGAAGGUGGCAUGGGUGUCCUCAAGAGGGUUGUAACUCGGGUCUAAAUCCGAAUCAUAACCCAGGUCGGACCCUCCACUUUCGGUGCUGUAUUCAUCAUCUCCUUCUUCGAUGAAUAUUACUUGCUCAGACUCAGGAGCUGCCAUUGAUCCGCUACUCUAUUGCUUUCUUGUGGUUUUAUUUAUUCAUAUUUUUCUUCCGCAGAAACCUUUUAAGGUAAAAACCGUAACAACUUGCUUUCGCUUUUUGAAAUCGAAUUGCCAGAAUAAAAGGAAAUUUUCGACCAAAAACAAAAGUAAAUAUGGCCGUUGAGGAUUUGAAAAUUUGAAGCUUGUGCAGAAUGGAUCAAUUAUAUAAUUAAAUCGUUUCGGCGGAUUGUUUUGAUUGAUUAGAUUUUUUUAUUAUUAUCUAAUUAACAAUGGGAAAUUUACAACAAUAGCCAAAAAAAUUAGCCAUUUUUCAACUUUAACCCCUCAAAUUUUUUUCUAUCAACAUUAGCCAAAUCACCAAAUUAUGGACGAAAUUGCCCUCCUCAUUCUCACGUUUCCCUCAAGCAAAUUCCUCCCCCUCUCACCAAAAUCUCAUCACCGGAAGUUGUAUAGAUCGUCGGCGGCGGCGGCGUAGAUCAGCAGCAUUUCAACCCACGGCGGCUAAAAUUGAAAACCCUAGGUGAGUUGUUAUUGCCAUUCUUGUUGUUGUUGAUGUUGUUGUUGUUGUUGUUGUUGUUUGGGUUGUUGUUGUUGUUGUUUGGGUUGUCGUUGUUGUUUGGAAUGUCGUUGUUGUUGGUGGUGUGGUGUUUAAUGGCGGUUGUUGGUGGUGUGGUGUUGUAGAUGCAUGUGGGUGAGAUGCGCGCACGCUGCGUGCAACGUUGCGCGCAUCUCGAGUGCGACGCUGCGCCUGUCGCACGCGAGAUGCGCUUGGCUUGGGCAUCUCGCGCGCAACGCAGCACCUGUCGCACGCGAGAUGCGCGCAGUGUGUGCGCAGACGAGCUGCGUGCAGCGUGCCAGCCUGCGCGCAGCAACUCGCGCGCGCAGUUCGCGCAUCCCACGCCCGCCUGUCGCACCAAGAGGCAGUGCGUGGUGUUGCCUUUAUUUUUUUUUUCUUUUGUUCAUAAUUUAUUAACAUGUAAUACUUUUUACUUGUACCAGAUAAAUGGGCAAAUCAAAAAUAGCAUUGCAUAACCCACCCGGACCGAUGAAAGAACCGGGAAUGAUGAAGACACCUUAUGUUGAUCACUUUCCCGGGCGUAUCAUGAGUAUGUGCAAGUUAGAUGUCGUUGUUAAUGCCAUCCGGGAAAAAUUAACAAGGCAAUAACUGAAACUGUUCAAAGACAAUAUAUUUGGGCAUUUCCUACAGUGUCGGAGCUAUCCGUUCAGUGGCGUAAUUGUGCACAAUAUUUUGCUUCGGCAAGUGUCCCAUGGCGAUGGAAAAGGCAAAGAUGAGUUAUGGUUUCAAGUUGGCGACCAUUUGAUACGGCUAUCGAUUGGAGAGUGGUGCCUAAUAACUGGACUUUGCUAUGGCAAAAAUGUGUUCCUGACGAAGCAUAAAACAAUGCAUAGGUUACUUAAUAAGUACUUUGGCGGCAGGAAUCGUGAUUUAAAUCUUGGCCAGUUCGAGGAAAGAUUUAUAAACUUAGACUUCAAGACUAUGGAUGACACCGAUGCGCUAAAAAUCGCCAUGUUUUACUUUGCUGAUAGAGUACUACACAGAAGAAAGGAUCAUUGUCAAAUCAAUUUCAAUUUGCUUAAUGAGGUAGAUGACAUAAAUCACUUUCGAAGUAUUCCGUGGGGUCGUUUGUCAUGGGAAACAAUAUAUAAGGGCAUUGAUAAUACAUUUAACGGCAAAGCCAAUAAAUUUAAGAGGGCAAGCGCAGAAAAUCCUUUGCAUAGAAUUGAGAAAUAUAAUUUUUACGGCUUUACGUCUGCAGUGCAUGUGAGUGAAGAAUUUUUUUUAUAACUUAGUUUUGUUAUAAUAAAUAUUUAAUGACACGUUUUUUACUUCAUAUCUUUCCUUGUUGAAGGCAUGGAUUUUUGAAGCGAUUGAAGAACUACCAUUAGAGUGGGUGGUGAAAAUUAGGAGGAAGGGUCCUCGGAUCGUACGAUGGAAGCCAUUUAUAUGUAUGUCUGUAUAUAACUGUUACAUAAUAUAUCGUUAUACUAAUUGGAAAUUUGGUAAUCUUUACGACAGGAUGGCACUAUUUUCCAAACUCUCAAACCGGAUGCAAAGGAGAGAGCCACAAAUUAUUGGAAGAGUGUCAAGGAUUACGUGCCAUAUUUGCCAAGUUGGGUCCGUAAUGUAGGUAUCCUCUACAGUAUCAUUGAAAACCGGAAGCAAAGUCAUUUAUAUGUUUGUUUUUUUGGUAUUUACUGUUUUCUGUUUUACUUGGUGCAGCACUAGCCUUCAAUCAACGCGCCAUCCAUUACAGGGCCAAACGAGGUGGAUCCUGACCCCACGAGUCCUGUUGAGGAUGCCGGUGCACAUAUUUUGGUGAGAUAGGCAAGUGGGACAGGUGCCUGUCUCACAUAAAACCAGCAGAUUUAUGUGAGACAGGUGCCUGUCUCACUUGUUCUGGGCUUCUGUUUUACUCGAUUUUUCAGGGGUUUCAAUUAUUGAUUUUCAUUUCUCAACUCAAACUAACUACUUUAACAAGUCACAUUGUUUUGUUAAUGAAAAAUAACAACAUUUGCAAUAAAAACUCACUUCAAUUUCUAACUCAAAUGAUAAAAUCAAUAGAUUAAAAGUUUAGAUUAUGGUAAGAGUAUAAACUAACCUUAAGAAGCUCUCCAAUUAAUAAUUAUAUCUUCAAUUAUGUAAUGCUUGUUUGAUGAAAUUUGCUAAUUUAUUGAGAGUAAUGGAGUUUGUUGAGUGAUGAAGUUUGUUAAGUUGAAAAGAGAAAAGUGGUGGAAGUGCUGGAAUUGAAAAGGGAAUAGUGGCAUGCCUUUGUAAAUUUGAUGAAAAUGAUGAGGGUAAUGUAGUCCAAAAAUAGGGUGUUUGGCUAGUUAUGAUAGAAAAAAGUUUGAGGGGUUAAGGUUGAAAAGUGCCUAAUUUUUUUGGCUAUUUUUAUAAAUUUCCCAUUAAGAAUGCUGCUUCGAUUAAAAAAAAAAAUUUGCGUUACAAAGUUUUCACAAGAAAAUAGAAAUAUUAAAAUAUUAAAAAAUCCUUUAUUGUAUUGCAAGUUACUCACAAUUACUUCGACGUUACUAACUUCACUCGGGCACCGUUCGAAUGAGCCUGAGUGCACCUGGUGCCUAUGGUCAUUGGAGAAAUCGUUAGAAAUUUAGAUUUAAUAUUGAUUUCUCCGUCUUUGUCUUCUAAUAAUUUUUUAUCACACUGUAUUUAUAAUUUGAGUGUCUAAAUUAUAUAAUUGUAUUAGAGUUAUUCUUUAGUGUAAACUUGCUUAUCAAAAUAUGAAUAUUAACGUCGGUGUUGUAAAAGGAUUUUAUAAUAUUAUAUUAUCAAAAUCUAUUACAAUAUUUUAAAGCAUUAAGUGUAUAAUAUGUGGAUGUUCGCACCUAAAAAUUAUUUAAUUAUAACAUGCGUAAAAUUCUAUAUGAGUAAUUUAGAAAUUAUUCCACAAAAGUUGGAAGUUCAAUUUUCAACAGGAAAUGACUAGUUGUCCACUCAAGCACCAGUAUUUCAACAACGUAAUUACUUCUAUAAUUAUGCAUGAGCCAUCUUAAUUUCUGCUAUAUCAAUAUAAGAAAAUUUGUUUACAGUAAUGUCAGUGGGGAUUGCUAAAAACGUGUCGUAAAGAAUAUGACUGAUGAUAAGCUCAAUUAAUUAAUAUACAGUCUGUGGCUCGCAAUAAUACAAUAAUAAACUUACUUCAGCUUUAAUGAUUAUUACCAUUAUCUAUGUGAGCUCUACUCUGAUCAUAUCAUUUCAUCUGGUGAUCAUUUCGAGGCACCUCUCUCUCUCUCUCUCCCCCCCUGACCUAUUUGCUUUUGUUUUGUUGUCGUUUUCCUAAAAUGGAAACUGCUUCUUUAGCAUCUCCUCUUUGUACAAGCCCUGCAGCUAAUUAUGGAAAUUACCAUCCUUUAAAAUCCUCUAUGUUGAAAUCUCCGAAGAGACACAAGAAACUCACAUCAAGAUGCAACAUUGGGAGUACUUUCUGUAUUCGGAAUGGUUUUUCGAGUAAGGAAAUUUUAUCCCAUGCGGUCAUGUUAUUCUUCUCAUCAGCCCAAUUUCUUACUGGGAUUAUUUUGUUAUGCUUGUAGGAAAAACAAUGGCGGUGUCUGCUGCACAAUCUGAAAAGGAGCUCGUCAUAACAAAGAAGAAAGAAACUGGAGAAAGGAGAAUUGUUGUGACUGGGUUAGGUGCUGUAACGCCACUUGGUGACGAUGCACAUUUGUUUCACACCAGCCUUCUUGAAGGGGUUACUGGGAUAAGUGAUAUACAGGGCUUUGAUUGUUCAGAAUUUCCCACUGUAUGUAUAAAUAUUGUGUAAAUUUCAUUAUCAUAACUGAGUUUGUGUACAAAGCUAUUGGAUGAUACUAUUCUCAAAUCUUUAACAGAGAAUUGCUGCAGAAAUCAAAUCUCUCUCAACAGAUGGAUGGAUCUCACCAAAAAUUGCGAAGAAAGCAGACAAAUACUUGAUUUAUGCUCUCGUCGCUGGCAAAAAAGCCUUGGUAGAUGCUGGAAUUACUGAACAAGUUAGCGGAGAGUUGGAUAAAAGUAGAUGUGGGGUUAUAAUUGGCUCUGCCAUGGGAGGCUUGCGUGUAAGUGAGCUUUGAGCUUUGAAAACAAAAGUCAAUUAGGAGUGGCAAGUAUUAUGGUUUGCUUAUAAACAAGAGCAUGUAGCCUUACUAGCAUGUUUUAAUGAUUUUCUGGCUUUUGAACAGGUUCUUAAUGAUGGAUUUGAAGCAAUAAAAGUUUCGUAUAAGAAGAUGAGUCCCUUUUACAUACCUUAUUCAUUAACCAAUAUGGCUUCAGCUGUCUUAGCAAUGGAUUUGGUAAGCUCAUAAGAUAGCUUUGUGGCAUGUUGAAAAAAAAAAAAAAACAUUUAAGCAAUCUUAUACUGAUUUGAAAUUGACAUGCUUCCAAUUAUGUGCAGGGAUGGACAGGUCCAAGUUACUCAAUCAGUACAGCUUGUGCAUCGAGCAACUACAGCAUACUGAAUGCAGCUAGUCACAUGAUCAAAGGUGACACUGUAAGCAACUUGCCUUCAUCUCAAGCUGACAUUAAUUAAAGCUAAGAACAUCCCUUGAGAUGUUACAUUAGAGAAGUCUUAGUUUGAUUUAUAUACAACAUGCUUCAUAUUUGUUGAAAAUUUUGCAGGACAUUAUGCUCUGUGGUGGUUCAGAUGGGAUGAUUAUCCCAUCAGAUACAGUUAACAAAGCCGUUGCAUUUUAGAGUAGUUCAAAAAUAUAUCUGUUAAGAUAAGAAUUUUUUUUGAUGAAAACCAUUACCAUAUCCUAGGAAUAUUUAUAUUGUAUCACCAAAAAUCUAUAAUAAAUUAUACAGAAGCGUACCUGAAUUCAUAACGUUGAAUUGUUUGUGUGGUUAGCCUUCUAGAUCUACACGUUCUUCUAGAAAAUCCUUUUAAGUUUUUCACUGCUCUCUCUGAUGAUGGGAUGUCAAUAGAGAAUAAAAAGAUAUGUGUGAAUUGGGGAUUAUAAUCUCUUAUAUAGACAACUUUUUUCUAUUGUCAUUAGGUAUUCCUAAUUCUGCCCAUCAUAUAAUUAGAAUAUUGAAUCUCUACACAUUAAAAGUUCACACUCUAUUAGAUACAUUAAAGCCUAUAAUACCAAAAACUUUAAUAGAUCACCUUUAAUUGGGUUUAAUCUUAUAUGACAGUUCACAAUACAUAAUUAUUCAUAUAUAAGUCCAAUGUUGAAUAAAGGAUCCAACAAUAUUGGAUUAAAAAAUCCAAUAAUAUCAUGAGUUUUGUUUUAUUGAUCUCAGGCAUAACCAAUCUUAUCGCAUGCAAUGCUCGUUCGCAAAGAAAUAACGAACGUUGGAUUAAGAAUUUAACAAUAUUAAACUAAAAAAUCCAACAAUAUUGGAUUAAAAAAUCCAACAAUAUCAUCAAUUUUUUUUUUUACUGACUAUUUAUCGGAAUAUCAGGCAUAGCCGGUCUUAUCGCAUGCAAUGCCCUUUCGCAAAGAAAUAGUGAUCCAACCAAAGCUGCACGCCCAUGGGACGCUGUAAUCAUUUCAACUCUUCCCUCUCUUCUUGUUGAACAACUUUCUAUUAUAAUAAACGAUUUGGCAAUAAAUAUUUUGAUUGCACAACGAGCAGGAUCGCGAUGGAUUUGUUAUGGGAGAAGGAGCUGGGGUUUUGCUUUUAGAAGAGCUGGAACAUGCUAAGGUUAAUAACUAGCAGAAUCAUCACUUUUUAUGAUUAACUAUAGGGCAUUAUUUCCCACUCAUGCACUCAUGUAUCUACACUCAAAUAAUUUGACAGAAAAGAGGGACGAAUAUUUACGCAGAGAUUCUGGGUGGAAGCUUAACUUGUGAUGCUUAUCACAUAACUGCACCUCAUCCUGAGGGUUAGUACAUAGGCUUUCUAAAAUUCCCACUAUCCACAUCUAUCCACAUCUAUUUGAGUUUAUUUCUGCUGGAGUAAUAUAUAUGUUUUUGAAAUCAGGGGUGGGCAUGGUAUCUUGCAUGAAGAAGGCUUUAGCUCAAGCUGGGGUUGCCAGGGAAGAUGUGAACUACAUUAAUGCACAUGCUCCAUCAACGAGACUAGGUGAUCUGAGAGAAUAUCAAUCUGUAAUCCGUUGUUUUGGAAAGAAUCCUGAGGUAAAAACUGAAGCACAUUGCUGCUUAUAAUUUAGAAUUAUUAUAUACUUGUUUAGUUGCUAUUAUACUUCAUCUGAUUCCAACAUGUCGCAGCUAAGAAUGAACUCUACAAAAUCCUUGAUUGGCCACCUACUUGGAGCUUCAGGUGCUGCUGAAGCUGUUGCCACAAUCAAGGUGAAUAGCUUCUGCUUUCUUCCCUGCAUACAUGGCGUAACUGUGUAGAUCACUUGAAUAGUUAAUAUAAGCCUGCUCAUCCUAGAGUGCUGGCCACAAUCAUUGAAGCCUUACGCAUUGACAGAGGGUAUAUCUACAAUAUGGAGGCCCUAUUGGUACAAUAUCCUCCACUAUCUAUUGAAAACUUAAUAAAGCUUUUCAUUACAGUUUUAACUUUUUUUUGGUUGCUUGCUUCAAGUUUUACAUAAUACAAUAUCACUGUUGGGUCAGAAAUGAAAACUUAGGGGGCAGAUAAAGAAAAAAUUUGAAAACAUGAGGCUUUUCAGUAAAAGUCGGGUUGGGAGUGUUAUGCGGUAGUCAUUCUCGCGAGAGAAUCCCGUAUAUGUUUCCUGUAAAAUUUCAUGGUUUUCAAUAGGAUAUAGAAAGAAGGCGGCCAACCCAAAAAAAGACACAAAUUAUUUAAAAAUCACUUAACACUUAACAAAGUGUUAAGUUGUUAAGUUUGGGGACAUAUCAUGAUUGUUUUUUGAAUGGGGUUUUUUUCUUUUUCCUGCAGGCAAUACAAACUGGAUGGAUACAUCCAAACCUAAAUCUGGAAAAUCCUGACAAACAUGUGGUAUGCUUCUUGAAUUUAAAAUGGAAAUAUUUUUAAAAAAUAAUCUCUAUCUUACGUAUAUAUAAAAUACAUUUUUCUCAUAUAAAUAAUGUAUGCAUGGAAUUUAUAUACUAUUUAUAUAAAGAGAAUAUAUCAUGCAUGUAAGAUAGGAGAUCUUGUUUAAAAAGGUUCCUGCUUUUUCACAAGACGUCUCUGCCGAUUCAGGACGCAAAAGGACUGGUUGGCCCCAUGAAGGAACGUUUGCACAUAAAAGUGGCGAUGUCCAACUCGUUUGGCUUUGGUGGACACAAUUCAUCCAUCUUAUUCGCUCCUUUUAAAGGAAAUUAAUUAUGGCUAAAGAAAAAACCUUGACCACACGCGUGUGCUUGGAUGUUAGUCAAUUUACAGCAAUUAAUUAGCAUCCAAAUCCAAGUGCGUGCAUCGUGGAACUCUGCCAAGACGUUAAUUUUGUAUUGGAAUGACAUUUGGGUAUUGUUCUAAGACCACUUCGUUUGAUAUGUAUUGAUUAUUAUGAUGCCGCAGUUUAAAAAGACACGUAUGUUGAUCGAUCCUUGUGAAAUGAGAAAUAAAAGUUGAGAUUUUGAUAAAAUUUAAGACACUUUUCAAAUCAAAUGAUACUUGUCUAUUAUCGUUUUAGUUUCAUCAUCCAACUGAAGUGAACCAUAUAUUUGAUUAUACGAACGAGGUAAUCCAUAGGUAAUAAUAGUCAGAGGUGGUGAUUAGUAUUAAAAAUUGUUUAAUUAUCAAGCGAUAAUAUGUUAUUUUAUGCUUAUGUUAUAAUUUAUAUUUGUGUUUAUGUAAUAUAUUAUGAAUUAUUAAUUAUGUUUUCAAUAUAUUUAAUUAUGUGUAUUUUUAUGUGUUUAUUAGGAAAAAUAUUAAUUUCACGUACUUCAAGGCUCCAAACAGAUAAACGGAGGUCAAAUUUGGAUUCCGGAGGUCCGAAAACCUUAAGAUCAGUCAAGAUCGGAUUAAAAUUGGGCUUGUAUAAAAAAAGUUGACUUUUCUUGUUAACCGAGCACUGAUUGGAUGAUGAAAUGAGCUUACAAUAGAUAUGAGUGCAUGGGAUAGCUGGCAAUCUUGACCAAAUCUCAACCGUUCAUGAUUCAAUGGCCAUGAUUGUGCCACGUGGCAAUGGUUGGUGAAGCAAGUUGGAGGAUCCGAAUCUUUGUAUUUGGGUCGACCCGAUCCACCCAUUAACCCGCCAAAUCUCAACCGUUCUUUGGGCAAAUCGGACGAGUCAAAUGAUGCCAUGUGUGAUGUUGACUUUUGAAGUUUGACCAGCCAUUGGAUCUUGAUCUAAGGGUUGUGAGGAGCACAUGCAUGAAGCCUAUGAUGGACCGCAAAGCACUAGAUUAUGAAUUUAUUUUUUCUAUAAAUAGAGCCUCAUUUUUAUGUUUUAAUGAUCUCUCUACAACUCUCUUCUUCUCAAAUUCUCUCCAUCUCCUUGUAAUCUUGAUUUUCAGGUGUGUUUUUAAUAUUUUGUAUAAUUAUUAUCAUUAAUAAAAUUAGUUUUAUUUCCAAUUUUAGUUGUUUUUAUUCCUUUUAAUUAUAAGUAAUUCAAUUUUACUACUUUUUAUUUUAAUUAUGCUUAACUAAAUAAUAUUAAUUAGGGGAAGGUGAAACUCUUAGGAAAUAAAUAUGAUUUAAUCAAAUUCUAUUUUUAAUUUUAUAAAUUAAAUUAUUUUCUAUUUAAUUUUAUACAUGUUUUAUAUUUUGAAAAUUUGAUUUAUUGUAGACAAACAAAUGAAUUUGGCACAAUAAAUUCUUAAGAUCUUAAUAUAAGGCAUGGUGAAAUGGUAUUUUGACUUAUUGAAGACAAAUUAAAUUUUGGCACAAUAAAUACUUAAUCCAUCAUAAAAUUAAAGGGAAAAUAAUAAUAAUUUGUAUAAUUAAUAUUUUGGGUAAUAAAUCUAAAACAAAUUGGCAAAAAGAAUUUAGUAAGUUUUAUUUAUUUCUAAGAGUGGAUCCAUAACCCUAACUAGUUCAAUUCCAUAGUUUCAUUUAAAUUAAGUUGUUUAUAUUCAAGUUUUAAUUUCAAUUUUUAGAUAAAAUAAAAUAAACUAAUUAAAUCUUUUCUCUGUGGAUCGACCUCGGACUCACCGAGUUAUAAUACAACAAGACACUCUUAUACUUGGGAGUUAAAAUUUACUUUUAAGUUGUGUCAAGUUUUUGGCGCCGUUGCCGGGGAAAAGUUUUUUUUAUUUGGUUUGUUUUUCCGUUUUUAUUUUUCUCUUAUAUGUAAAAUUUCGUUUACCCCCUUUUCCUUUUCUUAAAUUCUCUUGUGUCCCCAUAUCUUUCAUAUUUCUCGUUUCACCCCAACAAUUCCCGUUUCUAGCCCAAUCUUCUGGUAAUUACACUCGGACCCCAACAUCUUUCAGUCGUUUCACUUUCAUCCCAAAUUGCUAUUCUAAACUUCUAAAAAUUACAGUUUGACUAUAAAAUUAAAAAUAAUUUGUAAUAAAAUCCUUAGACGAAAUUCUCAAAAUAAUCAAGACUUGGACAUACUUUGGACAUACUUUGGACAUAUUUUGGACAUACUUUGGACUUAUUUUGGACCAAACUAACUUUAACUACUAACUCUAAUUACUAACUCUUAACUUUUAUUUUCUGCAUUUAUUUUAUUUCGUAUUUAUUUAUUUUUGCUUUAUUGGUGGGUUUAACCACCAAACUAACUACUAACUCUUAACUUUUAUUUUCAGUUAUUUAAUUUUCAGUAUUUAUUUAAUUUUGCAUUUUUUAUUUUUUUAAUUGGUGGGUUCAACCACCAUUUUUUUUACUUUGCAGUUAUUUAUUUAUUUUUUUUUUACUUUGUUGGUGGGUUCAACCACCAUUUUUUUUCCUCUUUUUCUUUUUUUUUUUGCAUUUAUUUUAUACUUAAUUUAUUGUUAAUUGGUGGGUUCAACCACCAAAAUUGUUAUUUAAUUUUUUUUUGUAUACCUAUAUUAUUUGCUUAUUUAUUUUUUAUUUUAUUUUGUUAUCAAUUUGUGUAAAUAUUAUCUUUAUAACAUAACCCUUGCAUGAGACGUUGGUCUCGAUCUUCAAGUGGCAGGUUAAUUCGUAGAUCUCAAUCUCCACCACCAAUCAUGGAUGAGAAUGAAGGCGAAAACGUUUUGGGCGAACUUAAUCCUCAAAUUGAUCAGGGAGACAACCAAUCUCAACAUGGGCAUGAUCAGAAUCAACCAAGGACUCUGAGAGACUACAUGAAUCCAACCAGAACCGGAGCACCGUCGUGUAUAGUAUUUCCUCCAGAAGCAUCUCGAUUCAACUUUAAACCAGGUAUUAUCCAGCUUUUACCAACAUUUCAUGGUUUAGAAUCUGAGAAUCCAUACUUGCAUCUAAGAGAUUUUGAGGAAGUUUGUAAUACAUACACGGACCAAAAUUGUAGCAUGAACAUAAUUAGAUUAAAGCUUUUUCCUUUUUCAUUAAAAGAUAAAGCUAAAACUUGGCUACAAAACCUUAGAUCUGGAUCAGUAAGAACUUGGAAUAACAUGCAAGAACAGUUUUUGAAAAAAUUCUUUCCACCUCAUAGAACAAAUUCUUUUAAAAGGCAAAUCACUUCUUUCACUCAAAAAAAUGGAGAAACAUUAUACCAAUGUUGGGAUAGGUUUAAAGAGUUGCUUAACAUAUGCCCACAUCAUGGUUUUGAAACUUGGCGAUUGGUCACUUAUUUCUACGAGGGCUUAAUACCCCAAAGUAGACAGGUUGUUGAAAUGAUGUGUAAUGGUGAAUUUAGGGAUAAAAAUCCUGAAGAUGCACUAGAUUACCUUGACCAAUUAGCUGAAAAUGCACAACAUUGGGAUACUGUUGGAACUUUUGAAUUGACAAAUAAGCAACAAUCAUCUCCAUCUAGUGGAGGAAUCCAUAACCUUAGGGAAGAUCAUGAUUUACAAGCAAAAUUUGCAUCCCUAGUUAGAAAAGUUGAAGCUUUGGAGCAUAAAAAGAGUGAUCAAGUAAAAUCUGUUCAAGAAAUUGCAUGUAGCAUAUGUAAUUCAAAUGAUCAUUUCACUCAAGAGUGUCCCACUUUGCCUGCACUUAAAGAAUGUCUAAAUGAUCAAGCUAAUGUCAUUAACACUUUCAAUAAACCAAACCCAUAUUCACAGACUUAUAAUCCUGGUUGGAGAAAUCAUCCAAAUUUCAGUUGGAGGAAUAACAAUAAUGCACAAUCUUCACAAGCACCACCUCCACAAAAUUUUCAAAAUCCUCAGCCUUAUGCACCAUAUGUUCCACCACCCUGGAAAAAUCUGGAAGACACAAUGCAUUCAUUCAUCAGAAAGCAAGAUGUUAUUAACAAUCAAAAUGCACAAACUUUUUCUGAUUUGAAAGAUACUCUUGCUAAACUUGCUUCUGCACUCACCAUUCAAGAAAAAGGAAAAUUUUCAGCCCAGCCACAACCAAAUCCUAAAAUUCAACAAAAUCCACCCACAGACCAAGUCAAGUCAGUUAUAACUCUUCGUAGUGGUAAGGUUGUUGAUAGGCCUAUGCCUGAACCUUAUGAAAAUUAUGAAAAUUCAAAGGGUAGGGAAGGACUAAAUGAACUUACACCUAGUGAAGAAAUAACUAGUGUUCCACCUGAACCACCAUUUCCGCAUGCAUUGAAUAAACCAAAGAAAUCAAACCACUCUUCUGAAAUUUAUGAAAUCUUUAAGCAAGUGAAAGUUAACAUUCCUCUAUUAGAUGCAAUCAAGCAGGUUCCUUCAUAUGCCAAAUUUUUAAAGGACUUGUGCACUGUUAAGAGGAAAUUGAAGGUAAGAAAGAGUGCUUUCAUGGCCGAACAGGUAAGUACAAUUCUGUCUACUAAUAAUAAGUUGAAAUAUAAAGAUCCUGGUUGUCCUACCAUUUCUUGUAUUAUUGGUAACCACAGAAUUGAGCAUGCUUUAUUAGAUCUUGGUGCUAGUGUUAAUUUACUUCCAUAUUCAGUUUAUCUUCAACUUAAUCUUGGUGAGUUAAAAUCAACUUCAACUACACUUUUGCUUGCCGAUAGAUCAGUUAAAGUACCAAAAGGAAUAGUGGAAGAUGUUUUAGUACAAGUUGAUAAAUUCAUUUAUCCUGUGGAUUUUAUUGUCUUGGAAAUUGAACCUGUUGUGAAUAAUUAUAAACCAAUUCCUGUAAUUUUAGGUCGACCAUUUUUAGCAACUGCUAAUGCUUUGAUUAAUUGUAGGAAUGGUUUAAUGAAUUUAUCUUUUGGGAAUAUGACUUUGGAAUUGAAUGUUUUCAACAUGUGCAGGCAACCUAAUGAAGAAAAUGAGAUUGAAGAUGAUACUGAUGAACAAAAGGAAUUAUUUGAAUCUUGUAUCGAGGAAAAUAUUCAAAAAGGGGAUUUUUCUGAACUUUCUAAUGUUUGUUUAGUUAAUUCAAUUGAGUCAAAUAAGCAACUUGAACUUGAUAUUUCUAAUAUAAAUUCGUUGCUUGAUUCUGUGCAGACUUCGCAAAAUUAUGAAGACGAGCCAAAAUUUGAAGAGCUUGGAAGUAUUGAAAAGACAGAACAACAAGAAGCACCUAAAAUGGAAUUGAAACCUUUGCCUGAAGGAUUGAAGUAUGCUUUUCUUGGAGAAGAACAAACUUAUCCUGUUGUGAUUUCUUCUACUUUAACAAGCGACCAAGAAGGUAAGUUACUUACUGUUCUUAAAAAGCAUAAAAAUGCAAUAGGAUGGACUUUAAAUGAUAUUAAAGGCAUUAAUCCCUUAAUCUGCACGCAUAGAAUUAAUUUGGAAGAAAAUGCUAAAACAUGUCAACAACCUCAAAGAAGAUUAAACCCACACAUGAAAGAGGUAGUCAAAACAGAAGUCCUUAAAUUGCUUGAUGUGGGAAUUAUCUACCCUAUUUCCGAUAGUAAGUGGGUAAGUCCUACACAAGUAGUGCCUAAAAAAUCUGGAAUCACUGUUGUUAAAAAUGAAAAAGGUGAAUUAAUUCCAACACGAAUUACAUCUAGUUGGCGCAUGUGCAUUGAUUAUAGAAAAUUAAAUGAAGCCACUAGAAAAGAUCAUUUUCCAUUACCAUUUCUUGACCAAAUCUUAGAAAGAGUAGCAGGACAUCCCUACUACUGUUUUUUAGAUGGAUAUUCAGGUUAUUAUCAAAUUCCUAUAGCACUUGAGGACCAAGAAAAGACCACAUUCACAUGUCCUUUUGGAACAUUUGCAUUUAAAAGAAUGCCAUUCGGGCUUUGUAAUGCUCCUGCAACAUUUCAAAGAUGUAUGUUAAGCAUUUUUUGUGAUAUAGUUGAACAUUGUUUAGAGGUCUUUAUGGAUGAUUUGACUGUGUUUGGGAAUUCUUUUGAUGAUUGCCUUGAUAAUUUGGAGAAAGUUUUAAAAAGAUGUAUUGAAAAAGAACUCGUGUUGAAUUGGGAAAAAUGUCACUACAUGGUUACUUCUGGAAUUGUUUUGGGUCAUGUUGUUUCUAUUAAAGGAAUUGAAGUUGACAAAGCAAAAAUUGAAGUCAUAUCUAAAUUGCCACAACCAAAAACAGUUAGAGAUGUGCGAUCCUUUUUAGGACAUGCAGGAUUUUAUAAGAGGUUUAUAAAAAACUUUAGUGCCAUAUCUAAACCACUUUGUAACCUCUUAUUAAAAGAUGCACCGUUUGAAUGGAAUGAUGAUUGCCAAAAAUCUUUUGAAAAAAUAAUUUGUCUUUUAACAUCUGCACCUAUUAUGCAAUCUCCUGAUUGGUCUUUGCCAUUUGAAUUAAUGUGUGAUGCAAGUGAUUUUGCUAUUGGUGCUGUUUUAGGACAAAGAAUGGAUGGUAAGCCUUUUGUGAUUUAUUAUGCGAGUAAGACUUUGGAUAGUGCUCAAAUGAAUUAUUCUACAACUGAAAAAGAAUUACUUGCUGUGGUAUUUGCAUUAAACAAAUUUCGUUCAUAUUUGCUUGGCUCUAAAUCUGUUGUGUUUACUGACCACGCUGCUGUGAGAUAUUUGAUGAGUAAACAGGAUGCCAAACCGAGACUAAUUCGUUGGAUUUUGUUACUGCAAGAAUUUGACCUUACCAUCAAAGAUAAAAAGGGUGCUGAAAAUGUUGUUGCUGAUCAUCUAUCAAGACUCACAUCCGAAAUCUGCAAUGAUAUAACACCCAUAAAUGAUUCUUUCCCGGAUGAAUUUUUAUUUUCUGUUACUUCAAUGCCAUGGUAUGCUAACAUUGUUAAUUUCCUUAUUACAGGUAAAAUGCCUUUGCAAUGGAAUGCUCAAGAGAAGAAGAAAUUUUUUGUUGAAGUAAAGAAAUUUUAUUGGGAUGACCCUUAUUUGUUCAAAUAUUGCCCAGAUCAAAUUUUUCGGCGAUGUAUUCCUGAUAAUGAGGUAAGUAGUGUCAUUAAUUUUUGUCAUUCUGAAGCAUGUGGUGGUCACUUUUCUUCAAGAAAAACUACUGCUAAAAUUUUACAGUGUGGAUUUUAUUGGCCUACCAUGUUUAAAGACACAUAUGAAUUCUGCAAAAGUUGUGAAAAAUGUCAAAAAUUGGGAUCAAUUACAAAAAGAAACAUGAUGCCCUUAAAUCCCAUACUUGAAAUUGAAAUAUUUGACUGUUGGGGAAUUGAUUUCAUGGGUCCAUUUCCAUCAUCUUUUGGAUUUGUGUAUAUAUUAGUUGCAGUGGAUUAUGUCUCAAAAUGGAUUGAAGCAAUUUCUUGUCGAAAUAAUGAUAGUAAAACUGUGGUUAAAUUUUUAAGAGAAAACAUUUUAAGUCGAUUUGGAAUCCCUCGAGCCAUUAUCAGUGAUGGAGGUAAGCAUUUUUGUAAUAAGUCAUUUGAGUCUUUAAUAAAGAAAUAUGGAAUUACACAUAAAAUUGCUACCCCUUAUCAUCCUCAAACAAAUGGUCAAGUUGAAUUAGCAAAUAAGGAGAUAAAACAAAUUUUGGAAAAAACGGUUAACCCAAACCGAAAAGAUUGGUCUCUUAGACUUAAUGAUGCACUUUGGGCUUACCGUACUUCAUUUAAAACGUCAUUAGGAAUGUCACCCUAUCGGUUAGUUUAUGGUAAACCUUGUCAUUUACCUGUUGAACUUGAACAUAAAUCAUUUUGGGCUAUUAAAGCUUUUAAUUCAAAUUUGGAUGAUGCUGGUAAUGUGCGAAAAUUGCAAUUGAAUGAACUUGAGGAAUUAAGGAAUGAUGCAUAUGAAAAUUCAAGAAUUAUUAAGGCAAGAACAAAAGCAUUUCAUGAUAAAAGAAUUUUCGAAAAACAUUUGAAAUUGGUCAAAAAGUGUUGCUUUAUAAUUCUCGUCUUCAUUUAUUUCCAGGGAAGUUAAAGUCAAAAUGGAGUGGCCCAUUUGUUGUAAAAAAUGUAUAUUCACAUGGGGCCAUAGAAAUUGAGAAUCCAAAUAACGGUGUCACAUUUAAAGUUAAUGGUCAAAGAUUAAAACCAUAUCUGGAACAUCACCCACGUGACGAGGACACCGAAAUUAAUUUGGAUGACCCACCAGUUCUUGAUUAAGUCUUUAAUGAUUUUUUUUUGUUUUACUAUUAUUUUACCGUUUCAUUGUUUGAUUUUUUUUCUUUAGAUUGAUGCACUGUACAUAGUUUUUUUAACAUUGUUUUUCUUGUGUAAGCGUGUUUGUUUGACAGUUGUACAUUCUCUCAUCAAUUUUCAUUUUACAUCAUGAGCACCUCAAUGAGAAAAUACCUGUUCGCACAUCUUAAAAGAUUUCGACGUAUAAAAUUUCACUUAAGAGGCCUGAUACAAAGCUGUAAAUCACAUCCACUUUGGGAUCUGCAACCACUAGAAUUCGUGUCCUAUGUUGAGGAUCUAGAGGGACAACUCAGAACAGUAGAGAGUGGCAUAUAUGAAUUCCAAAUGGAGCUUGAGGUUAACUCAAUGAGAGGACGAAUGUAAGUUCAUUUUCCUUUUAUAUUGUGUGCUUCUUUUUGCUCGCUUUCACGCUUGAUUUGAUUUUGCAGAUUUGAUUUUGGUGUGUUUUGAUUUAUUUUCCCGUAUAAAUGGCGGAUAACGGUACUCCGUGACUUCUUAAGUCGGUAUCUUCAGUUUCCCACAAUAACUGAAACCCCAAAAUCAAACAUGGAAGAAAUACAACAUAAACUCCAUAAGCAUUUUCCCUCUCUCCCUCAGAAUGCCCUCAGGAAAAUUUACAAAGCUCGUUGUGAACGACUGCGUUUGUUAAUGAUCAAUGGCAUUCCUUCUGACAUUCGUUGGUUAAUUGAAGCAAAGGUCCGAUUAGCAGGUGAGUUUUCUGGUCAAUUUGUUUCUUACAUGCCUGGUUUUGGUAAAAGUACGUUUGCUAAGAAAAGGAGAGCUAAACGACUUGGCUCAAAAUGUCAUAACUGUGUAAGACUUGGUUGCAAACGACCGGAUUGUAAAUCUUUAGUAAUGGUUUCUGAUACUCGUGAAGAUAAAAUUAAAUUCGUUAAAGAUGGCAUGAGUAAAGAAUCGUUGGAUGAUAUCUUACGAUCUCUUGAAACGCAUCGAAGCGGAUUUGUGCAACGUGAGAUUUAUAAUUUGUGGAUACUAUUCCAAAAACAAAGUGCACAGUUUAGUCUUGGGAAUCUGACUCAAAAAGACCCUGUUUGCCAGUUUAUAAGAAAACUGGAUAGGAAGCCGAUCCUCGACCCAUAGAGGGCGUUCAAGCCGUUACUGGACGUAAAACCAGAGGAAGAUGUGAGCCACAAUCACAACUACCAGUAAAUAUCCUUUCACUUUACUGUUAUUUUACUUUACUGUUACUUUAUCAUUUGCAUUAUUGCAUUUAGCGAUGUGAUUUUGUAUUUAAUAAUUAUUUGGUUUCUUUUACUGUUUGCUUUUUCUAAUCAUUACUUUCUUUUUACUGUUUGUUUUUGAAUUAUUGAGCCACGAGCUUUACUCAUCAUUUGACAAAUAUGCCAACCCAUUUACAGCUGUUUCUCAUUAUUUAUUUCACCAAGAUCUUUAAAUAUGAGCUCGUUUUUCAAACACUCACAACUUGUUUUUGAAAAAUUAGUCCAAUGGCAUCAUCUUCGAGUAAACAAUUCAAAAACAUUUGUGUGCUUUCUGGGUUUCACUAUGGAAAGUACAAAGAGUUCGUUCAGGCAGCUGUAGAUCUUGAUCGUGUCAUAGCAGAGAGGAAACUGCAUCUUGUAUAUGGAGGAGGUGAACGAGGGUUAUCAAGACUUGUCUCAGAAGCUGUUUUUACCAGAGGAAGUCAAGUACUCGGCAUUAUCCCAAAACCCAUGAAACCGCUAGUGUGCUUGUCUGGCCCACCAAUUGGAGAAGAAUUAGUGGUAUCAAGUAUGCAAGAGAGAAUAUCUGAAAUGAUGAAUCAUGCUGAUGCUUUUAUUUUCUUGCCAGGAGAUCUUGCAACUUUUGAGGCACUAAUUACAUUUGCAUCUUGGGCCCACUUGAACAUUCAUCAAAAACCCAUCGGUUUGUUAAAUGUUAAUAAUUUUUAUGACGGCUUGCUAACUUUUAUUAACCAUGAAAUAAAGAAUCAUUUUGUUCCAUAUUCUGUAAAAAAACUCUUUAUCUGUGCUUCUACUGCUAAUGAGUUACUUGAUCUUUUACAAGGUUAUACACCAGAGCCUGAUCCAAAGACUUUUGCACUGAAUUGGUCGACUGAUGAUGGUAGCGGUAACAGUAGCAGUGAUAAGAAGUGCAAUUUAGAUUUAACUCUCCGUCUGUAAAUAUUUUCUGUUGUAGUGUUUAUGUGAUGUCUUCUAAACUCUUUCUCUUUCUUUUUAAAACAUUGAGGACAAUGUCUUUUUUAGGUUGGGGGGAGGGAAUAGUUGAUAAUUGUGGAAUGUCUUAGUCCUGAUAAUGUCUUUACAAAAAAAAAAAAACAAAAAACAAAAAAUAUUUUUUUUCUGUAAAGACUAACUUAGGACAAAUUUGAGUCGAAGAUGGCAGGAUAUAGAGAAUGUAGUCUCUCUAGAAACGCAUCUUCUUAAUCUUAAGGGUGUUGUUAAAAAAAAAAAAUUUUGACUUUUUCUUCAUCUUUGUUAUCUGCUUUUAAGCUUCUGCAUCAAGUUCAGGUGAGAUCUCCUCUUCUUCUUCUUUUAUUAUUCUCUUUUAUUUUUAUUUAUUUUUUUCUUUUUGCAUAUCUGUAAAAUUAUAAAAUGUUAAGAUAAUGUUUAGAUUAGAUUGUGGGGUGGGGAUAAUUGACGUAUGUUUUAAAUAUGUGUGUUGUUUUUCUCUUUUCUCUUUUCUUUUCUUUGUUAAAAAACAAAAAAAAAACAAAAAAAAAAUUAUUUUUUGUCUAGGAUGGCCGUGUAAAGAGUCACGACUUUUGAGACGCAUCCUAAUAGUCUUGUUGUAUUAUAUUUUGAUUUUGAGAUUCAUAGUAAAUUAUUUUUGUUCCCUUUUCUUUGAAUUACUCGAAUUUGUGAACUCUCCACUUAGUUAUUAAGUUAUUUAAUUGUUUACUCAUUUAACAUGUAUUAUUGAAUCCUUCUUCACACACACACUAUGACACAUACUAGUGGGUUGUAAGUUAAAAUUUUACAGCAUUUAGUUCUUUUGAUUUAUUAGGAAUAGUAUCUAAGGUAGUAGAAAGUGUAUAUUUCCAAAAAAACAAAAAACAAAAAAAAAACAAAAAAAAAGUAGAAAAAAAAAUUAUUUUUAAUUUUUCUAUAUCUAGAACCCGAGUAAUUACGUCCGUAGGGGUGUUUCAACACCUAGUGCCCUAAGGUCAACUGGUCUGGGAGUCACUGGCCUAAAGCUCGCUACAUGGGUAAUAGAUAUAUUGUUUGUUUAUUAGAAACCCGAGUAAUUAAGUCCGUAGGGGUGCUUCAACACCUAGUGCCCUAAGGUCAACUGGUCUGGGAGUUACUGACCUAAAGCUCGCUACACGGGUUAGAAAUGUAAUAUAUAAAAAAAAAAAUAUGUGUGAAUAAUCUAUUGCCUUAAGAUAUAAUUUCUAAUGAAUUUUAGAACGAAAAUGUUGUUUUUCUUUUAAUGAAGCCCCAUAAGUAUUGUGUUAAUUACUUGAGCACAAAAGAAGGUUUGAUGAUAUUCUGGAUAAUGAGUGAACAUCAAUGUGGUAAAGGAAUUAGGGAGAGUUCAUUUAUUUGGUAAUUUAGAGGAUAGAUGAACAACUAUUAACUUGCAUGUGAAUUUUAUAAAUCUUAAUAUAACGCUUUAAUUACUAGAGGGCUAGCAAUAAGCUGGUUGGAGGGUGUGAUUAGUAUUAAAAAUUGUUUAAUUAUCAAGCGAUAAUAUGUUAUUUUAUGCUUAUGUUAUAAUUUAUAUUUGUGUUUAUGUAAUAUAUUAUGAAUUAUUAAUUAUGUUUUCAAUAUAUUUAAUUAUGUGUAUUUUUAUGUGUUUAUUAGGAAAAAUAUUAAUUUCACGUACUUCAAGGCUCCAAACAGAUAAACGGAGGUCAAAUUUGGAUUCCGGAGGUCCGAAAACCUUAAGAUCAGUCAAGAUCGGAUUAAAAUUGGGCUUGUAUAAAAAAAGUUGACUUUUCUUGUUAACCGAGCACUGAUUGGAUGAUGAAAUGAGCUUACAAUAGAUAUGAGUGCAUGGGAUAGCUGGCAAUCUUGACCAAAUCUCAACCGUUCAUGAUUCAAUGGCCAUGAUUGUGCCACGUGGCAAUGGUUGGUGAAGCAAGUUGGAGGAUCCGAAUCUUUGUAUUUGGGUCGACCCGAUCCACCCAUUAACCCGCCAAAUCUCAACCGUUCUUUGGGCAAAUCGGACGAGUCAAAUGAUGCCAUGUGUGAUGUUGACUUUUGAAGUUUGACCAGCCAUUGGAUCUUGAUCUAAGGGUUGUGAGGAGCACAUGCAUGAAGCCUAUGAUGGACCGCAAAGCACUAGAUUAUGAAUUUAUUUUUUCUAUAAAUAGAGCCUCAUUUUUAUGUUUUAAUGAUCUCUCUACAACUCUCUUCUUCUCAAAUUCUCUCCAUCUCCUUGUAAUCUUGAUUUUCAGGUGUGUUUUUAAUAUUUUGUAUAAUUAUUAUCAUUAAUAAAAUUAGUUUUAUUUCCAAUUUUAGUUGUUUUUAUUCCUUUUAAUUAUAAGUAAUUCAAUUUUACUACUUUUUAUUUUAAUUAUGCUUAACUAAAUAAUAUUAAUUAGGGGAAGGUGAAACUCUUAGGAAAUAAAUAUGAUUUAAUCAAAUUCUAUUUUUAAUUUUAUAAAUUAAAUUAUUUUCUAUUUAAUUUUAUACAUGUUUUAUAUUUUGAAAAUUUGAUUUAUUGUAGACAAACAAAUGAAUUUGGCACAAUAAAUUCUUAAGAUCUUAAUAUAAGGCAUGGUGAAAUGGUAUUUUGACUUAUUGAAGACAAAUUAAAUUUUGGCACAAUAAAUACUUAAUCCAUCAUAAAAUUAAAGGGAAAAUAAUAAUAAUUUGUAUAAUUAAUAUUUUGGGUAAUAAAUCUAAAACAAAUUGGCAAAAAGAAUUUAGUAAGUUUUAUUUAUUUCUAAGAGUGGAUCCAUAACCCUAACUAGUUCAAUUCCAUAGUUUCAUUUAAAUUAAGUUGUUUAUAUUCAAGUUUUAAUUUCAAUUUUUAGAUAAAAUAAAAUAAACUAAUUAAAUCUUUUCUCUGUGGAUCGACCUCGGACUCACCGAGUUAUAAUACAACAAAACACUCUUAUACUUGGGAGUUAAAAUUUACUUUUAAGUUGUGUCAGGUGGCAUAGCCGUGAUGGUGAAAUUUUUGUUAUAAAAAAUUUGGGAUGAAGUUUAGUAGACCAAAAAUUAAUUUUCGAGUUGGACUAUUAGCAUUUUUUUUUUAAUUUCAUUAAAUUCUUAUUUUAUUAUAAUUACAUAUAAGGAUAAAUAUAAAUAAAAUUGAUACUACUUAUAUUUUUAGUCUCUCACUUAAAUUUAUUUUAUUUGUACAAUAUAUUAUAUUUUUUUCUCUCUUCUCAAUCUAUAUAAUUGAUUCUUGCACAAACUUAAAAUAUUGAUCUUUUUUUUAUAUUAAUCAUUUUUUAUUUUUAGGAAGUUUUUUUUUUUAUUGAGAAAGAAAGCUUGAAUAGAAUAAUAGAGAUAUCAAGAUUUAAAUAAAAUAAUACUGUAAAAAAAAAUUAACUGUGAGAAAGUUACACAAAAUAAAAGUUUUACAAAUGAAAAGAGUCUUUUUUAGGGGGAAAAAAAAGGGAAAAGUAUUUUUGACAUUACGUGGAAGAUUUUGUAGAGGUGGCCGCAGAUCAACUCUUAAUUCUCUCUCGAAAUGAAUUUCUCUUGAACAACAUUAAAGUGAGAAAUUGGCAACUAUUAAUUAAGAAUAUACAAAUUAUAAAUGAGUUAAUCUCAAUAUCAUCACUAUUUAAACACGUGCCUUCUUUCCCAAAAACUAUGAGAUAGAGACAGAUUGAUUGGUCAAGUUAUGGAUGGCUCAGGGUUAUCUUAAGCUGGAGGGAAGGGAAGAUAUGGAGUUAAGAGGAGAAAAGUACUUUAGAAACUUAGCCUCAUGCUCUUUAUUCCCAGAUUUUCAAAGAAAUGAGUUUGAUGGUAAAAUAAUAAGGUGCCAGAUGCACUCCAUAGUGCAUGAUUUUGCUCAGUGUCUUACAGAAAGUGAUAGUUUGAAUGCAGAGGUCAAGGAUUCUGAUUACAAGUGUCACUUAAGAGUCUUCUCAUGAAAAAAUUCAGAAUUUAAUGAUAAUGUUUGAAAGUGAUGACCUCUUUCCUAUUUUAGUUUACACUCAAAAGAAACCGCGGAGCCUUGUGGUUGAGCGUGAAGGGUAUUUCAUCAAGGGCAUAGUUCUGUCUGAGGUGUUUGAUCAGUUGACGUGUCUGAGGACACUGGAUUUGAGUAACCAUGAUAGUGUUUGGUGUAAAGUGAUUGAAGUGGUUCCCAGAGGAAUAAAAGGAUUAAUACAUUUAAGGUACCUUAACUAGUCUAACAACAAAAAGAUAAAAGAUUGCCUGAGAUGUUGUGCAAGUUGUAUAAUUUACAAACCUUGGAGCUCAGUUGGCGUAGCAGUCUCAGAAAUUUGCCUCAAGGGAUGGGGAAGUUGAUCAAGCUGAGGCAUGGAGAAAAUGUUGGGACUCCACUUAGCUACAUGCCAAAGGGAAUUGAAAGAUGCAGUUAGAUUUUGGACACUAAGUGAAUUCAUUGUCGGUGGUGGAACUGAUGAUAAAAGCUAGUAAACUUGAAUGUCUAAAAAGCCUGAUCCAUCUUCUAGGGAUCUCUUACGAUAAAAAAAUGCUGGGAAAUGUGAAUUAGGAUGAGAUUUGCAAAGCAGAACUUUCGGAGAUGGAAAAUCUCCUUGCUGUGUGUAUAAGUUUCGAUAAUAAUGAUAAAAAGGGAGGAAGAAUAAGGAUAAUGAAGACCGUCUUGAGGGCUUACAGUUGCCUCAAAAUCUUGAGACCUUAAACAUUUUUUACCAUAGAGGUAACAGGAUUUCUCGCCUGAGAAUAAUGUUGUUAUCUAAGUUGCAGUCUAUGGCAUUAGAUUGGUGCAUGAACUUAGUGCAAUUGCCUCCUUUGGGAGAAUUGGCAGCCCUUGAGUCACUGAUUACAAGAAGGAUGAAGAACUUGUAAAAGGUGGGGAAUGAAUUUUUGGGAACAGAUCAAAGUCGUGGGAAACCAUUUGUUGCUUUUUCUAAAUUGAAUUGACUUGUUUUUCAGAAAAUGAAAGUAUGGAAAGAGUCGAAAUAUAAAUCGAUGAAGAGGGCAUCAUUAUGUAAUCAUGCCAAGUCUUCAUUCAUUAACAAUUGGAUUCUGCCCCAAAUUAGAGACACUUCCGGAUGACCACUGUCCUUGAACACUAUAUUUGAAGAUCAUUUCAUGUCCUGUGUUGGAAAAUUGUUAUAAAAAGGGAACAGCAGAGAGGCAAAAGAACUCUCGUAUCAAGAUUUCUUAUGCAGUUGAACUGCAACAGACACACAAGUAACACUUCUCCUUGUUUUUACAUAGUUUGAUUUUUAGAAUUCGUUUUUGGUUUGUCAUGAUCCUGUAAUCUUUUGUCGUAUAUAAAAUAGAUAUGCAACCACCUGCAUUUGUAAAAGAGAUGUUAAUUUAAGGUAUUGUUCUCUUCACUUAGAAAUUAUCGAUGACAUCACUGGAUAAUUUGAUCUUAUUGGUUUUGUUUUCCAGGAGAAUGGUGUGAGAAGCAUACUGGAGAGGAAUCAAAAGUUAUAUCUCGUGCCACAUUUCAGAUAUCAAAUAUUUGGUAAGUUAAUCUCUUCAACUCACACAUAUCACAUUCCUGGUCUUGGUUUUCAGAAUGUAGAACUGGCUACUAGGCACAGCAACUAAUCAAUAGAAUUGUAAAAUUAUAUCUCAGUGCAGAGCAAUUACUUCAAAGUCUCCAAAGAUGAUGGGGGCUGAGACAGAACCUUCCCCUUUGAAACAGAAAGAAAACGUUAUCUUAAAGCUUUUGCUUAUAGUUAUGUUACAGUUUAAACUCCUUUACUACUUCAUAAUCAUUAUUCUUCAAUCUUGAGGUGUUUCUCAGAGUGUAAUACAACUUUCAAAAAAUGGAGAUUGCAUUGAAGUCAGAAAGGGUGCGAAAGGCCGUCGAGGGAAGAAAGUUGAUAGGACGCUUUGGAUGGGCUAUUGCUAAACCUCGAAUAGUAUGAUAUUGACUGCUUUAAACAAAGGUCAGGUUAUUUUUUUUCUUCUUCAGUUCUCGUCAAGAGGCAUCAUACUAUUUAAGAAAUGAAUUUGUAUAUGUAGUCUAGCAUUGCUUUUAAAGCAGGCAAUGCAGGACAUUGACUUCCAAUCCUUAUCAUCCUUGAUAUUUCCAAAUCUUGAAUCAUGUAUUGAAGCUCUGCAAGGAAAAGGAAUUGGAUCAUUCCAAGUUACCAGUUGCAGGAUGAUGGCAGAUCCGAUUACAAGAUAUCAGGGAAUAGAGGCUGGAUUGCCUAAUUCUAAAUGAUAUUAAUGAAUCAUGACCCUUUGUUCUGUCACUUGGUUUCCGGAACUAGCCACUAGAAAUAUUUUCGUUGCUCUUUUUAUGUCUGUCUUUCACAGCGAAGGUAGAAGAUUGAAGCACAAGAGGGUGAUUGAUAUGCUGUUAACUUUUGUCUUUGUACAAUAUACCAAAACAAUUUAUUUUAAUGUAGCAACUGGUAAGUCCUUUUAUUUUCAUGUUAUUCAGCAACGGAUGCUUUUUGUUCCUCUGUGGCCUCUUUUGCAUUCGAUACAAUAUACAUAAGUUCGACGAAGGGUUCCACUAAACUUCAUUUUUCUGUGAUGCUCACAUAAUUUUGGAUAUGGGAGCAGGAGUUGAAGCCACCAAUUCAGACUGAAACGUUGAGCCAAAUUUUACCAAAAUUUCACUUUGUUUGAUGCAUUUGCAUAUUAGGCACUUUAGGUCCGUGGCCUUUUGCUAGCUUGUCCUAGAUGGUGCAAGGAAACAGAGUCACAAAAUCAAUCGACAAAAGAAUGUUAUAAACCAUAAAAAUACUUCAAAUUUAAUUAGUUUAAAUGAUUGCUCAUGGUUUAAUUCAUCCAUACAUUUAGACAUUUCUGCAACAGAAAAUAAUAUUACAGCAUCGAAUGGAUUCUCUCAUGCUCAGUUCUCACAUGGUUCCUGGUAAUAUGUUUCACACUAGGACAGCCAGUAAGGGCCAUGGUCAACUCAAACUCAUCCUUCAGCAUUUCAAUGACGCGUCUCACCCCAUAUUCCCCUUUUGCAGCAAGGCCGUAGACUACAGGCCUUCCAAUCUGGAGUAACAUAUGACAUACAUUUGUUUAGUAAUCAAAUAAGGAGCCGAACAAAAGUAGUACUGCAGCUGAAAUAAAUUUCUAUGUUACUUUUGUGUCCCUGGAAUCAACUGUUAACAAAAGAGAAAAGAAAGGUGGCUCCAGAGUCUCACCACUGAAAUUCAAAAACUUAAGGGUGAAGUUGUGAAAAGCUUACAAGUACAGCUUGUGCACCGAGGGCCAAUGCCUUGAAAACAUCUGUUCCUCGCCGCACUCCUCCAUCCAUAAGAAUUGGAACUCUUCCUUUAACGGCAUGAACCACCUGCAAGCCCAGGGUUCACAAGUAUAAAAUGUAUUGGUUACGAUUUCCUUGGUAAAAUCUAUUGUGUAACCCAAAGUUGUCAGUGGACACAUAUCUUAUUCCAAAAUGCUGGUCAUUUCUACAUCGAGCUAGUUAGAUCGAAAAAUGUAUUGUUACAAGAUCUCCAUCAUUAAUACAUGAAACGGCAAGUUCCAUUGUCUACAUGUCAGAAAACUAGCAAAAACUACAUGCAUUAGCAUUGUUAUGAUCACCCAAUAGAUUUGCGUCUCCUGUUUCCUAAUUCAUAUGCCUUAAAUUAAAACUCAGAAUAUUAAUUAGGAGAAUUAUGUCAUCCUUAAUAAUAUGAUAUUUCUCAACCUUUCAAGUUAAAUACAAUGGCAGCAGCAAUGUUGUCAGUUUGGAUUCCCUUUUACAGUCUUAAAAAAAUUUUAGAAUGCAUUCUACUAAUCAACAUUAAUCAAAAUAAACUGACACAUAUUUGUAAUCAAUUCAAUACUCACAAUUAUUUACGUACUUGUAAAAGUGAAGUAAGUUUAGAUCUAUAUACAAAUCUAGAUCAUAUUGUCUGCAGUUUAGAAUGCUAAAAGUGGUGUGAAAUUUAUAGUCACCUCUUCCAGAGCAGAAAUAGUGGCAGGACUAUAAUCUAACUGUCGAGCUCCGUGAUUGGAGACAAUAAUCCCAGCAACACCUACUUCCACAGCUUUUAUUGCUGAAAAUUUUAGAAACCAAGCAAUUAACAAAUCUUCAAUUAGGAACUCACAAAAAAAAAUGAAAAUAUUUCUGAUGAAAUUCAUAAAAGAGAUAGAUAGUGACGUGAGGAGAGAAUAUUUAACAAGAAUAUUUUCAUUUGGAUGAUUGGCAUCUCCAAUUCUACAAAGUUUAAUUCUAAGUCUCUAAUCCCACUACCGAAUCACUGCAUAAAUGAACCUCUGGCUUAGAGACUCACAGUGUAUAAAUGGAAAAGAAUCCUCUUUUAGUCUAAGGCUAAAUGGAAAACAAAACAAAGCAAUACUCAUAUCAUCAGAUGGAGCUUUGAUCUUACCAUCUUCACGAGUAAGUAUCCCCUUGAUCAAAAUUGGUAACUUUGUAAUAGAUCUUAGCCAUUCUAAAUCCUGCAGAAGCAUAUGAUAUUCUUCAGACUCAAAACUUUACAGAGAGUAUUGAAAUCAAUAGCCAACUCAAAACUUUGCAGAAGCAUUUGUUCUAAGUAGCUGAAUAAUACACACUUAUUUUUUCUUGAUAUAUUUACAGCCUGGACAGAUUUUUUCUUGAUAUACAAAAGGUGAAGACUUCACUGAUCUCUACCUUCCAACUUAAAGAAGCAUCCAUGGUCUCCUUGGCAUAAGCUUCUAAAUUCGAACCUGUAUCCUGCAAAAAGUGUAAUCCAUUAAGUUAAAGUAAAGGAUUAUAGAUAUAGUCUAUGAGUUUAAACAAGCAGUAAAAGUAAAUGCCGGCUGAGAACCAGAAAUAUCAAAAAAUAAAUAAGUGAAACUGUAACACUCACAGAGCUGACUUUGGUUGAUAAGAGGCCUUCCAAAUUCUUCAACUGCGGUGUAAUCAUUCUGCAGAUGUUGUUGAGUGAGAUUCAAAAGACAAUGUUUACUGUACCCAAAUAAAAGGUAAAGGGCACUAUAUAUUUCUUUUGAUGUCACAAUACAAACAUUUGUGUCAUAUCACUAUCCUAAAAGGUUUUUUUAACCAAAGUUUCAAUUCAAUUAUAUGUGGUAGUACUUGGAAUAUAUAGAACCAAAGAUAAAAAAGAUGAUAAUUCACUUGUUCUUUAUAUCUGCCUCCCUUCUACCAAGUCUUGGAGUAUCAGCAGUUAGGACAAGAGCCUUAAAACCAUUCCUUUCAGCUCUCUGCACUAGAGUAGCUGCUAUAUCUCGUUUCUUGAAUACCUAUUCACAAAAAGGACGCCAUAGUGUGGUUCAAACCCUUUAAGUAACAUUAUAAGAAAGAAGAAAAUAGUUGUUGCUCAAAAAAAUGAGCAGUUUCCUAAUAAGAAUAGGAGGGGAAAAUAAAAAAUAAAAAAGGAAAAAGAAAAAAGAAAGAGCCCAAGACAAGCCAACUACAUAUAAUUGAUAGAAGCGAACAGCAUUGCAGCUGGCCGCAACCUCCUCUAUGGAGCAGCUAGAUGUGAAGGAUAAAACCAUUAUGGUGUUACAUGAAGCUGCUGCUCUGGCUGUGGCUACCUCUCCUGGAAUAUAUACAAACACUUAAUGUUAGAAUUUGUACAAAAUCUUCAUGAUGUACAUCUUGAAGAAGGAAUAAGACCUUCAGGGUUUGCAAGCUUAUGCAAAGCCGUUGGAGCAAUGAUAAUGGGAGCCGAGAUUUUGUAAUCAAGUAUAGUAGUCGAUAAAUCUAUUCUGCUGACAUCGACAAGAAUUCUUGGCCGAAACCUGAGAGAUAUAAUAAAAAUCCAUUUGAAAGUUCUGAAUCUAGUUCUAAGAUACUCAUUGAAACUCAUUUGUCUUACGUAAUUCUAUGAAAGGCUUCCACAUUCUCUUUUAGGGUAUGUUCAUCUUCUGCUCCACCAGCGUAGAAAUCAUAAUACAUUUUUGGAAGGGCCAGCCUUGCCAAUUCUUGGAACUCAUUCAAAUUAACAGGUUCAGCUGCCAUUUGAAACCUGCAAACGUGGACAUUAAUCAACUUUUCAAGUAAAUCAAUCCCAGAUGCUACAUACUGCAUGCAUAAAUCAGAAUAAUUCAUUUCAAGAAACUUAAAGCAGCAUUUGGAUAUAGCAAGAAAAUCCUGUAAUAGGUGACACUUCUCUUCGGAAGUGAACAAAUCAUAUGCCAACAUUGCAUAGCCCCCCCCCCCCCCAAAAAAAAAACAAAAAAAGAAAAAGAAAAACGGUUCUCAGGAUCAUUCUAUAACACACAACACUUGUUUUAAAUUAUAACGGAAAUAUUGUUUUCUUUCUGUAAAUUUUCAGUGUACGGUGUUCUCGUCAUACCGUCAAGAAAUAUACCGUAUACAAUAAAGUAACAUUUAAGCGCUUUCUUAUCUGUCAAUGAUCCAUUAUACAUGUAAUUUCUAAGAUACAUACAGACAUACAUACACACUAGCACAUGAUAACAGCUAAAUAAUGCUUCACAUCUAUCAAAAUCAGUAAGAUCACCAUGAUCCAAUAUAGCAUUUCACGUACUUAAGCUCACAGGCAAGUUCAUCAUGAUCAAAACAUGCUUACGAAUCACGACAUCAGAAAAAAAAACUUCCUGAAAGAGAGAGAAUAAAGAUACCGAUUCGAAUAACUAUUAAUCAAACUUAAACAAUAGAAUUUUGUAAAGAAAUGAACCCGAAUGACUAAAAAUUUCAACUGAUGAAGGUCGAUCGUGAAGCAGAUUACAACAGUGAGUCGGGGGCAGAGUCAAAGUCAAGAAGCAUAUAAAGGAUUAGUAUUACUUAUUUGUCAUUUGACGUGUUUCCUACAAUUAUAGUCUUGUCAACUUCUAUCAUUUUUCAGAAUUUUGUUGUUUUCUUGGGCUUGCACGGUGGAUACAGGCUCCGUAUAUUCCUUACGUUUUUAUUAUUUUUACUUCCUCUUCUUGGAUUGUACCAUCACUUGCCUUCUCUCUAUAUAUAUAUAAGGACAAAAAUAAAAUGAAGUGAGAAUCAAGAUUAAUUUUAGUUACCAUAGAUAAAGCGUUUGAUUUUAAAUAUUUUUAUUUUACAAAAUUUAGAAAUUUAACAAAAAAUCUUUAUAUCCAUUCUUUUGUUGAAACAGGCAGUCAUGUUCACACGAAAACUGACUGCCAUUGGGCUUACUGUCUAGAGUCCAGACAGUAAGAACUGGGCCUAUUGUAGGAUGGCCCAAAUAGAACAAAACGCAUACAAUGAGCAAAAAUCAAAGCAUUCAACAUUGUAACAUCUAUAUGUUUUUGCAUAUUCAGUUUCCACGCCUUUCAGACUGUCUAGGCAGCCCGUGAUGCCACCUGUACUCGCGUCUUUGAUCACCAUUGUCUCUCUGUUCAUGCAAGAAUUUGCAGUUGUCUCCAAAAUAGCAUCUUCCCUUAGGAUAAUAUGGGCGGAGCUGUUGUUUCAUGCAGCUUUGUUCCUGAGGUGGACAUGUUGGAGGAUGAUGGUUAAUGCUUUUCAAUCGCUGUCUAUUGAUUGGAGCCUCCCUAAUGCUGCUGAGCUUAACAAUAGGAUCUUGAGGAACCUGUGUCUGGCAAUUAUUCUGCAUUACUGCCAAUUCCUGCUCUACCAAUUGUGAAAGCAGCUUUGCUGCUUUUUUGGAAUCAGCAGAAAGCUGAGGUUGAGCUGCCACCUUCCUAUGAUCGACUGAUAAGCUUGGUUUUUGAGGUUGAACUGAUAACUGCUGAGGUCCAUUCUUCAUUUGAUUAGAGUCCAUAUUUAAGGCUAGCUGUUGUUGAGACAGAAUCUCCACUUUUUCUGUUACAGUUAAAUUCAUUUGAGACUGGCAACUUUUUGGAACCUGAUUUAUGGACAUCCUGAAGAACAAACAACGUAAGCAUGUAAAUCUUAAAAUAACAUGAUUUAUGGACAUCUUAAAAUAACAUGGUUGAGUUUCUUCAUUUUUAUGUGAAAUUAUACCUAUUUGCUUUCAGCAAUUUCCUCUUUUCCUUUCCAUGGAUCCGUAUUUCUCUAUUAGACCUUGCAAUAAAACCCCUUGAGUGCUUCUCCAUCAAAACCUUGUGUCUCUCCCCUUCGUCUUCCCAUCUCUGACAGCAACAAUAUGGGCAAAGCUGGGUUAAUAUUUAAGGAUCCACAGAUAAUAGGAAGAAGAAACUUCAGCUCUGUGCAAACCUGUCUCAAGGUCUUCAGACGAUAAAGGUUUCGACCUUUAAUUAGGAGAGGACGAAGUGGAGGGAGUGGCUUCUCCCCUUUGCUCCAAAGUACCUCUAUCUGAAAGAUUAGCCAAAAACAGCACUUUAAUCACAAUAAUUAUUUUGACGGAAUUUAAAAUACAGCAUCUGCCUGUUCAAAAUUUACUCCUAGAAAAUUUAUCUCAAUUGUAGGUGAACCAACUAGAGAAAUUCCAUCCAUCAAAUUUGCUUGAAAUGAUCAUACCGCAAAAUCAAGAAAUAUCAUUACCCUAAUGCAUAAACCCAGAUAACUGAACAGAUUUAAGACAUGACAGGGCAAGAAUAGUCAUAGAUUUUCUAUGAUUAAUGGCUUUCCAAUAAACUCCCAAAGUCCAAAUUAUAUAGGGCUUAUGACUCACUGUAAAUGUAUGUUGUUGCUUGGCUGCUCCAUAGCUUUCUUUCAUAAUGCGGCCAGCAACAAUCCUUUUGCCACAUGGGGGACCACUUGCACUACAAGCUGCUAUGUUAAACCUAAUUAAUGAUGUAGAAAUAAGGUAAGAACAAAACACUCAACGGUUGCAAAACAACUUUGAGAAAAGAGCACAGUGAUACUAGCAAAUCUAAAGUAUUUGCUGUCAUUGUUACAUUUGUAAAUCAAAUAAUGUAUUGACAGAAUUAGUAUUCUUUGGCAGAUAUUGGAGGUUAAAUGCCAGUUUCAUUGAACUUGUAUUUUCGGCACAUAAACAUAGAGUCAUUGACCACUAGCUUACGUUUUGUAAACAUUCUGUUCAAACAUAACAACGUCGCCUGUGCAAGCAUCACCUGCAUUUAAUCGGUAAGUAUUAGGGUAAUGAGUACAAACACAAAAAUAAAAGUAGGGUUACUAGAACUACACUAUACUAGUAUCAGGGGGGAAGGCUGGAAGAGGUGUGUGUAUUCUAUUCUAAUGCAUUAUAAGUAAAUCAACCAACAAGUGUUACAAUGAACUGACAUUUUUUUCAGACCUGUAAAUCUAGAAAAUUAAUGAAUCAAAUUUGUACCUUUACAGUCCAGUACAAAGCUAAAGAUUGGCUACCUUCUCUCUCCACCACCAUUUGAGAUUCUGAAAAGUAUCAAAAGAUUAAAAAAAGGAAAUCAAAGUGUUAUAGGUCGUAAGUGAAAUUAUUAGUUCACAAAAAAAGUUGAAAUUACUCUAGAUGCUCCUUUAUACGCUGAAUAAGUGUGGGUUUAUUGCCCGUCAAUCUCAAUCCAUUGUUCCUCAAAUAAACUUUACAUUGCUCCACUUUCAAUUUCUCUUGCUGCCCGGCUGCCACCAAAAUUUGAAAGCAGCCAAAAACACUAAAAACCCAGUUAAGUGAUCAUUAAAGUUUGCAGAUUUAUAAUGCAUGAACAAUGGAAUCCUGUUUAAACUAAUCAUGUAUUUGUCCAAAAUUCAAAUUUUUGUUAAAGCAAUAUCCUUACCCAUUACAAAAGUUCUGAUUUUUACUUGCAACAAAUAAAAAAAUAUACCUUCAAUGAUCUUCUGGAUUACUUUUUCUUCAAUUUCAUCAACACCCACAUCCAAAUCUUUGCCAAUGCUAGACAUGAAAAAAUAAAUAAAAAAAGAAAAGAAAAUCUAUUAUUAGAACAAGGCCAAGAUAAAAAGGGAAAAAAUUUUAUCUUUAUUUAAAUAUCGUUGAAAUAAAAAUCUAACCGAGACUUGGACUUUUUCCCAAUUGAGAGCUUUGAGAAGGUGGCAUGGGUGUCCUCAAGAGGGCUGUAACUCGGGUCUAAAUCCGAAUCAUAACCCGGGUCGGACCCUCCACUGUCGGUGCUGUAUUCAUCAUCUCCUUCUUCGAUGAAUAUUACUUGCUCAGACUCAGGAGCUGCCAUUGACGCGCUACUCUUUUGCUUUCUUCUGGUUUUAUUGAUUCAUAUUUUUCUUCCGCAGAAACCUUUUAAGGUAAAAACCGUAACAACUUGCUUUCGCUUUUGAAAUCGAAUUGCCAGAAUGAAAGGAAAUUUUCGACCAAAAACAAAAGUAAAU